This 90700-nucleotide long non-coding RNA is filed under the name Triticum aestivum (bread wheat). Its description in RNAcentral is "long non-coding RNA (TAES_LNC006753)". The stretch from base 49293 to 49427 matches the Rfam family "MIR1120/MIR1122 microRNA precursor family". The record is from RNAcentral. Lineage: Eukaryota; Viridiplantae; Streptophyta; Magnoliopsida; Poales; Poaceae.
UUGAUGAAGACGAUGAUCAAGUGUACAGAGGCGCAAGUGAACUUCGCAAGUUGAGACCGGACAUCAACACUGGCCUCCAUGCAGUUAUUUGCUAUGCAUACAAGCACGUGGGCCAGGAACUGCAUGUUCGAGUCUUAGAUAACCAAGACAAGACUGGUCCACGUAGAUGGGUUCUCCUCAAAGCUUUCGAGAAAUUUUUCUUCUUAUCAGUUCAGGAACUUGGUAUCCCCCCGGACGUCCUUCGCGGUGUAAAAGAGAGAUAGGUGUGUUCUGUACAUAUAAAUAUACACUGCUUAUAGGUGUGUUCUGUAUAUUUUUCUUCUUAUCUUGGAUAGCAUGGAAGUAAACUUUGCACCGUAGCUACUGAUUCUGGAGGUGUAUGUUUUGUGUCACCCUGAAUCUGAAUGCAUUGCUUGAUGUGUUAUGAUGCUUCAAUUCAUUGAAGUCUUCUCUGCCUGGGUAUAUUGCAGGCCAGAUAUGAAUACAUGCAGACUACUCCCUCCGUUUUUAAAUAUAAGUCUUUUUAGAGAUUCUAAUAUAGACUACAUACGGAGCAAAAUGAGUGAAUCUACACUCUAAACUACGUCUACAUAUAUCCGUAUCUAGUCCAUAUUGAAAUCUCUAGAAAGACUUGUAUUUAGGAACUGAGGGAGUACAAUGUAAUGUCGGAGUGCAAUGUGCGUGGUGCUUUGUAAUGCAUGUGUAGAUAUCCCUGUAUUAGGAGCAGAUAAUGAUGAUCCUAUGUCAUUUCUGUUUCUACCAGUGUACUAAUUGAGGAUGUUGGUCUUCUGAGUAGGGACGAAAGAGCAUGAGCAAGUAUAUGGUGUUGAAUACGAGACCAAAUGUUGCAAAUAUUUUAAAUGCUGGGUGAACUACUUAACUGUUUUAGGGGAAACAAUGAUGAAAUUACGAUCGUAAGUGCUUUGUAUAGUGAAAGUGUGAUUGCUUUGAGAACAACUGCUCUGUUGUCUGUCUUUUCCACCAACUCUUCAUUAUAAUUUUUUAGAUAUUGUUUUCCUAUUCUAUACCUUCUUCUCUUGGCAAGGCACAAGUUAAAUUUACUCAUACGUACAAAGAAACCUUCAUAGCAGAAAAAAAUAAAUCUAAGUUGCAUUGAGAAGCAACUGAACCCAAGUAACAUUUUGAUAAAGGAUAAAUUUUAUUUACUCAAAAUGAAGCAUUAAGCAUAUACAAACACAAUGAGUACACAUCUGAGCUCUACAUGAUUAAGAUGCACACAACCAACAUCAACGUGCACACACAAAGAAUCACACAGGCAAAGAGCAAAGUCAUGCAUGACCAAAGUUAUGCCUAGGCAUAUGAAAAAGAAAAGAAAAAACUCCAAAGGGAUCAAAACAACGAUCAGCUAACUACAACAAUGACCAUAUCCGCACCAAAUAUCUCUUGACAUCACAAGGACAAUAUGAAAGGUUCUCCAGUAGCGACGCCUCUAGGAAGGGAACAAUGCUCAAACGCCGCCGUCGCCGGAUCCAAUCACCAAUACUCAGAUCCUGCAUUUUCCCCGGGAAGAUAAAGUCUGAGAAAAUUUUGAUCAAUGCCUUCAAAUGUAACGAUGAAAAAACACUGCAAUUACUAGGUAUAACCAACUAGGGCCAGGUCUGGGUUUUCAUCCCGGUGCUCGAGACCGGGUACUUAAGAAGCACCACCAAAUCGAAGUCAACAUGUGUUGUCGCCACAACUUUUCAUGAUCCCAGCAGCUGCAUGCGUAGCACGGUCUUGACAUGAGAUGUCACAUUUGAAGACCAUGCCCGCACAAGCAAACAAUCAAGCAGCAACAAGUGUCAGUCGUCACCAAAGGCUCAGAAGGACGAAAGUUGAUAUUGCAAAUGUGACGAAGAUUGGUGAGGACGGAAGGUCAUCGGCAUCACCAGAAUCCCAAUUUGAGACACUACGAUAGUCCGACACUGUUCUCACGCUCCAACAUCCUCGUUUGUGGUGCGGUAUUCGUCGGCAAACCAAACUUGUCGUUGUCGCCGGAUCUGAAGGUCCAAAACCCUUUGGCCUGUUACGAGAACCCCCGAGCGGCGCAGGACCACGGUUCCAUCCAAGCGCCCAAUCAGAGGGUUGUGUCAUUGGGACACGAAAGGACGCCAAUGUCUCCCGCGCACCUGCAGAUGGGAUCGCGCCACUGACGCAUCGCCAACAGAAAUUGACAGUUCUUCGGAAACAUCAUUGGCACCGCUGCACAACCAUAUCAUCUGCCUCAGAUCAUCCCUCUAGGAUGCAUUUUGCCUCUGAAGGCUAUUGGAGCAAAGGCCUCCGUGUCGCUGCUUUCAGCGACCUAUGUCGGGAAAUAGCCUAGCCACUGAUCUCUAGCGGCGGCGAGGGGGGAAUGGGGAGGUAGGAGGCGGCGUUUAUGGAGAAGAGAGGAAGUAGAGGUUGCGGUUGCGACCAACAUGCAUAUAUGUAGUCUGAAAUACUCAGUACCUCCCUAUGUUGGUCAACAUAAUGCUAAUCUUGAUUUUGAUUUUGUGGCCGUACUUUCCUUCCUAUGCAAUGGGGAAUCAAUAUCUUUGUUCAUUUACAAGCAGUUAUUAGCACACUAUUAGCUGUUAUGCCUUUGAUUUACUCUUUUGUUUGUACUUGUUUAAGUACCCAAUCUUCCUUUCAACUAUAUGUAGUAGAGGGUGGCAAUGUAGAUACAUCCAUCAUGCUAAUUGGGAGCGAGAUCCAUCUCCAUCAUGUACAAAUUGUUCUCUUUGGUAUGAUCUUGCCAUUUGGUAGUACUACUAGAUGACCCAUUGCGCUGUUGAUGCAGGGACCAACUUCAGCCACGAAGUUAAGCAGGCUAUGAGCUUAUUACAAAACCAUGCCUAUCCAUGUUGUAGGGUAACCAGAUGAGGAGUGCAAAGACCAAUUGAAGCCACAAAUCAGAUCAACCUAUGAAAAACAUGUUUUAUUAAUGAUUAAUAAAGAGAAACCGAUUCCCUACAUGGGUAUGAAUAAGCACAAAGAAGCCAAGUAAAGAUUUAAAGGUAAGCGAACUGUUAGAAGAGGUUCUUAGUGAACCAUAUGAAGCACGACGUUAACCUAUGCGAUGGUAGGGCGUUUUUGGGUGUCGUAAAGAAAAUGACUGAACGACCACAUCCCCACCUAAGCAUGAGCUUGGUACGGAACAAGGAGACAAACUGGUUGCGACCCCGGCAAAGAUGGGCCCCAUCACAAGUGCAGGCGUCGAUAAUGCAGAGUGACCACAAUGGACGGUGAGGGCCCACAAGUUGCUGCAUCAUUCUUUGAGUCAUGCAUGACCGAACCGGGGGUAAACCAAGUGUGGUUGCAUGCCGUUGAGCCGGACCUCGCUGCGGCGUAGGUCAACAUCACUGUACCAUCACCAAUGCUAGUCGGGCUCCUAUGCAUGCCGGACUCGCUCUCUUUUUGUUGAUGCGAGGCUUCUUGCAGCUUUCUUGGUGUUCAUGCUCUGCUUGCAGUCGGUGGUGGCAGAUGACCCAUUGGCUCGUCGUACCAGCUAAGGUUUGGAUUAUGGUGUUCCCCGCCCCCUCCUCCAAUCAAGCUUUCCUAGCUCCACCAUCGGUACCAAGCAUGUGUGUUCCUUGUCGGUUUUCGAAUGUGUGUUCCUUGUCGGUUUUCAAACGCUAGCUCGAGGAAUACCUGAAUUUUCUUGUUUUUCUACAUAGUACAAUCAAAGUCGCUCACAUACACGAGCAUACACUCACCCCUAUGAGGGAACGCACACACACCCUAGCCCUAUGAGCACCUCCGAUAGAUUGAGCCAGCACGUCAAUUUGAGAUUGAGGAACUCGCCACAGACGCCUUCGUAAUCGACGGGGAACACUACUACAGGAAUGUCUUGCAGUGGUGGACGGAAAAAGCCUAGCAGCGGUGGGCCAGGCUCUCAGGGGCGCCCGCCAUUGACCUCCCGCCAUUGCUAACAUGGCAAUGGUGGGGGCACGCGCCUGCCACUUAUCAUAUAUUUACGUGUAGCGGGCAUCCCCUUGAGCCCUCCACAGUUGUGUUAUGACAGUCAGAAAUAAAAAAGUUGCCAUGGCAGCUAUUUCGUGAGCGUUGCAACUUUUUUUAGUUUAGCAAUAAUAUUAGUACCCUAAUAAAUACAUAAAUAGCAUAUGGGCAUUUUUUAACAGUGAAAUACAUAAAUAACGUUUUUUCCCUCGUUGGUGAAACUAAGGGUCAAGGGUAUGCCAAUUUUUUUAACAGUGCCAUGUGUCGGUGCAGCCAACAUGGGCGUUUGCUGCCCUGACUUAUGCACAGACGCGUUGUAGCUCCUACAUAAAAUACCAAGUUUCAUACACAGCUAAGCCAGAGAAGCCACUCUUCGUGAGAUCAAGGAGUGCAUUAAGAAGGCCAAGUCUUGGAGCAAGCUAUGAAAGUUAUAAGCGAGAGCAACCAACUCCGGCAAGACAAAGUCCGGCAGGCUCCGUGCCAGCAAACCACUACGAGUUGCCACCGCUCCACCUCACCAAGUCAUCGAUCACUAAUUGGUGCGAUGCCGAGCCCUUGUACAGCUAGGUAGAUCCUGCCGAGCAUGUGGCAGCAUCCUGAGGGAGGAGAUUACCUUUAAUGACACCUGUCCUGAUGGUGUGUCACGCUAAUAGGAGGUGGUUGGAUAAGCGUGCGACAAUCUUGCCAGGGCUGCCUCUCCACGCGACACCUAAGACAACAUUUAACGCGUUUUGUCUCAACUGACAGAGUUAGGUAUGAUAGCCAUGUAUCAGUCUAAUCACCACUGUAAUGACCUUUUUGCCACUUUGGUGACCCCUUGAGCUAUAAAAGGAGGGCCAAGGAAACAUUAGAAGGGGUUCGAAUCUUUGCAACUCCCACACAUAGAUAUCAGUGUAGCUGCUCUCUCCUCACCACUUGCCAGGGAGAGUGCUCCGUGUACUUUGUGUUCAAACACCACCCAAUACAUCAAAGGUAGGAGUAGGGUUUUACGCCUCUGGGUGGCCCGAACCUGGGUAGUACCAUGUGCUCCUCGUUGUGUUUGCUCUUUGCAUCGAUCGCCACCCUUUGCCGAACCAGCAAAAGGGGCUGAUUUGCCCCAUAGAUCGCCGGCUCCACGCCGACAUCUUUGGCGCGCCAGGUAGGGGGUCUGCAUUAGCGUGAACCAAAACAACGAGCAUCGCCUUGGCUGCAUCAAGUUCUGCAUCUUCUUCAUCACACAUGGCACCCAAGAAGAAGGGCUCCAUGGCAACAAAAUCGUCCUCAUCCAAGCUCUCGCCCCCAUUCGCCUGCAGAUGGCGCAGGCGGUGCCACUCCGGCAGGCGGUGCAAAAGCUGUGGGGGGCGCGCCAGCACAAGAGGUGCCGUCGCUAUGCCUGCCGCUGCGGGAGCGAACGAUGGGAACGCCGGAGCUGGUCAGCUCCUACGACCCUUUGGCGACAAACGCAACAAUGGUGCAGGCGGUGCGAACGUGCAGCUCCCGCUUCCCCCGCCCCACAGCGAGCGCGUACACCAGAGCAACACCACCCAGUCCGGUGCAAGCCGAUAUUGUCCCGCUGCACCAACCCCAACAACUGCAGGGGAGACGACAUCAAGGUACACACUACGCCCGUCGCAAGAUGGGCGCGACGUGACGCCAAGCGGUGCUGUUGUGCCUCCAUAGCAGCGUCCGCAUGGCAAGUCGCCGGUUGAUCAAGCUCAAGAUCUCCAGGCGCCGCUCCCACCGCGCCAGCCCACUACCGCCCCACGAUUCGGUAACGGGGCCGCAAUGAUGCUCCUGCUGGCUACGCCAGAAGUCGAGCACUACAAGAAAUAUGUCAACUUGUGACCAUCACUAUUGGUCGCUAAAAGGUCAUUGAUUUUCAUUUGCGACCUUUUUGUGACCAAAAAUAGAUGGUCAAAAGCUGGUGGUCGUAAACUAAAAUUAAUGACCUUCUUCAGGAUAAGGUCGUAGACGUUUGCGACCAAAACAAAAGGUCGUUCAACCCAUGACCUUUUGUUUUGGUCACUGGCUGUCUGCCCAGGCCACGUCGGAUCCGACAUGGCAAUCUGACAUGGCAAAAUUGCGACCAAUUGAAAAGGUCGUUGACAAGAUUCUACCCGGUCCAGUUUGAUGUUUUACAUGGGCCGAGCCCAAUAAUUUGGCCUUUUUGUUCCCUAAGCUUCGUUCAGUGUUUUUGGGCCUCAGCCUUUCUGCGGUCCAUUUCUUUUUUGGGUCGCAUCUAUUUUUAUUUUGGGCCUCGGCCUUUUUUCAGUCAAUUUCCUUAAUUUUUAGCCUUUCCUAUGAAUAUUAUUUGGUAAAUGGCCUUUUGGAUGCCAAAUACUACUAGGUCCCACUUGUCAGGUUCUAAUUAAAGACUGCCCAGGUUUCAAUUUCUACAAUUUAAAACAAUUAUUUCAAUGAGAACAGUAAACAGAUGAAAAUUAUCAAAACAGAUGCCAAUUUUGGCUAAUAGCACAAUCUUUACAUCAUUCCUUUCACCAAGAUACUAUCAUACUACAAAUAUACUUAUGGCUUCUUCACUUCCAGGCUAGAGCUCUUGUAAACAUUCGUAGAGGCUAAACGAAGCAGCAUCACCUUGUUGAGCAGCAGAUCAUCAGCAUCAUCCCAUGUUGGAUCAGCUCAGCAGAGCAUCCCCGGUCGUCUCCAUGACUUGAGCAUUCCUGCAAUAGCAACAUCAGAUCCGAUCAGCAACAGUACAACAUAUAACAUCAACAACAUUAACUACUCCAAAUCAACAACAACUACAGCAUAUCAGAUCAACAACUACUACAGGAGAUCAGAUCAACAACUACUACAACAGAUCAAUAGAAACUACUACAGCAGAUCAGAUCAACACAUUUGUUUGAAUGGAGUAACUUGGAGAUCAGUACAAUAGAUCAAUAACUUAGAGUACUCCAAAAUGGAUUUUGAUUUGAUACUCCAGCUGAAGAAAGGGCAAAUGGGCACUUUUGACACAUUAGGGUCAGUAUCUUUCCUUGGAAACAGCCCAGCAAAGAACAAUGCGCAUCAGACAAGAAACCACCAGAGAUAAGCAUCAAGAGAAAUGAAUAUUGUGUCUACUUUAUGCUACAACAUCAUCAUCCGGAUUAAAACAACAUAUGGAUACUCAGUGCUAGAUGAGACCAUAUAUAGUACCACUACAACAAAAUAGGACGUCGUAUGCCGCAGUGCACCAUAUUACUUGAUCCGGCCUCAAUGAUCAUGGGCAUGUCGUCCUCCCACUCCGUGGUGGGCAACUUGAAGCUGAAUGAAACCGGCCAGGUUACAACUGCCAAGUCACGCUGAACCAAACCACCAGCGAGCACGAGCAGACGAAGGCGAACCGCACCUCAUGCACUUAUGCAUCUCACAUAUUAGAAGUUCGCAUAUUAGAAAAGGAAGGAGGAUAAUUAUCCACUAAGUAGAAAAAACACUAGAUCAAUUGUAAAUUAAAAAAAUGACAUCAGGUAUCAUAUUAAUUUUCAGAAUGAGACAUGUCAUAUGAUUGCAAUUUGGUACCAGAAAUGACAUCAAGGAAUGCAAACAGAUUUAUGCACACAGUAUCAUGCUGUAUCUCACUUGUAAGAAUAAAAAUUAAUGAACAGAUUCAUGCACAAAAGCUUUUGAUCAUAGGUGUUGCAGGUACAGAACAUAUGUUAUGCGCAGGGCAGACCAAGCUGACAAGAGCAUAUAGAGGGAAGCAGCAGGAUAGAAAAAACAUGCUAGUAGAAUAUUUUAGUCUGAUCAGAAAUUGGGCCAAUGCACUUUGCUUUGAUAUACUUUACUGGAAGGAAGUUUAGAAGUAUACAUUCAACCUUUCAGCCUAAAGUGUGUAGUACAUGCUUAUGUUAUUACGAUUUGCUAGGUGCACUCUCAGGCUGACUGAUCAGUUGAGUCGGAUGGCUGUUUAAUAAUUAAUAGGCAUUCAUUCAUGGACCAGCCUUUGAUCAUUCAUUUCUGAGCAAAGCUUUUCAUAAACGAACAAUCUGGUACAGUAGAGUACCCUAUCCAGGUCCCCAUAAUAUAUGACUUGACAAACAGUUUCUGAGCAAUUAUUAUCCAAAUAUAUACUUACAAUUUUUCAAUAACGUUGAGCAACAAUGAAAAUGACAUUCAGUUAUGUACCACCAAAAUCACUACAAACAUUAGAGAGCAUCAAAUUUCAAAAUCAACACCAUAUGUAUUACACUGACUCGUAUAAUACUACUUGGUCAUGUACUUGUACUAGUGCAGGAUGACUCAUUGUCCUACUACUGCCUAUUCCAGUUUCUUUCAAGUUGGGAAAUAACUGAAACUACUCAUCAUUCAUGAACAUACAUCUGUACUCUUAAUCUAUGAAACACUGAAAUUACUGCAGAAAAAACUACUGUAAUGAACCAUUCAUGAACAUACAUCUGUAAUCUUAAUCUUUUGAUCUUGUGUUGGAAAGAAAGAACUACUGCAAAUUCAUAGUACAACCAAGGAACUGUCGCAGAACUAAAAAUAAUGUUGUAGGAUCGAAAGUAUGUCUAGAGGGGGGGGGUGAUUAGACUACUUGACCAGAUAAAAAUCUAGCCUUUUCCCAAUUUUAGUUCUUGGCAGAUUUUAGCAACUUAGCAUAAGUCAAGAAAUCAACCUACACAUGCAAUUCUAAGAGUAUAGCAGCGGAAUGUAAAACAAUUGCAUAUAAAGGUAAAGGGAGGAGUUUGAGGGAGCAAACACAAUGUUGACACGGAGAUUUUUUAGCCGUGGUUCUGAUAGGUGGUGCUAUCGUACAUCCACAUUGAUGGAGACUUCAACCCACGAAGGGUAACGGUUGUGUGAGUCCACGGAGGGCUCCACCCACGAAGGGUCCAUGAAGAAGCAACCUUGUCUAUCCCACCAUGGCCGUCGCCCACGAAGGACUUGCCUCACUAGGGUAGAUCUUCACGAAGUAGGCGAUCUCCUUUCCCUUACAAACUCCUUGGUUCAACUCCACAAUCUUGAUGGAGGCUUCCAAGUGACACCUAGCCAAUCUAGGAGAUACCACUCUCCAAGAAGUAACAAAUGGUGUGUUGAUGAUGAACUCCUUACUCUUGUGCUUCAAAUGAUAGUCUCCCCAACACUCAACUCUCUCUCAUAGGAUUUGGAUUUGGUGGAAAGAAGAUUUGAGUGGAAAGCAACUUGGGGAAGGCUAGAGAUCAGGAUUUAUGUGGUAGGAAUGGAAUAUCUUGACCUCAACACAAGUGUAGGUGGUUCUCUCUCAAAAAAUGUAUGUUGGAAGAGUAGGCAUGUUCUGAUGGCUCUCUCCAUGAAUGAAGAGUGGGUGGAGGGGUAUAUAUAGCUUCCACACAAAAUCUAACCGUUACACACAACUUACCAAACUCGGUGGGACCGAAUCCUGAAACUCGGUCCGACCAAUUUAGUAAAUAAUGUGACCAUUAGGAUUUUCGGUGGGACUGACAUGUCAUCUCGGUGGGACCGAUAUGGUUAGGGUUAGGGCAUAACGUAAUCUCGGUGAGACCGAUUACACAAACUCGGUGAGACCGAUUUUGGUAAUAGACACACAGAGGGUUGGUCAGGCAAACUCGGUGGGACCGAUUCGCUCAUCUCGGUUGGACCGAAACGUUACGAAAGGGAAACAAUGAGUUUGCAUUGCAAUCUCGGUGGGACCGAUCGCUCAUCUCGGUUUGACCAAAACGUUACGAAGGGAAACAGAGAGAUUACAAUCCCAUCUCGGUGAGACCGAGAUCCCUAUCGGUGAGACCGAAAAGACUAGGGUUUGUGGCAGUGGCUAUGUCAAUAGAACUCGGUGACGCCGGAUAGAUGGUUUCGGUGGGGCCGAGUUUGACAUUUGGUUUGGGACAUAUGUGGAUGUGAGAAAGUAGUUGAGGGCUUUGGAGCAUAUCACUAAGCACUUUGAGUAAGAAACUCAUUAAGGAACACCUCAUCCCUCGAUAGUAUUGGCUUUUCCUAUAGACUCAAUGUGAUCUUGGAUCACUAAAAUAGAAAAUGUAGAGUCUUGUGCUUUGAGCUUGACCCAAUCCUUUUGUCCUUAGCAUUUUGAGGGAUCCACUUUUCUCAUCCAUGCCAUGCCAAUCAUUGAGCUUUCCUGAAAUAUUUAUCUUGAAAUAGCAUUAGCUCAAUGAGCUAUAUGUUGUCAGGAAUUAUCAAAACCACCCAGGGAUAGUUGCACUUUCAAUCUCCCCCUUUUUGGUAAUUGAUGACAACAUAUAGAUCAAAGCUUCGACAAAUGAUAAUAAGAUUGAAAAACAUCGUCGCUUUGAGAAGUAUGUCAUAAGCAAGAGCUCCCCCUAAAUUUGUGCAUUAUUUAAAAAUUGCUUUGGACUGCAAAUGCACAAUGUGUUAGGAUCAUGGGUUACUCUUCCAUGUCACAUACAUCUUGGUGGAGCGCUCAAAAUGAUAAUGAUUGAACACAUGCACUCAUCACCAAGCAAAGUGAAUGAUCAUAUGAGGAUAUAAGAGAUAAUAUCAUCCAACAAGCAUUAAGAUAGCAUAUGAUCAAACACACAUGAUCAUCCAAGUAUCUCACAAAGGCAUAGUGUAUCAAGCAAACACACAAUAAAGAAGUUCAACCACCAAAAACAAGAUAGAUCAAAAGCAACACUCUCUCUCGAAGCCUAUGAUCUAUACAUUUUUCUCCCCCUUUGGCAACAAGUUACCAAAAAGUUCAAAAAUGCAUAGUGCUAAACGACUCUCAGGCUUGGUCUUCAUGAGGUGGUGUAGAGAUGACUCCAAGGACGAAAGCAUCAGUUGAUGUAGCUGUAGCUGGUGGAGUGGCUGCUGGAGCUGGUGGCACCGAAGCUGUUGUAGCUGGUGCCGAAGAUGUAGCUCUAGUAUAUGGAAUAGGCACUGUAGCAGAUCUCUGUCCUCUGGGCACUUUAGCAAAUGCAUCUAUAGUAGACUUGCCCUUCUUCUCCUCCACAUCCUCCUGAAGUUGCUCAACUGCAGUUUGGAUCUCAAUGACCUUCAUAUCAAGAGCAUAAAACUUCUGCUCAAUGAUUCCCUCAAAACUCUCCUGGUUUUGAGUCAAGGUGGCCAAGCCCUUCUCAAUCCUCAAAGUGGAGGCAAUCAAGUGGCCAAGCUGAUCUUGCUUGCUCUUCAGAAGCACUUGAGAUGCCUCUUUAGCAGUUGGCAUCUUUGCAACUUUCUCUGCCCUUGCUUUCUCUCUCUUCUCAUGUGCUUGUACAGAUGAUGGUUCCUCCUCAUUCAUCUCGACUGUGUUAUCUUCAAACUCAGGAUAUAAGGGUAGAUGCUCCUUAUCCAAAAGAUAUGUGCUUGUGCCCAUCUUUGAGUUGAUGAGCUCCUGAAUGUGUGGAGCAUACCCACAACUUCUCUUCUGAUCAGCUGCUGUUCUCUUGAUUGUUUCCACAAUCAGACUCAUGACUUUGAAUUUUUUAGGUAUAUCAAACAAAUGCAGCAAGUUGAUAGCAUAACCUCUGAUCAUCUUGUGAUCUCUAGACUUGGGUGGCAAUGUGUGCCUGAGGAUCCAAUUGAUUGUAGGCAGACCAGACAACAAGAAGUGUACAGAUCCAAGCUUGUGGGUUUCCAAAGCUUUAUCUGGGAUCUCUCUAUACAUGUGUGCCAUAGAGUUGUGGUGUUUCUUCUUCUCAGCAUAUACAUCCAAGUCAUCUCCAGAUUCUUUUGGAGAAUUGAUCAACUCAGCCCAUUCUUCAACUGUGGAUUGGUACCUAGUACCUUCAAACAUCCAUAUGAUCUUCCCAUCUGGGUAGAAGUGAGCUGCGGAGUAAAACUGCAUGAUGAGCUCAUCAUUCCACUUGGUGAGCUUCUGGGCAACAAAGUCAUCAACUCCACAUGAUUUGAAGCUGUCAUAUACUCUUGGAUAGUGAGUUUCAUUCUUCUUGAUGUAGUCCCAGUUGAUCCAUCUCAUGUCACAUACAAUGGGCUUCUUGUCAAGCAAAAUGGUUUCAUAAAAAUCUUGUUGCUCCUUUGUGUGAAAUCUGUAGUCAACUGCUGUCCUUCUCCUCAUAGCAUAUGGAUCUUACUGUCUCCACAAUCUCAGUCCAACAUCCUUUCUGAUGUGCAUGUCUUCAGCUACUGGAUGAGCAUCAUUGUGGUCAGGAAUCUUGGGCUUCAACUUUCUCAAAACAAGAGAAUCAUCUUCUUCUUCGGCAGCUUCAGGCACUGGGGGCUUGUUCUUCUCUGAUGCAGGUAUACUUCUGGUAAUCCUCUUGGGUUUUGGCUUUGGAGCUGGAGCAGUAGCCUUGGCAGCAGCUUUGGGCUUAGAUGGAGCAGCCCCUGACUUGAUUGCAUAUCCCAUGAGCUUCUGAGCUUUGGGUGCUGGUGCGGCAUCCUCUUCCUCUUCUUCUUCCUCAUCGGAAUCUCUCCUCAUGGAGGGCUUGCCAAGGACUUUGGCAGUAGUGGUUCUUACCCUCUUCUUCUUCUUGUCUUGGCCAGCAGCUUCUUCAUCAGACUCAAUGGUGAACUUCAUGGUUUCACCAGUGGCAACCUUCCUAGGUUUAGAUGUGGGCACUCUCCUUGCAGGUGCCUUCUUGUUCAUGCCUGGCUUGGUGGUAGCAGCUGUACCAUACUCCUUUUUCAGCACCUUCUUCUUUGAAGUGGCUUCAUUCUCAAUAGCAAUGUAGUCCUUAUCUUCAGAAUCUGAGGUUUUCUUCUUCCUUGUUCUGGUGGCUGCUUUUGGCAAAUUGCUGGGUGUGCUCCUGCUACCCUCAUCAUAACUGCUUGAGGUACUAGUUCCCUCACUCAUCUGAGCUUGCUCCUCUGACUUGUUCUGGCUCUCACUUUGAUCAGACAUUUUCAGGCAAACUCACUAACAGCAGACCCUGUGAAUAGAUGUAGAUGAGGUAGAGUAGAUGAGCAUCACAAAGUACAGAGGUUUUUGCAAAAUAAUUGAGUCAAAAACUUAGUUUUAGUUUUCCCAGAAAGCAUUUCGGAGCUACCGAUUUAUAAACUCAGUGAUGCCGAAGCAGCUUUUGGAAACUAAACUAGUGAACUCGUUCAGACCGAGUCACAGUUCGGUGGCACCGAGAUUGCUAGGGUUUCACAAAGAAUCGAUCUCGGUCACACCGAUUUGCAAAUCUCGGUCAGACCGAAAAUUACAUGUGCAAUGGCCUAAGCCAAAUCGGUGAGACCGAUUUCUACAAGAGAUGAGUUUGGCAGAAACCUAACCCUAAAUUUUCAAAUCAAAACUAAUCUAUGGAAUGCUUUCGCUGGAUAGAAUGAUUUCAAACAUGGCAGGAAUAAUGGCAAAGCAAUGUGCUAGGAAUUGGAGUUAAAGAACAGCACAAAUUUUCAAGUUCAUACCCUAAUGCGGUGAUGAACUUGCUACAGCGGCAACGGUGGGGCAGAAUGCCGUUGACGGUGGAGGAGACUAGCGACGAGAGGUCGCUGGCGGCGAAGAGGACGAUCCGGAGACCCGAAGAGGCAGAGCAGGCUAUGCGCGGGCGAAGGGUUUCGAAUUUUUUUCCAAAAUUUGACCCGUGAGUAUAUAUAGCCUGACCCUGUCGGUGUGACCGAGUGUAACAACUCGGUGGCAUCGAGAUGCAAAACUGCAAGCAGUUACUGCAACUCGGUGUGACCAAAAAGUUCUAAUCGGUUGCACCGAGGUUGAAAACCUAGAUCAACUUAGUGAUCUCGGUAUGACCGAAAAGGGUGAAUCACUCAGACCGAAAUGCAUAAAGGGUUUUGGAAGUUUAAGUCUAUGAUGAAUUGGGGACUCCGAGUGCUCCUCACACAGAGUGGUUCGAAUCUGACUUGAUCAAACUUUGUGAUGUAGCAUGAAUAGAGUUUGAGACAAGAAAAGUAUAGAUAGCUAGAGUAGGUUCUUAGGCAUUCUUUUCCAUCCACUUGGCAAAAGAAAAUAAACCAAACAAUCAAAACAACAAGUGGAUGUCCUCAAAUGAGUAAAAUAUGCAACCAACAUGCUCACACAAUAAAAUGGCAAAUGAAAUAUGUGGCAAAGCAUGCACAACCAAUUCUAGCAUCUAUCAAGCAAUUGGCGAUGACUAGGUCAUCUAUAUAUGAGUAUAUUGACUUAGGAGUCAAAUGAGAACAUUUGAUCAUAGGUCAUACUCAUCAUUUAAGCACAAGUGGGGUUACCACUUUUACAUAAAUCAUUGUUGUGUUCACACCAUUAGAGUUGCUUCAACUCAAUUCUUAGAGUAAAGCUCCCCCUAGAUGUGAGAUCCCCCCUAAGAGGGAUGAACUAACCUUGGGUUUUGUCGAUGAUGACUUCAUGUAGGUGUUGAAGAUGUGGAUGCUCAAUGUUGAUGUAGAUCAUUUGGAGCAAUCCAUUGGAGUGAGUUGCACUUUCAAUACCUACACGAGUUAGUCCCACAAGGAACAAACAAGGAUAUCCAUAGACAUAGAGUGAUGCACACACAAGAUGAUGUCCAUGAAAGCAUUAGGUUACCUUGUCCCUUGACUUACCUAUAAGAGGGUUUGUGACUCCUUGAACUAGUGCAAGAUGUGGAGGUUGAUUGCACUUGUCCUUGCCAAAAUGAUAAGAGCGAAGUAUGUUGGCGGAGUCACCCUCAAGAACUCUCUAGUUCUUCUUCUUUGGUAUCCACAUCAUCUUGAUGGGAAUCCUUGGAGUUGUAGUUGUACUCGAUGAAGUAGAUCUUGAUGUAGUCUUGGGAACCCACUUGACCAAGGCCUUAGGAGCUUCUUCAAAUGCAUUAAUCUCCUCUUGAAGCUUGUCCUUGCAUUUUUGCUUGUGGUCUUGCGGUGGAAGAUCAUCUUGAGCUUGUGUUCCCUUGAAAGAAGUAGGAUCAUACUUCUCUUGUUGAGGAACAAACUCCGUCUUGGGGUAUUGAUCUUCUUCCCACUCAACUCCAUUGGCAUUGAACUUUCGUUCAAAACCAACACCUUGAUUCUUCCGGUGCCUUCCUUGCUUGCAUGCAAUUUCCUCGAAUUGCUUACUUCCGGCAAGGCUCUUGUAAACACCUUUCUCUACAAUUCCCUUCAAUAAGCUAUUUUCUUGCUCAAGUGUAACUUGGCUAAGAGAAUCAUUAGAGGAAUCAAGAGAACUACUAAAAGCAACAACAUUGGGUUUAGCAUGAUUAUUGUUACUACUAGAAGAAGAAUCUUUCUUGUUCUUGUUACUAGACUUGACUUGUGGCAUGUAAGUAGAUAAGAGUAAAUGCUUGGCAAUGUAAGAAGAACUUUUCUUGUGAACAUCAUCAUUGCUUGCCUUUAAAAACUCAUGCUCUUGCUCAAGGUUGAGCUUUUCAAAGCAAAACUUCUCAUGAGUCUUUAAAAGUUCUCGAUGAUCUUCCAAGAUAGUUUCAUGAGCUAACUUAAGAGUGUUUAGUUCUUUAGUUAGGAGCUCAAUCUUCUCCUUAUCAUUGCCAUUCGUUUUGUCUUGAUUAGCAUGAUUAUUUGACAUUUCAUCAUAGUAUUCAUCAUUAGAGUUGUCAACAAGUAAAUCAUCAUCACCUAACAAGUCAUCUUCAUCACUAUUGAAAUUAACAUACUCGGGGUGUGAUACCUUUGGGCCUUUAGCCAUGAAGCAUCUUCCAAUUCCUUCAUUUGGUGAGUCAAAUAUGUCGUAGGAGUUGGUUGACACAAGAGCUAGACCGGCAACACCUUCAUCUUGAGUAUAUUCGGAGUCAGAGUGAUAGCUUCUCUCGGAGUGAUUGUCGGAGUCGGAGCCGGAUACCCAUUCACCAACAUGAGCUUGAUGUCUUCGUUUUGUGUAGCUCCUUGAUGACUUGUCCUUCCUUUCCGAAUCCUUGCUUCUCCGGGAUAUUCUUCGUUCAUAAUGAUCAUCUCUACUCCUUCUUUCUCUUGAUGGUGAUUCCUCUCUUCUACUCCUUCUUUUUGGAGAAUCUUCUCUUCUUUUGUAGGGAGUCGUACACUCAUUGGAAUAGUGUCCGGGUCUUCCACAAUUGUAGCAAUUACGCUCAUGACUAGAAGAUCUUUUGUCAUUGUAGGACCUUGACUUGGAACCUCUUUCCUUGCUUCUACUCUUGUAGAACUUGUUGAAGUUCUUCACCAUUAGGCUCAAUUCUUCAUUGAAGGUUUGUUUCUCACUUGAUGAUGUGGGAGCUUCACAUGAGGCUUUGUAAGCACCACUUGACUUGUUGUGGAGCUCUUCCUUAUCCUUGAGUGACAUCUCAUGAGCAAAAAUUCUUCCAAUGACUUCUGUUGGCUUGAGAUCUUUGUAAUUGGGCAUCAUUUGGAUCAAUGUGCACACGAUAUCAUAUUUUCCAUCCAAGGCUCUUAGGAUCUUCUUGAUGAUGAAUUCGUCGGUCAUCUCUUCACUUUCUAAGCCGGCAAUCUCAUUUGUGAUGAGAGCAAGCCUAGAGUACAUUUCAGCGACUCCUUCACCAUCCUUCAUUUUGAACUUGUCAAGUUGACUUUGAAGCACAUCCAACUUCGAUUCCUUGAUGGAGUCGGUACCUUCGUGCAUGUCAAUCAAAGUAUCCCAAAUUUCCUUUGCAUUCUCAAGACGGCUGAUUUUGUUGAAUUCUUAAGGGCACAAUCCGUUGAAGAGGAUAUCACAAGCUUGGGCAUUGUAUUGCAGCAUCUUCAACUCUUCCGCGGUAGCUUCAUGGUUCGGUUCUCUCCCAUCAAAGAAUUCACCUGGUAAGCCAAUACACACAAUAGCCCAAACGGCGGGGUUAUGUCCAAGAAUAUGCAUUUUCAUCUUAUCACUACAAAAAAAAUACACUUCCGUGAUGAUACGUGUUUGUCACAGUAGGUCGCAUUUAUUGUCAUGCAUGUACAUCCAUGAUGAUUUUAUGACAGAAUCAAGAUAGUCAUACCUAUGCUGUCGUAGAAGUGUUCCAUGACAUUACCAAAAUUGUCAUCACGGAAGUGUCCACUUCCGUGACGAUAAAUCGCAUGUCACAGAAGUGCUUUCAUCAAGGGUGACCGACACGUGGCAUCCACCGUAACGGAACGUUGUUAAGCUAUUGGGUCGGGUUUUGGAUCCGAUAACCCGUUAAUAGCCCGGACCAAUGGGGAUUUUCCACGUGUAAAAUCAUCAUUGGCCGCAGGAAACACGUGUAGCCUCAUCGUUGGGACAAAUGUCAUCCACUCAUUGGACAGGAGGCGCCUAUGAUAGGUCGACACGUGGCACGGCCCAACAGUGGCCCAUUCUGGUGAAAAAGACCAGCCCAGUAAAAAUUAGCAGGCCGACCCAUAUAAGGCCUACUUGUGUCAGGUCCAUUUAAGCCCAGGGCCCAUACGAGAUGUGCCAAUUUGGCCUGUCAACGGCCCGUUAAAGAUUUGACACCAUUGCAGCCCAUCGUCAGUUCGAGCCCGUUAACAGCCCGCUAUAUAUUUGGGCUCAAUAUCGGCCCGAUGAGAUUUCGGCAUGUUAACGGCCCAUUCAAUGGAUGGGCCAAUUUUCAGGAUGUACCUCUUUCGGCCUUUUAGCGACCCAUUUAAAUGUUGGGCUAAUUUCUGGCCCAGUAUGUCUUUCAGCAUGUUGAUGACCCAUAAAACUGAUGGGCCAUUUGUAGUCGGAUCUGAGUUUCGGCCUUUUAGCGGCCCAUUUAAGUGUUGGGCCAAUUUGCGGCCCAGUGUCACUUUCAGCCUGUUGACGGCCCAUAAAUCAGUUGGGCCAUUUGUAGUCGGACCUGAGUUUGGGCCUUUUAGCGACCCAUUUCAGUGUUGGGCCAAUUCCCGACCCUGUGUCCCUUUCGGCCUGUUAACGGACCAUAAAUGACUUGGGCCAUUUGUAGUCGGACCUUAGUUUUGGCCUUUUAACGGCCCAUGCCCUUCAUGGUCCAAUACCAGCCUGGUUUUUCUUUCGGUCUGCUAAAGGCCCACAACAUAGUUGGGCCAUUUACAAUACGACCUGACUUUUGGCCUCUUAGCGGCCCAUGCUCUUCAUGGUCCAGUACAAGCCCGUUGUCUCUUUCGGCCUGCUAAAGGCCUACAGUAUAGUUGGGCCAUAUGUAGCCCAAAAUUAGUAACGUCCUGUUAACGGCCCGUGAAAUAAAUUGGGCCCACCUGUUGCCCGCUUCGAUGUCGGCCUGUUAACGACACGGGAGGUAAGAGGACCGACCAUUAAUUUUCGGCCUAGAAACGGCCCGUUAACUUAAUGGGACCACUAAAGUUCGUACAUGUCUUUAGGCCAAAUUAGAUAAUUUAAGCCCAUUACGACGAGUAAUUAUGCACAGGACCAAAACCGAUCAAGCAAAGGUACGACAUACAGGUAAUAACAUUGCACAUCCAGCAUAUAUUACAGGAAAUUACAUCCACUGGGAAAUCAAAGAUUGAUGCCAGUGCAAAUAAAUGAGCAGAACCUAACCAUCUACAACGUCACAAUCUGGAACCUCAGCACAGAUGACGCCCAUAAGCAUGUGGUCAAGUUCUUGCUGCUUUGCUACACUGUCUCUGAAAAUAUUGAUCAGUUGUUGUGUCGCACGACUUUGCACCUCUGAUUCAUCCACCAUUUCCAUCAUUGCUUCAGUCAUUAAUUGGUUCACAAACAUACAUUUAUUCCGUUGCAUUCGAGAUAGAGGGUACUAAACAGAUUCAGAUGGCGAUUUUGGCAGGCUUGUAUUAUUGAUAGUGGAGAGUGUCUCGACCACUGCAUCAUAACAUAAAUUAGGACGGGAACCAAACAGAUUAAUCAUGAGUUAUUGCCAUAUUACCUGGCCUAGAUUUACUGGAAAGAAACAAUGGGGUUGCUUUGCUAUUUUCAGAGUUUGUCUUCUUAUCUUCAGCAGCCUGCACAAAACUAACACACUAGCAUUGCUAUCAUUGGCCAAGUCAGAUAAUAAGAAAGCAACAUUAACACAACGAACGUGUGGGCAACUAGCCUACACCAAAUUAACACAAUAUGGCACAGCUAUCAUCAGCCAGGUAAGGUAAUACGAAAGCAACAUUGACACAAUGAAUGAAUGGGCAACCAGAGAAGCACUACAAUUCAGUAAUGUGCGUGAUAUGAGAUAGUACACUCAUGCAGCUUAGUAUGCAAAACUACGAGGCAGUUUUCCUUACAAAAAUCAACAUUGGCACCUUUAACGUUUUGCUACAACUAAUUUUAGAUCAGAUAAAGGUUAGAUCCACGCUGAUUAACAAAACACAUGUUGAUGUAAAAAUAUAGUGAUAUACAACAGGUACUUACAUCAGCAUUGGAGCACAGAGAAUUCCCGCAAGAUAUUUUCCUCGAGUACGAUCCCAAUGUAGGAAGUCUUCUAUUGUUUAACCUUAUUUUGUAAAAGAGAGAUGGGUAAGAAACAUGUAGAAAAUAUGAUCAGAAUGUUAUAAAAUUUCAUGAUGCGACGAUACGCACACGCUUCUUAGAAUGGAGUUGACAUUCUUUUGCUGGACUGGAGCGGACUAGUUCUUUGGCCACUGGAAUCUGCUUAUUAUCAAUGGGAGUUGGGUUUAUCUGUGCUGGAGCAGUAUCUAUGAAAAAGGGAGUUGGUUUAUUAUCUCCUGGCGUUUGGAUCGUUUGCAAAGACCUGGUUUGUAACCCUUCAGAUUCUAACAUAGCCGUCUCCCCCUUGCAUGCCUUAUAUAGAAGAAUGGUGAUUCAGUUAUAAAAUAUGCUACAGUAGAGAUGGAAUAGGUACUGAAGAAUAGAAAGGCAUGACAUAUUGACAUGUAUUCCCUCCAUCCGGAAAUAAAUGGAUGGGCCUAGGCGUAUUUCAGUUCUAGAUACAUCCAGUUUUAUCCAUUUCUACGACAUGUAAUCCGGACGAAGGGAGUAUGAUGUAAGAGCUAGGGAUACGACAGGACAACACAGUAAAAAAACACUAAAAACCCACUGCAGAUCCAAAGUAUUCAAACCCACUGAUAUGAGAUAGUACACUCAUGCAGCUUAGGAUGCAAAACUACCAGGCACUUUUGCUUACAAAAAUCAACAUUGUGGCCUUUAAUCAUACAUUUUGCUACAACUAAAUUUGGAUCAGAUAAAGGUUGGAUCCACGCUAAUUAACAAAAUACAUGCUGAUGUAAAAAUAUAGUGAUAUACAACAGGUACUUACAUCUGCAUUGGAGCAUAGAGAAUUCCUGCAAGAAUCUUUCCUCAUAUACGAUACCAUUGCAGAAAUUCUUCUAUCUGUUAAGCUUAAUUUCUAAAAGAGAGAUGGGUAAGAAACAUGUAGAAAAUAUGAUCAGCAUGCUAUAAAAUUUCAUGAUGCAAGGAUAUGCACAUGCUUCUUAGAAUGGAGUUGACAUAUUUUUGCUGGACUGGAGCGGACUAGUUCUUUGGCCACUAGAAUCUGCUUAUUAUCAGUAGGAGUUGGGUUUCUCUGUGCUGGAGCAGUAUCUAUAAAAACUGGAGUUGGUUUAUUAUCUCCUGGCGUUUGGAUCUUUCACAAAGGCCUUAUUUGUAACCCUUCAGAUUCUAACAUAGUCGUCUUCCCCUUGCAUGCCUUGUAUAGAAGAAUGGUGAUUUAAUUAUAAAACAUGCUACAGGAGAGAGAUGGAAUAGGUACUAAAGAAUAGAAAGGCAUGACAUAUUGACAUGUAUUCCCUCCAUCCGGAAAAAAUGGAUGGGUCUAGGCGUAUUUCAGUUCUAGAUACAUCCUUUUUUAUCCAUUUCGGCAACAUGUAAUCCGGACGGAGGAGUAUGGUGUAAGAGCUAGGGAUACAACAGGACAACACAGCAAAAAACACUAGUUGAAUGUAAAACUGUAUGCUAGCGGAAUACAUACAGAAAUAACUAAGGCAACAUACACGUGUAUGAUUGGGAAACUAAGAUGGCAUUGCAACAGAGCACUAGAACAACACUUCAAUGUAAAAAAACAUGGUAUGGUAGACAGAUGAAGUACAUACUGAUGAAUAACAAUGCAUAAGAUAUUCAGAAGCAUGAUGUCCGAAUUAAGCAGAUGGCAUUGUGAUAGAGUAGAAUGACAGUACUUGAAUUUGAAAACAUGUUAUCAUGAAUGGAAUAGGUACUGAAAAACAGGAAGACAUGACAUAUUUACAUGCAUGAUCAGCAUGCUAAGCACAUGGCAUUGCAACAGAGUAGAUACACUCCAAGACAUUAUAUGCAUGUUGUACCCAUAUCACAGGCCAAGUUAGAGCAAGGACCUUGUGGGGUGAAGAGGAUUCAUCAUCUUUCUGCAAGUCUUUUGAAGAACUGCCUUUACAUGUUCCAUCAUAUUGGGUAUCAUUGAUAUCAAGUUUAUUGGCCUUUACAUUGCUCCGUGAGGUUCUUGUGGAUAUAUCAGUGUGUGCAAUUAUAUCUGACAUGCAUGGAAGACAACUAGUUGUUAGAUUUAUGUAAAGAGUGCCUGUAGAAGACGACAUAAAUAGUAGGACUGGGGUUAACUAGUAGCAACAGGUCUCAUAAACUAAAGGUAGAACACAGAUGAAAGCUACAGAAUAUGUAUUGUUUGUACUCGAGAUUAACUAGAUGGCACACAAAAGUAUUAAAGAACAACAUAGGUAAUACUAGAAGUGGUAUAAUACUAUAAUCACCAGCCUGUGGGAUAGCAUUAGCUGAUGGAUGAUAACUAUGGAACAACGUUACCAAAAGAACAAGUAUCUUAGUUGAACUAUGGAACAACGUUAACUCCUGAACAAGACCCGUAAGAGAUCAUCAUGAAUGUACAGUGAAAUGUGAUGAUCUAUUUUCCAUGCUUAGAUGAAUAACAAAGCCAUAAAUGUUGCACAUAAGUAAGAUGAGGGUAAAACCUAUGUGGCUACCAUCCAUAGGAGUGAGCAUCAUGUGCUGACUUGUCGUUGGCCUUGCAGUUGUUGUGGCUGUCCAUGUCGGCCACGCGCAUUUGAUGUAGGGAACUGUCGAGUGGGGACUAUAGCUCCCUUCUGGUGUAUGCUUCCCUUGUUGGAGCAGCUGCGGUGAGUCGGAAGACGAUGUGUCUGAAGAUGCAGAUAACACAUAAUGUUAAGAACGACAUAUCUCUUUGAUCUGAAGAAAUACACUAAUAGAUCAACAACAAGGUACGAGAGUGGUCACACGUCUGUUGACUGAAGACUAAAUUGGGGUCACACGAUUUUAUUUUAUUUUGGUAUUGUCCGAUCUACGCCGGAUGGAUUGAUGGCCGUCUUGUGCCUCCCAGCUGACACUGUUCGGAAUCUUCCCCGAAGAGCCAGUGACCAACGGCAGAGCAGUCUGCCUCCGCCGUCCGUGGCCCAGGCCAAAACCCCGCUCCCCGCCCUACCGCACUGCCGUGGUUGCGCCGCCCCCGGGCCAAUCCACAAAGACUCCCCGUCAUACAGAUCCGGCGGCGGCAGUACCUUCAACCCAUGCAACUCUAAAAUAUAGCCAUCUAAGCGCUGCUUCUGCAGUGAACUUGCGGCCCUGCACCCUUAUGUUAGACACUAGCCAACCGACAGCCUAGGAGCUCCGCUGCCUCGAGGGGUGCUGCUUCCCAUUGGGAAUCGAUUGGCCCAGAAAAAAACUCAGACAACUGACGCCUAAAUAAAGUGAUUUGAGAUGAGGGUGCGACCUAUCUGGCAGCAUGGUGAAGUAGGCAGGUCCAGCUGCCGAGUCGGUGAGGCUGGCGCGGUUGCGGUGGCGACCGGCGGCAGGGAAACAUCGAUGUCGUGAUGGUCGACGGCUACGGGGAAGCAGCGCCGGGACUCUAGACGGAUCUAAUGUUGGAGCCGCUCCGGCGCCAUGAACAACGGCGGGGGUGAACCCGCUCCGGUACAGUUCACGCGGCCGUCGUCGAGGCAGCUCCAGCAGCACGGAGUAAGAGGGACACGGCCCAAUGCACGACGGCAAAUGGACAACGUCUCUGGCAUUGGGGAGGAGGGCGGCUGUGAAAUUGGUGCGGUGGGGGCGCCAUGGAGGAUGGGCUGAGGUUUCGCGGCUCGGGACAAGGGAGCUUCCCGGGGAGAAGGUGAUUUGGCACCCACGAGGUAUGAAUGGGGGGGGGAUUGGGAGGGGAGUGGAACCAUGUCUUACGGACGCAUUUGUCUAAAAUGCGAGGGGGAGUUACAGUUCUACCCCUGCCUUUAGGCUUCUCGGCUUGGGUCUGUGUACCGAUGGUCAGGGAUAGUAGAGUAACUUUGCUUCUCCCCAAAUAGUGGGCGGGAGCGAUUUCGGGUGAGGAGGGCAUGUUUUGAAAUAUAGUGUGCGCGAGCGAUUUCGGACGAGGAGAGCGUGUUUUGAAAUAGUGGGCGCGAGCUAUUUCGGGCGAGGAGAGCAUGUUUUGCUGACCAUGGUUUAUGAAUUAUUCAGCACAUGUCAUUUCGGCCGAGGAGAAGGCGCGCUUGAAUGAAGUUACGAACCUACCCUCGAUGUACAACGGGCCAAUUGAUGCGUGUCCCUCAUAGGACGGUAAUUUCGCGUCUCCCAUUUAUUUGCUCGGGCGAAUUCCACCGAGCACAGGAUGUUUAACGGUUCGUUCAAAUUUUGGGAGAAUGAGCAUCCACGUCUACCUUACCAAGUUGAUUCGAAUCAAAUUUUGAAAUAUUAGCUUGCCACUUCUUUUUUAGAUGGAGAGAUGAUGCUCGGGAGUAAUGUGUUUUUACAUGCUCAUUGCUAGCGAUUUACAAUAUGACAAAUAGUUGACCCACUCAAAAACGCGAAUCAAACCCAAAAUGAAAUAUCUCGAUUCAAUGAAAUAGCUCGUUCACUAGGUCAAAAUAGUGAACUAAAUCCAAAAUUGAACACCUCAAUCGAGUAGCAUGUUGUACAAUAUUAUAGUACUCCAUGAACAUGUUGAAAUUCAAAUUAAUGAACUUGUUUGAUAUACGCAUAUAUCCGUUCGUGUGUGGAUUGCAGACAACAUGUUCUCCAAUUCAAAUAUUUGAAUGCAAGUUUAUAUCAGUCUUUGAUGCAUAAAACGCAACCUCCCCCUCUCCCGGACUCAUGUUCUCUCUCUCUCUCUCUCUCUCUCUCUCUCUCUCUCUCUCUCUCUCUCUCUCUCUCUCUCUCUCCGACAAUCUUCAAUUCUAUCGCACGCAUCUGACACAAAAACCUUGUUGGUCCCUGUCGGUGUCAAAACCGGCGGAUCUCGGGUAGGGGGUCCCGAACUGUGCGUCUAGGCGGAUGGUAAUAGGAGACAAGGGACAUGAUGUUUUUACCCAGGUUCGGGCCCUCUCGAUGGAGGUAAAACCCUACUCCUGCUUGAUUGAUAUUGAUGAUAUGGGUAGUACAAGAGUGGAUCUACCACGAGAUCAAGGAGGCUAAAUCCUAGAAGCUAGCCUAUGAUAUGAUUGUUGUUCGUCCUAUGGACUAAAACCCUCCGGUUUAUAUAGACACCGGAGAGGGAUAGGGUUACACAGAGUCGGUUACAAUGGUAGGAGAUCUACAUAUCCGUAUUUCCAAGCUUGCCUUCCACGCCAAGGAAAGUCCCAUUCGGACACGGGACGAAGUGUUCAAUCUUGUAUCUUCAUAGUCUUGGAGUCCGGCCGAUGAUGAUAGUUCGGCUAUCCGGACACCCCCUAAUCCGGGACGCCCUCAGUAGCCCCCGAACCAGGCUUCAAUGACGACGAGUCUGGCGCGUGUAUUGUCUUCGGCGUUGCAAGGCGGGUUCUCCUCCAAAUUCCAUGUGCUUGCCGAAUAGUGUCCGGCUUCCUUAUAAAUGUUGCGCUCCUUAGCUUCCACGUCCAAUAAUGGCCCUCUUCCACGUGUCAUAUGAAUGCGAAAAGCCAGGGUAUUUUUACGUUUUACCCCCUAGCUGCGCGAAUAAGCUGCCUAUAAGAGGAACAAGGAUCUAGAUCCGAAUCACACUAUCCUCCUUCCGUGAGUACUCAUCGAAGCGUCUCUGACAAAAAUCCACUCCAUCAUGGACCGUCGACGCGGCUCCUCCUCUCGCGCUCCCAGCCCUCAGCCAGGAGAUUGGAGGAGAUGUUCAGUCCCGCAUAGCGAGCUGGUGACGCUCCAAGCGGAGGGAUACCUUCCUCCGGCCUUCAUGGUCCCGGUUCGAGCCGGGCUGGCCACCUACAAAGGUGCAAAGCAGGCGGAGAACACCCGCAGUCCCUCUAAAGGAGAGCGGGUGUGCUUCGUCCCUUAUCUAAUAAGGGGGCUCGGAUUUCCCAUACAUCCGUUUCUCCGGGGGCUUCUGGAGUUCUACAGACUCCAGCUUCAUCACCUUACGCCCGCCUCCAUUCUGCACAUUGCGGGUUUCAUAGCUCUUCGCGAGCUGUUCUUGGGCAUCGAGCCCCAUUUUGCGCUGUAGAAGAGAUUGUUUUGCCUCGUACCCCGUUCUCAUGAGGGGUCGAUAUAUCAAGUGGGCGGAGCCGAAAUAUGGCGCAUCGCCGGGACCGGAUAUCUAUCCGGAACCCUGAAGAAGGCGUCCGAAGACUGGCCUUCGGAAUGGUUUUAUGUGCAAGACGCUCCAUUGCCGGACCUAGUUCGGAUCGGCCUCUCGGAGUUCAGCAACGCUCCUCUGAAGAAACGCCUGAGUUGGCGCCCGCGGAGCCCUCAACAUUAAGAUGACAGGAGCGUCCAUUAUCUGAUGGGCCGGAUAAGGUUGCUGGCUCAUUCCGGAUUGACCAUGAUUGGAGUCAUGGCCACGUGCAUUAUGCAAGGGGUGCAGCCGCUCCAAUAUAGGGGCCACCCCAUGUGGGAUUUCAACGGGGAGAAUGACGCCACCCAUCACGGCCGCAAGGGGCCGGGAUCGGCCGCCGAUCUGGUGAAGAUCCUGUCCGGCUUGUACAAGGGGGAGAAGGAGGACUUCUUCCAAACGAGUCCAUUAAAUGGAUUCUCCAUGAAUAACCCUUGGAGCUGGGUAAGCAGAUGUUUUAUCUAUCCGAUCCGUGCCUUCAAAGUUAAGUGUCUUACUUUAUGAUUUCGACGCAGGAAUUGCGCCGGGAUGUGGAGGGCAUACAUAGUCCGACUCCACAACCCGAGGAUCCGGAAAGAUCCCUUGAUCCGGCCUCCGAAGAGGAUUCGAACAUAAAGGUGGAGCUGAUUGACGGGGUGUUCCACCAACUCAGUAUGGACAAUGCUCUAGUCGCCAUUACGGCUGACUAACCCGGUUUAUCUCCGGCUACCCAGGCAACUAUGUCCAGAGUCCUGACACCAUUACUUUGUCCGUGUUUAUUUCUGACCACCGUAUACCAAUGGUGUUUCGCAGGAGGUGCCUUCAGGGCGGGAAGCCGAUCCCGCGGCGGCUGACCAACAAGGGUCAGUUCGGCCCAGCAGGCAAAAGAGGGGUGCGGUGCGAAUCGAAUCGUCGCCGCAACGGUACAGCACGCCACCGUUUUUAAGGGAAAGAUUCCUGGGAGGUAUAUUAAUGCUCAUGACUUUUCCAGGAGAAAGAGCGCUCGUCGGACUGUGCCCGGAGAGGUUGCCAACCAAGCCUCCGCCAGCCAGGCUCCAACACCUGGUCCGGAGGGGGAGGUGAGUGCAAGGCGCGAGCCGGAUGCUCCUCCAACGGAGGAUGCCGACAGGCUGUCCGCCACCAGGUCUGAGGUGGAGAGCGCCAUGAAUCAUAGGCGCCGCCAGACAGUUCUUCAUGACACGUGUUUCUCCCCAGAGGCGUUGAAUGCCUUUAAUGCGGGAGACACGCACCUCCGUGCCGCUCAAGAUGGUUUAACCAGAGCCACGGAGCAGUAUGUGAAAGACAUACGGGUAAGGAAUUUAAUAGUUAUAUAUGCCAGUAGCCCCCCGAGACUUAAAGUAGUUAGAAAAACUGAUUUAAGGAUCAUUCGAUAUGCAGGAUCUUACGGAGAAGAAUACCCAAUUGUCCCAGGAGCUUCAAGAGUGCAAGGCCCAACUUGAGGCCGCACUAGCCGCCGCAGGAGGAGACACAGAGACCCCCUCUGGUAACACAUAUUUCAAAAAGAUAAGCGGUUUAUGGCGUGCGGCGUGCGUAUAAAUCUGACAAUAAUAAUGCAGAGGGCGCCGGACUGGAUCCGGACAAGCAACAUCUGCUACGCCAGCUGAAGGCCGGUGAAAAGGUGCUUAUGAGGGUGCAGCAGGAGAGAAACAAACUCCAAGAUGCCAACACCCAGCUGGGUGAAGAACUUAAAGAUGUUCGGGUCCAGCUGUCUGACUCCGUAAAGGAGAAUCGGCGGCUUCGUCGCGGCAUCUACAGUAAGUGCUUAAGCAAACUCUUUUGAAAAGAAGAGUUCUACGAGGCAGUCGAUUGACAGAAAUGUGUCUGUAAGUGUGCUCACAGGUCGCCCUGCGGAGGAGAUGCCCGGUUCAACGGGUGACCAACUUCCCGAGCUGUUGCAACUGCACGAACGUGUUCGGCAAGCGAUGAGUGGCGUCGCCCAGGCCUUAUGGCCGUCCGUCUCCCUACCUGAGGGUCUUGGAGAGCUUGCGGAGAAGCUUCAGGGAGCACGGCAGCGCUUCCGUCUAUGGAAGAUAUCGGCCUGCCGUCAAGGCGCCAGGGAGGCCUGGGCCAUGGUGAAGACGCAGUACACGAAGGCGGAUCCAAACCACAUGGCCGAGGUCGGACCUGUGGGGCCCGAUGGGAAGGAGAUCCCUGUGAGCUUAAUGUACGGCCAAGUAGAGUUGGCCGCUAAAUAUUCCCAACGGGACUAUAAAUUAGACAGCCUGUUAGACGGGAUUGAAGAAGAGUACAAUCAGUCAAUUUGACAAUGUAUUUUCAAAUGACAUGUAAAAUGCCUUCUAGCCGAAUUGUAGAUCGUUUGUCUUUGCGGACCUUUUUGCUUCAACCUCAGGACCCUAGAGUCCGGAGUGUGUCCGAAUACCCUCUCGGUUAUAAAAAAACCGGGGCAUGCAUAAAGACCAGGCGUAGGGGUCAUUAGUGCUUUAUCAGACAAGUGCCCAACUAGUUAUGUUAUAUUACAUGGUUAGUAAGAAACAUCUUCCAGGGAGAAUAGUUCCGUUAGGGGUUCCUUUCCCUGGGAGGCAUGCCCUAAAGUGCAUGUUCGGACUGCGAAAAGAGCAGAAAAGCAUCUGGGGGCAGACGAAUAGAUAGGUAAAAAAUCAUCUUUCAAGUCAACGACCGAAUAUUCCCUUAAGAACGCUAGCUUUCGGCUUCACCCAGUCUGAGGUACACAUCCGGCUGACCCGGCAGUAACAAUCGCAGAGGUGCUCCCUUUACCUCCUAGCCGAACAAUCGGGAACGUAGGGGUAAGCACAGGAGCCAGGCAACCCAGCUUGGCCAAAACUUAAGUCAUAUCGAUGCAUAUAAUGGUGAAUAAAAGGUACAUGCGGAAGUUUAACACAUGUGUUGGGCAUAAAGCCCGUAUAAAUAAGCUUUUGUUAAAGAAGCCCCCAGGUAUAAUGAGUGCGAGUAGCACGUCAAGUGUGUGCGAACAAUGCGCAGAUCAGCCCUCAAAUGCUCUAUUAAAAAGGGAGGAGAAAAGGGAGAAACAAAAGACAACUGAAGUAUAAAAUGUGGACGGAGGAAGGAGACGAACUCUGAGUCCAGCGUUAGGCGUAGAAUCUUUGGAGGUGGGUUGCGUUCCAUGGUUUCGGCUUGAGUCGGUUGUCCGAUGCGUUUCGCAGACGGUAUGCUCCGCCGGUCAGGACUUGGUCGAUGAUGAAGGGACCUUCCCAUUUGGGCUUGAGUUUGUCCUUUUUCUUGUCUGGCAGGCGUAGAACUAGUUCGCCAACAUUGUAAGUUUUGGCCCGUACUUCUCUGCUUUGAUAUCUUCGAGCCUGCUGCUGAUAGAAUGCGGAACGAGCCUUUGCCACAUCGCGCUCCUCCUGCAAUGCGUCCAAACUGUCCUGCCGAUCCAACUCGGCUUCUGUUUCUUCGUACAUGCGCACUCGAGGUGAGUCAUGAAUUAUAUCACAGGGCAAAACUGCCUCUGCACCGUAUACCAUAAAGAAUGGCGUGAAUCCGGUAGUACGAUUUGGCGUGGUCCGCAGCCCCUAGAGUACGGAGUCGAGCUCCUCUACCCAAUGCGUGUUAGAUUCCGUGAGGGACCGCACUAACCUGGGUUUGAUGCCGCUCAUGAUUAGACCAUUUGCUCGUUCGACCUGACCGUUAGUUUGAGGGUGAUAGACUGAAGCGUAGUCGAGCUUGAUGCCCAUAUUUUUGCACCAGAGUUUAACCUCGUCGGUCGUGAAGUUCGCGCCGUUAUCGGUGAUGAUGCUGUGGGGGACGCCAUAACGGUGUACUACCCCGGAUAUGAAGUCUAUCACAGGUCCGGAUUCGGCCGUUUUAACUGGCUUGGCCUCUAUCCAUUUGGUGAAUUUGUCCACCAUGACCAAUAGGUACUUUUGCUUGUGGGUUCCCCCCUUAAGGGGUCCAACCAUGUCAAGCCCCCAAACCGCGAACGGCCAGGUGAUGGGUAUAGUUUUGAGGGCGGUGGGUGGCAUGUGGCUCUCAUUAGCAAAGAGCUGGCAACCGACGCAUCGUUGGACUAAGUCCUGAGCAUCUGCCCGGGCCGUCGGCCAAUAAAAUCCUGUACGGAAGGCCUUUCCUACAAGGGCCCGGGCUGCGGUGUGGUGCCCGCCGAGUCCGGUGUGAAUUUCAGCCAGAAGAUUUUUCCCUUCCUCUUCGGAGAUGCACCUUUGAAAUACUCCGGUUGUGCUUUUCUUAUAAAGCUCUCCCUCAUGGACCUUGUAGGUAUUAGAUCGCCGUACUAUGCAGCGAGCCUCAUUUUGGUCUUCGGGGAGUUCCUGCCUGAUUAGGUAGGCUAGGAAUGGUUCCGUCCACGGGGCGAUGACUGCCAUUAUUUCGUAGGCUGAAGGUGUUAUUUCAUUGGCUGAGCCACCGAUUGUGUCAGAAUGUUCGUUGUUGGGCGGUGUGGUUGGUUCCGGAUUGUUGUUUCCGGACUCCUCUUCCCAUACUACGGAUGGCUUAAAGAGCCGCUCUAGGAAGAUGUUUGGAGGGACGGUGUCGCGUUUUGCGCCGAUGCGUGCCAACACGUCGGCUGCCUGGUUAUUAUCCCGGGCUACAUGGUGGAAUUCGAGUCCUUCGAACCGAGCUGACAUUUUUAAGACGGCGUUACGAUAGGCUGCCAUUUUCGGAUCCUUGGCGUCAAAGUCUCCAUUUACUUGGGAUAUUGCGAGGUUUGAAUCCCCGCGCACCUCUAGGCGUUGAAUACCCAUGGAGAUUGCCAUCCGGAGACCAUGUAGAAGGGCCUUGUAUUCGGCUGCAUUGUUGGAGUCCGUGUACAUUAUCUAAAGUACAUAUUGGACUGUAUCUCCGGUUGGGGACGUCAAUAUGAUGCCAGCCCCCAAGCCGGCCAACAUUUUGGAGCCGUCAAAAUGCAUGAUCCAAUUGGAGUAUGCGCCGUACUCUUUAGGGAGUUCGGCUUCGGUCCAUUCGGCGAUGAAGUCAGCCAAAACUUGCGACUUUAUAGCUCACCGUGGUUUGUAGGUUAUAUCAAAUGGUAAGAGCUCAAUGGCCCAUUUUGCAAUCCUGCCCGUCGCGUCGCGGUUGUUUAUAAUGUCGUUGAGAGGUACUUCGGAGGCUACUGUUAUCGAACACUCUUGAAAGUAGUGUCGCAGCUUCCGGGAUGCCAUGAACACUGCGUACGCUAUCUUUUGAUAAUGUGGGUACCAAGACUUGCAUGGAGUUAAGACAGUGGAUACAUAGUACACUGGUUUUUGAAGAGGGAAUUUGUGCCCUUCUGUUUCUCGUUUGACGACGAGCACCGCGCUUACAACUUGAUGUGUUGCCGCGAUAUAUUACAACAUUGGUUCGCCCAAGUUGGGCGUGGCCAGGACCGGAUUUGUUGCCAAUAUGGCUUUUAUUUCUUCGAGUGCGGCCGUGGCAGCAUCCGUCCUUUCGAAGUGUUUGGUGUGCCUGAGGAGGCGGUAGAGGAGCAAUGCCUUUUCUCCCAAACGGGAGUGAAGCGGCUUAGAGCCGCCACGCAUCCAGUCAAUUUUGUAUUUGUUUGAGGUCUUUUGGGAUAUCCAACUGUGACAGAGCUCGGAUCUUGGCUGGGUUUGCUUCAAUUCCUCUACCGGAUACAAUGAAGCCCAAGAGCUUUCCGGCUGGUAUGCCGAAAACGCUUUUUCCGGGUUGAUCUUAAUGUCAUAUGCUCGGAGGUUGUCGAAUGUGAGCCUCAAGUCGUCUACUAGAGUUUCGACGUGUUUGGUCUUGAUGACCACAUCGUCUACGUAUGCCUCCACUGUUUUGCCGAUCUGGGUAGCCAGACAUGUCUGAAUCAUGCGCUGAUAUGUUGCGCCGGCGUUUUUGAGUCCGAAGGGCAUUGUGUUGAAGCAGAACGGUCCGUAUGGAGUAAUGAAUGCCGUUGCGGCUUGGUCAAUCUCCGCCAUCUUGAUUUGAUGGUAGCCGGAGUAUGCGUCGAGGAAGCACAAUGAAUCGUGCCCUGCGGUAGCAUCGAUGAUUUGAUCGAUGCGGGGAAGGGGGAAAUGAUCCUUUGGACAAGCCUUGUUAAGGUCUUUAAAAUCGACACACAGGCGCCAGGAUUUGUCCUUUUUUGGUACCAUUACCAGGUUUGCUAGCCAGUCCGGAUGUUUGAUGUCUCUGAUAAAUCCAGCUUCUAAUAGUUUGGCUAGCUCCUCUCCCAUUGCCUGUCUUUUGGGUUCGGAAAAUCACCGAAGAGCCUGUUUGACUGGCUUGAAUCCUUUUACGAUGUUUAGGCUGUGUUCUGCCAAUCUGCGUGGGAUUCCUGGCAUAUCUGAAGGGUGCCAGGCAAAGAUGUCCCAAUUUUCCUGAAGGAAUUCUCGUAGUGCAGCGUCUACAUCAGGGUUUAAUUAUGCCCCAAUGGAGGCCAUCUUUGUGGGGUCCGUUGGAUGGACCUGGAAUUUGACUAUUUCGUCUGCUGGUUUAAAGGAGGUGGACUUGGAUCUCUUAGCGAGUAUCACAUCGUCCCUGUUCACCGUGGAGCGCAGCGCAGUGAGUUCCCCUGCCGCUAGGGCUUCGGAUAGUGCCUCUAGGGCUAGUGCGGCUGUCUUGUUUUCGGUGCGGAGUGCUAUGUCCGGGUCACUCACAAGAGUGAUGAUUCCAUUGGGCCCGGGCAUUUUAAGCUUCAUGUACCCGUAAUGGGGUAUGGCUUGGAAAAUUGUGAAUGCCUCUCGUCCUAAUAAAGCGUGAUAUCCGCUGCUGAAUGGGGCCACUUGGAACGUGACCUCCUUGGACCUGUAAUUGUCCGACGAGCCGAACACCACAUCAAGUGUAAUUUUUCCUGUGGAGCGUGCUUCCCGACUAGGGAUUAUUCCUCUAAAGGUUGUGCUGCUUCGUUCAAUGCGGCUCCAGUCUAUUUCCAUUUUUCGAAGGGUUUCCUCGUAGAUGAGGUUUAAACCGCUACCGCCAUCCAUGAGUACCUUGGUAAGACGAAAGCCGUCCACUAUUGGACUGAGGACCAAUGCGGCUGGUGCUCGGGCUAUCCAAAAUUUAGGUUCGUCGCUGGCGUUGAAGGUGAUAGCCGUGUCGCUCCAUGGAUUUGUUGUUGCUACUUGGUAGACUUCGGCGAGGCUGCGAAUUGUUCGUUUCCGCAUGUUAUUUGAUGCGAAAGUCUCGAAGACUGUUAAUACCGUACUGGUACUGUUGGGGUGGUUCUCCGGGGCUAGAAGCUCUUCGCCACUUUUGGCCACCUGCCGCAGUAUCCAACAUGCUCGAAGGCUAUGUGUUGGAGUGGCGCCCUCUGUACUAUGAAUUUUACAGGGUCCGCUGAGCCAUCCCUCCAGUACGGUUCCGUGCCCUUUAUGGGGUUUUUGCUUUUUGGUUUUUGUCCCGGGUGCCUGAGCGUGAUGCACCCUUUUGUUUCGGACUAGGGUUGUGUUUGGAGCCGGAUUGUCCCAAAACUUAGUUUCGGUUUUCCAGAUACUCUCCAUCGCACAGUACUUUCGUACUAUGGACGCCAGGUCGGCGAAGCGUGUGAUUUCGCGACGACUUACGACGUUCAAGAUUCCCUUGUCCGUGCAAUUGCUGCAGAAAAUUGAGAUUGCGUUUUCCUCACGGCAGUCCUUUAUCCUGUUCAUAACCAGGAGGAAUCUGGCCCAGUAAUGAUGUACUGUUUCAGCGGGCUCUUGCCGGAUUUGAGAUAGAUCGCUUAUGUUUGGGUGGGCGGGUGGAAUUAAGUCCGGAACCCUGCCCAACUUGAGGCUCAAGGGCCGAAAAGUUUCUGAAUUUGGAAGCUUGGAUUGCUGGAUGUCGUCCAAUGAAUCUGGUCCGCUGCCUGACUUUAGGUUCAGUACUUGAUUGACGUCCGUCCCUCCAUGGGAAUCCGGCAUGGAGGGAUUAGGAGUCCGGACAUAAAUGGUUUUUAAUAUAGAAGAAGAAUCGCCGCGUUGUUCCUCUACCACAACAACGUGGUGGGUAACCUGUGGAGAGUUAAUCUCUCUCAGAUCGGUUUUAAGCCCGAUCUGAUCGUAGUCUGUAGCGACUCCCAAGGCGGCGAUGCGAUCCAAGAGCUCGUUUACGGAAGAGAGCUCCAUCGGAUCUAGCCACUCGGUGAAUUCUGAGUUGACGUGAAGAUCGCUUUUGAUGACCCGAGAGGUCAACGUCGAAGCGGCGGCCGAACAGGUGGUUAUAAGAAAACCACCUAGCCGGAUAGUUUGGCCGGCGGCCAAAGCUCCUUUGGCAAUGGUACUGUCUUUAAAGACAGGAAGAGGCAUCCUUCCUGAUCGUGACGGCACAGAGGAACUCUCAAUGAAAGCACCAAUGUUGGUGACAAAACCGGCGGAUCUCGGGUAGGGGGUCCCGAACUGUGUGUCUAGGCGGAUGGUAACAGGAGACAAGGGACACGAUGUUUUUACCCAGGUUCGGGCCCUCUCAAUGGAGGUAAAACCCUACUCUUGCUUGAUUAAUAUUGAUGAUAUGGGUAGUACAAGAGUGGAUCUACCACGAGAUCAAGGAGGCUAAACCCUAGAAGCUAGCCUAUGGUAUGAUUGUUGUUCGUCCUAUGGACUAAAACCCUCCGGUUUAUAUAGACACCGGAGAGGGCUAGGGUUACAAAGAGUCGGUUACAAUGGUAGGAGAUCUACAUAUCCGUAUUGCCAAGCUUGCCUUCCACGCCAAGGAAAGUCCCAUCCGGACACGGGACGAAGUGUUCAAUCUUGUAUCUUCAUAGUCUUGGAGUCCGGCCGAUGAUGAUAGUUCGGCUAUCCGAACACCCCCUAAUCCGGGACUCCCUCAGUCCCUCUCCCUUUCUCUCCAUCUCUCUCUCUCUCUCUCUCUCUCUCUCUCUUUGUGUGUGUGUGUGUGUGGGGGGUAUUUCUAGUUCGCAUGCAUAUAUACAGCAUCUAUAGGUCUCUCCCGCACACUAUGUAUGAUACUCUAGCUAGUCCAAGCUAGAUAUCUUGGGUGCACUCAUCGUAUGCACACAAAUUCCUUUGCUCGUUGCCCGUAACUCUCUUACGCACCACUCUGUCAUCUCGGAGCUCUUCCCCCCCUCUCUCAAACUCUCCAUCCACCUGGGUCACACAUACACAUGCAUAUCUCAAUCGCACUCGAUAGGCCCAUCUAAAACUCUAUCUCUCUCCCUCGUUCUCUCUCCAUCUCACAUGCACGCACACACAAUCUCAUGCCUAGCUAGCCAAGUAUGAUGGUCUCUCACUCAAUUGUAGGCACGCGCAGUCCCCCCUAUAUGUAUAUGACUAGCUAAUCUUAGUCUCCAUCACAAACAUGUGCAUGGUCUAUCUCGGUUUCUCUCGGGGCAUCUUUCUAUCGCACAUGCACCUCCCUCGAUCUCCCACCCAUAUAGUCCCCUCAUGAUCUCGAGGGGAUCUCUCUAUCACAAACACACCCUCUCUCCCUCCCCAUUCGUCCAUGUCCUCCAUGUGUCCCUCUCGACCUUUGUUCCUUGUUGGCCAGACCUCUAUUGGACAUGUGCUACAGGGGUGUCUCUCUCCGUUGCAAACAAUCACACACUAGCUAUCUUCGUGUAUCUCCUCGCCUCACUUUUCUAUCUCGGAGAUGCAUGCGUGACAUGUUCGCAUAAGAAACGAAAAAACACACACUCUCUCUAAUUUACCGUUUGUUGUCACUUUCUCUUUCACACACAUACUCUUUUUGAACACUUACUCAUUCUCCUUCACACGCACUUGAUCUGUCUCGACUUAGGCACUCUCCUCGGUCCAUAGCAUAUAGAUUUAUUGAAAAGUCAAGCAUCACAAAGUUUGACCAUAUGUACGUGGAGAAAAAAAUUACAUCUAGAACGGCAAACAUAUACCAUUAGAUUCACCAUGAGAUGUAGUUUUGUAUGAUGUAUUUUUGGUAUUGUAGAUAUAAAUAACAUUUGCGUCAACCUGAUCAAAGUUUCCAAAGUUUGAAUUCUAAAAAAUUUACAUGCACCGCAUUAUCGAGCAGAUGGAAUAUCUCUUUCCCCCUUUCAGCUAUCUGACGCACCACUCAACCUUAUCGGGUCUCCUCAAUCUCUCUCUAACUUUAUUGGUCUGUUUGGUUCGUGACCUAACCCUCAUGCCUUGAUGGCCAGUAGUGCCUGGUGUGGACGUGAGAUGUAAAAUAUUUCUGCCUGGCCAGGCUUGUGUGGUGCUGAAGCGUUUGGUUCGUGCCUGGGCCAGGCAAAGCAUCAAUGUCCCAUCAAUCAAUGCAUGCAGAAAUUAUUUAAUGAUAAUAUCCAUCCAGGUUGUUGUUAGCCUCAUGUCCGCAUGACCAGGCACGGCCAGGCAUUCAAAAUCGGUCGCCUGGGCCAGGCUACUUGCAGUGUCUGGAGUCCAACCAGGCUAAUUAAAGUGCAAGGGAAUCCAGGCCAGGCGGGCUUUCUUUUUCACAGGGUAGCAACCAAACAAGCGUGCAUGAAAUCCAACCACAACCCCAGGCUAGGCAAAAGAUUCUCAGGACGCAAGCCAAACUGACCUUAUAUCUCCACGGUUCACACAUACACAUGUCUCGCUCGCGCUAUACAUAUAGACCCAUCCAACACUCUCCUCCCUUGUUCUCUCUCCAUGUGACACGCACCCCCCUAAGUACCAUAAUCCCUCACUCCAUCAUAGGCGCAAGCACUCCCCCCUCCUAAGAAUGAUUAUCUCUUACUAGCCAUCAGGAACACACGUAUUGUCUCCUUCCAUCCAUACGUGUAACGCCCCGAAUUCGAUGCGCCAGGUGUCUGCCAGUUAUUUGCCAUCGUUGCCAUGGCAUUUGCUUGCGUGUUGCACUUUGCCAUGUCAUCAUAUGCAUUUCAUAUCAUGUCGUCAUGUGCAUCACAUUUGCAUACGUGUUCGUUUCAUGCAUCCGAGCAUUUUCCCCAUUGUCCGUUUUGCAAUCCGGCACUCCUAUGUCCUCCGGCGUCCCCCUUUUGUCUCUUGUUCUGAGAGGGUGUUAAACUUUAUCGAAAUGGACCGAGGUUUGCCAAGCGGCCUUGGUACACCACCGGUAGACCGCCUGUCAAGUUUCGUGCCAUUUGGAGGUCGUUUGAUACUCCAAUGGUUGACCGGGUAACCAUAAAGGCCUCUUUUGUGUGCAGCCCAACAGCCCUCCAAAGUGGCCCAAAACCCAUCUAAGUCACCUCCAUCCUCUCGGCCGUUUGAUCACGAUCGUGUGGGCGAAAACCGCACCUCAUUUGGACUCGCCUAGCUCCCUCUACCUAUAUAUAUGCCUCUCCCCCCGAAAUUCGCGGAUGAAACCCUAGUCUUCUUCCACCUCUCGCCGCCGAACAUGUCAAUCCCGCGCCGGACGUGUCCGCCUCCGCCCCACGCCCAAUCGUCGCGCGCCACGUGUCCCAGCGCCGUCCUCUGCCGUCGCCGGCCCGUGUGGCCCGCAGCAAGCCCGCGGGGNNNNNNNNNNNNNNNNNNNNNNNNNNNNNNNNNNNNNNNNNNNNNNNNNNNNNNNNNNNNNNNNNNNNNNNNNNNNNNNNNNNNNNNNNNNNNNNNNNNNNNNNNNNNNNNNNNNNNNNNNNNNNNNNNNNNNNNNNNNNNNNNNNNNNNNNNNNNNNNNNNNNNNNNNNNNNNNNNNNNNNNNNNNNNNNNNNNNNNNNNNNNNNNNNNNNNNNNNNNNNNNNNNNNNNNNNNNNNNNNNNNNNNNNNNNNNNNNNNNNNNNNNNNNNNNNNNNNNNNNNNNNNNNNNNNNNNNNNNNNNNNNNNNNNNNNNNNNNNNNNNNNNNNNNNNNNNNNNNNNNNNNNNNNNNNNNNNNNNNNNNNNNNNNNNNNNNNNNNNNNNNNNNNNNNNNNNNNNNNNNNNNNNNNNNNNNNNNNNNNNNNNNNNNNNNNNNNNNNNNNNNNNNNNNNNNNNGCCGACCAGGGCGCAGCCGCCCGCGCCUCCCCGGCCCCGCGCCGCCGGUGCCCGCCGGUGCUGCCUCCUCCGGCAACCCCCGACCCCGCCGCCUCCGGAUCCGGCCUCCCCGGCCCCAUCCCCGACUUCUCCGGCCGCUGGCGCCUCAGAUCCGGCGAGAUCCGCCGCCGCAUCGAAUUCCGUGCACCCCGAGGUUGACUUCGAAAAUCUGCUAAGUCCCUGGUUUUCAGCAUCAUAUAGGCAUCUUUGACCUGCUGUAUCUUCUUGCAUGUAGCUCAGUUUUGUGCGUGUAAUAUAUGAAAUUGUUCGUUGUAAGAUGUUAUUCAUUUCAUUCUAUUGUGCCAUGUUUGUUUGAGUCAAUCUUGAUGCCCAAAUCAUCGUUGCAAGAGUGCUAUGUGAUGUUAACUGCUGUCUGCUAAUAGAACUUGAUGAUUUGUCUUUUUCGUUACAUUUUGUGUGUGCAUCCUAUGAGCAUGAGCUCUACAUGUGCUUUGUGCUACAUCAUGCCAUCUUUACAGUGGUUCCAUCUAUGUAUUUUUGUGAGCCUUGUUGUGAGUGCAUUGAGCUCGUGAAGUAGGGUACUUGCUGUUGCUGUUUUGCUAUGUUGUUUCUGUUAUAUUAUGAUGCUAUGUAAACCUGCUACUACAAGUCAUUCUAUGCAUAAUCUGGAGAUGUUCACUAAGGAUGUUUUGUUAAACAUGUCAUGCUCUAUCCACUAAUGCCACUUUUAGCAUUUAUAGCCCGCCGUAACAUGUUGUUAUCUUGCUCCAAACUUGCUAAAUAAUGUUGCUGUCGGCCUGUUAACAUUAGGUUCAGUUUUGCCAUGAGUUUUGCUAGUGAUCCAUGCACCCUAUGAACUUGAUCUUGCCAUUCUUAGCUUCAUAAACAUGAAUUCUUACUGUUGGUUGCCUUGUCAUGCCAUGUAUUUCUCUGUGGUGAGUGGUACGAGCUCACCAACAUGCCUACUUAUUGUUGUUCCUGCCAUGUAUGAAUCUCUCAUAUUAUUUGCCAUGUUUGCAUGGAUGGUACCAUCUUUUCUGUUGAUCUUUAGAAUUAGUUCAGUAAGGGAGUUUUGUUCUUUGUCUGUAGUACUAGCAUGCCAUGCCUUUGUUUUCCAUGUUAAGUUCCUGUAACAUGUUGUUUGAUAGCUCUAAACAUUGCAACCUGAUGUUAUUACUGCCAAGUCUGAAACUGUUAUAAUUUGCAAUCUUGACAUGUCCUUUUGAGCAUGUUCUAGUGUUUUCUGGAGAUAGCUCAGUGUUCAUGUUUUGACAUGCUUUACCUGUACUUCAUGCCCAUGCCUUUUGUUAUUAUGUUGAGGUGCUGUAGCAUAUUGUUGUGAUGCUUGCAAGAUGCCUAGUUGCUGUUUUGGACAGCUUGUCCUUUAAACUUGUUUCAUGUGUAUGUGUUGAGGUGCUUCUCUAAGUGUUGGUCCGAACCGAGCAGCCUGCGGGGCCCCCUCGGGGAAACUCGAGGUCUGGUUUUACUCGUAGCUUGACUUAUUCGGUGUUGCCCUGAGAACGAGAUAUGUGCAGCUCCUAUCGAGAUUGUCGGCGCAUCGGGCGGCUUUGCUGGUCUUGUUUUACCAUUGUCGAAAUGUCUUGUAAACCGGGAUUCCGAGACUGAUCGGGUCUUCCUGGGAGAAGGAAUAUCCUUUGUUGAUCGCGAGAUUUUAUCAUGGGCUAAGUUGGGACACCCCUGCAGGGUAUAAACUUUCGAGAGCCGUGCCCGCGGUUAUGUGGCAGAUGGGAAUUUGUUAAUGUCCGGUUGUAGAUAACUUGACACCAGAUCCGAAUUAAAAUGCAUCAACCGCAUGUGUAGCCGUGAUGGUAUCUUUUCGGCGGAGUCCGGGAAGUGAACACGGUUUUGGGUUAUGUUAGCCACCAUAUCAUGCUUAGUCGCUGCUGCAACCUCACCACUUUAUCCCUUCCUUACCCUUUAAGCUUUGCUAGUCUUGAUACCCAUGGUAAUGGAAUUGCUGAGUCCUCGUGGCUCAAAGAUUACUACAACAACAGUUGCAGGUACAGGUUAUGCGAUGGUCAUGACACGAGAGUGAUGUUUGCUUGUUUUGGAGUUCUUCUUCUGCUUCUUCUUCGAUCAGGGGAUAGGUUCCAGGUCGACAACCUAGGCUAGCAGGGUGGAUGUCGUUUGAGUUCUUGUUUCUGUUUCAUCCGUAGUCGGAUGUUGAUCUUGUGUAUGAUGGAUUGAUGUAUUCUUGCGACAUUUGUAUGCCUUGUAUGUACCCCCAUCUAUUAUCUAAUGUUGAUGUAAUGAUAUCCACCUUGCAAAAGCGUCUUCAAGAUGCGCUUCUAUCCUUGGUGGGACCUUCGAGUUCCUUUAGGAUAGGGUCGCAUCUUGGGUGUGACAAGUUGGUAUCAGAGCCUCGACCGACCAUAGGAGCCCCCUUGAUUGAUCGUGUAGUUUGGCCGUUGUCGAGUCUAGAAGAAAACUUUUUCGGAGUCUAGUUAUAUCGGAGAGUAGGAAUUCUUCUUACUCCUCUUCCCCUUCAAAUUUUCUUUAGGAUCACGUAGUUGGUUUUUUGUUCGUAGGUUCUCCGCUCUUUUCAUCCGGUGCUUUUCUUGUCAAGUUGACUCGAGCCUCUUCAUCUUUGCCAAGUUCAAUCCUCAGUUGUUUUCUUUUCCCACCCGCCCCCCUUUUCUUCUCGGAGCCGGAGUCCGUAAUCGAGUAUCCAUCCUACUCGUGCGAAGUCUUUGCUUUCUUUCCUCAAUGAUUUCAACCGGUGUUUUCUCUUCAAGUUAUUCAUCGGUUUUCCCCUUCCAAGUUGCCUUUGUUUUCCCGCCCUCCCACCCUUUUCUUCCCGGAGUCUGAGUCUCUCUCGACCAUCAAUUUCAUUCGUUCGGGGCCUCGUCAGUCUUUCGUCAAUUGUUUCAACUGGUGAAUUUCUCUUUUGUUCGACAUUCUUCAUCUCUUUUCCGGUGGACUCAAUUCAAGUUUUUUUUCCAGGUUGAUCACAUUCUUUUGCUUGGAUCAAGUGUUUUCCUUGCUCAUUCGCCUCUCUCCAGUUUAUCCUUCCGGAGUGUUCAAGACAUCUCAGGAGAUUCGUCUUGUUCCAAUUAAUUCGAGGUUGUCACCUCAUUCAAAUAUUUCAAUUGCUCCGAUGCAUCAUCUAUCUGUUCAACAUUCCUUUACAACGGUGUUUUUCUCUUCAGUGGGCCCUAACCCACAGGUCUUUCCCAGGAUCUUACCUGACUUUUCUGAUUUUUCCGGAGCUAUUCUUAAUUCUUUUUGAAGUAUGACGUAAGUAUGAAUUUCAUUAGUCAGAUGCUUUUCCAAGAUCAAUUUCAAAUCAUUUUCAUUGUUCCCUCAACCUCUUCGCUUUUCGUUCUCCCGGAGUAUCUCAGUAAUUUUGUUGGUGUUUUCCGUCGUCAUUUGAAGACCGAAGAAGAGUUUUUUCUUCUAAAUCUUGCCCGUUAUCUCGAAGAUUUGUGGUUCUAGCUUCAUGAUAUCCUCUCGAAUUAUUCCGUUUGUCAGAGAUUCUUUUCUUACACAUCCGGAGUAUUUCAGGAGUUGCUUUCCCAUUUCAUUGUUCUGGAGGCCCCCAUUUCAGAAUAUUUCUUCGUUCUAAGUUUUCAAAUUCGUUCUCCAAUUAUUCUAUACCCGUGCCCCUUCGUUCGUCUCAAUAUUCUUCGGGUGCUUCGUUCAAGUAUUCUUCUAUCAUUUCGCGAUCUCUUCGUUCUCUUGUCUCUAAAUUCCCUCAAGUAUCCUUUUGCGUUUCUAAUUCUUCCCGGUGAUUCCAUUCCUUUUCUCCAUUCAAUUUUGAAUUCUUCCGGUGGUUCGUUGAAGAGUUCUUUUCUGUUGUUAUCGUAUAAAUUCAUUCGUUCUUUUCAAUCCUACCGGUGGUUCAUGAAGACCUUCUCAAGUUUGUGAUAUGUCACUUCUCAAUCCGUUUCAAGAAGAAUAAGUAGUACGCAAAAUCCAUUGCUUGUCAUCAAUUUAAUUUGAUGAAGGAUAAGCAUACAAUAAAUCUUAUUCUUAUUUCAUCCAAGUGAGUAAUCCCUUUCUUCGGAGUUUGUUCUUGAUGAAUAAAUUCUAGUUCCAAGUGUUUUCAUCUUUUCUUUUCCGGAGUUCAAAUUUCCUCGGCCAUCUCGUCAGAACCUCCAUCUAAAUCAUCGCAAGGAUCAUCUUAUUCUUUCAUCCUUCAUUCUAUCUCAUCAUCCUUUUGUCACCGAAGUUCUUCAUGGUGGUUCUUCAUGAUUUAAUUCAUUCUUUCAAGUGUUCAUCAAGAUUCUUGUUGGAGGAGCUCAAGUUUAUUCUUCUUGCAUCUCGAAGCGCAAUUAAUUCUCCGUAUUCUUUUCAAGUGGAGAUUUGCAUUUCUUCGUUAUUCCCAGAUAUUCAAGCUUUUGGUUGUGGCAUAAUUUCACCUCAUAAUUUCUGAGAUGUUAUCCAUAAGUCCACAACAAGCUUAUUCUUUUGUUGUUGAUUUUCUCAACAACUCCGUUUAAACCUUCCUUCUAAAGAUGCUUUCUAUUUCAUUCGUGGAACAAGUUGUCAUUUUCUUCUCCGUUCUUUUCAUUCAACUCUUGCAAUUCUUUCCGGACGUUUUGUGUCAUGUCUUCAUCAAGUACCAUUCCAUCCUCUCAAGCUCGUGUUCUAUUCCUCCAUGUUUCAGCCGGAGUGCUGUCCAAAUUCUUUCGUGCUUAUUCUUUUCUGCCUUGUCUAACCAGAGUGGUUUUAGAGUCUAUCUUGUUUCCAUGAGCAUUUGAUUCUCAUCAUAUUCGUCGUUCCUUUUCCUACCCAGUGCUCUCAACUUUGUUCAUCCUCUCUCUUUUGUUCUUAUUUCAUCUCAUCCCUCCCCCCUCUCGGUCCUAAGAUCUUGGGAUGAGAUCUCUUGUUAGUGGAGGAGUGUUGUAACGCCCCGGAUUCGAUGCGCCAGGUGUCUGCCAGUUAUUCACCAUCGUUGCCAUGGCAUUUGCUUGCGUGUUGCACUUUGCCAUGUCAUCAUAUGCAUUUCAUAUCAUGUCGUCAUGUGCAUCGCAUUUGCAUACGUGUUCGUUUCAUGCAUCCGAGCAUUUUCCCCGUUGUCUGUUUUGCAAUCCGGCACUCCUAUGUCCUCCGGCGUCCCCCUUUUGUCUCUUGUUGAGCGGGUGUUAAACUUUCUCGGAAUGGACCGAGGUUUGCCAAGCGGCCUUGGUACACCAUCGGUAGACCGCCUGUCAAGUUUCGCGCCAUUUGGAGGUCGUUUGAUACUCCAACGGUUGACCGGGUAACCGUAAAGGCCUCUUUUGUGUGCAGCCCAACACCCCUCCAAAGUGGCCCGAAACCCAUCUAAGUUACCUCCAUCCUCUCGGCCGUUCGAUCACGAUCGUGUGGGCAAAAAUCGCACCUCAUUUGGACUCUCCUAGCUCCCUCUACCUAUAUAUAUGCCUCUCCCCCCGAAAUUCGCGGAUGAAACCCUAGUCUUCUUCCACCUCUCGCCGACGGACAUGUCCAUUCCGCGCCGGACGUGUCCGCCUCCGCCCCACGCCCAAUCAUCGCACGCCACGUGUCCCAGCGCCGUCCUCCUCCGCCGCAGGCCCACGUGGCCCGCAGCAGGCCCGCGGGGCCCGUUCGCCGCUGCCGCCNNNNNNNNNNNNNNNNNNNNNNNNNNNNNNNNNNNNNNNNNNNNNNNNNNNNNNNNNNNNNNNNNNNNNNNNNNNNNNNNNNNNNNNNNNNNNNNNNNNNNNNNNNNNNNNNNNNNNNNNNNNNNNNNNNNNNNNNNNNNNNNNNNNNNNNNNNNNNNNNNNNNNNNNNNNNNNNNNNNNNNNNNNNNNNNNNNNNNNNNNNNNNNNNNNNNNNNNNNNNNNNNNNNNNNNNNNNNNNNNNNNNNNNNNNNNNNNNNNNNNNNNNNNNNNNNNNNNNNNNNNNNNNNNNNNNNNNNNNNNNNNNNNNNNNNNNNNNNNNNNNNNNNNNNNNNNNNNNNNNNNNNNNNNNNNNNNNNNNNNNNNNNNNNNNNNNNNNNNNNNNNNNNNNNNNNNNNNNNNNNNNNNNNNNNNNNNNNNNNNNNNNNNNNNNNNNNNNNNNNNNNNNNNNNNNNNNNNNNNNNNNNNNNNNNNNNNNNNNNNNNNNNNNNNNNNNNNNNNNNNNNNNNNNNNNNNNNNNNNNNNNNNNNNNNNNNNNNNNNNNNNNNNNNNNNNNNNNNNNNNNNNNNNNNNNNNNNNNNNNNNNNNNNNNNNNNNNNNNNNNNNNNNNNNNNNNNNNNNNNNNNNNNNNNNNNNNNNNNNNNNNNNNNNNNNNNNNCCCGCAGCCCAUCCGCCUCCGCCGCCGACCAGGGCACCGCCGCCUGCGCCUCCCCGGCCCCGCGUCGCUGGAGCGCACGCCGGUGCCCGCCGGUGCCGCCUCCUCCGAAAACCCCCGACCCCGCCGCCGCCGGAUCCGGCCUCCCCACCCCGUCCCCGACUUCACCGGCUGCCGGCGCCUCAUAUCCGGCGAGAUCCGCCGCCGCAUCGAUUUCCGUGCAGCCCGAGGUUGACUUCAAAAAUCUGCCAAGUCUCUGGUUUUCAGCAUCAUAUAGGCAAAUUUGACCUACUGUAUCUUCUUGCAUGUAGCUCCGUUUUGUGCGUGUAAUAUAUCAAAAUGUUCGCUGUAAGAUGCUCUUCAUUUCAUUCCAUUGUGCCAUGUUUGUGUGGGACCAUAUUGAUGCCCAAAUCAUCGUUGCAAGAGUGAUAUACGAUGUUAACUGCUGUCUGCUAACAGAACUUGAUGAUUUGUCUUUUUCGUUGCAUUUUGUGUAUGCAUCCUAUGAGCAUGAGCUCUACAUGUGUUUUGUGCUACAUCAUGCAAUCUUUACAGUGGUGCCAUCCAUGUAUUUUUGUGAUCCUUGUAGUGGGUGCAUUGAGCUCGUGAAGUAGGGUACUUGUUGUUGCUGUUUUGCUAUGCUGUUUCUGCUAUAUUAUGAUGCUAUGUAAUCCUGCUGCUACAAGUCAUUCUAUGCAUCAUAUGGAGAUGUUCACUAAGGAUGUUUUGUUUUAAAUUUCAUGCUCUAUCCAUUCAUUCCACUGGUUGCAUUUAUAGCCUGCUGUAACAUGUUGUUAUCUUGCUCCAAACUUGCUAAAUAAUGUUGCUGUCAGCCUGUUAACAAUAGGUUCAGUUUUGCCAUGAGUUUUGCUAGUGAUCCAUGCAUCCUAUGAACUUGAUUUUGCCAUGCUUAGCUUCAUAAACAUGUAUUCUUACUGUUGGUUGCCUUGUCAUGCCAUGUAUUGCUCUAUGGUGAGUGGUACAAGCUCACCAACAUGCCUACUUAUUGUUGUUCCUGCCAUGUAUGAAUCUAUCAUAUCAUUUGCGAUGUUUGCAUGGAUGCUACCAUCUUUUAUGUUGAUCUUUAGAAUUAGUUCAGUAAGGAAGUUUCGUUCUUCUUCUUUAGUACAAGCAUUACAUGCCUUUAUUUGCCAUGUUAAGUUACAGUAACAUGUUUUUUGAUAGCUCUAAACAUUGCAACCUGAUGUUAUUACUGCCAAGUCUGAAACUGUUAUAAUUUGCAAUAUUGCCAUGUCCUUUUGAGCAUGUUCUAUUGUUUUCUGGAGAUAGCUCAGUGUUCAUGUUUUGACAUGCUUUACCUCUACUUAAUGCCCAUGCGUUUUGUUAUUAUGUUGAGGUGCCGUAGCAUAUUGUUUUGAUGCUUGCAAGAUGCGUAUUUGCUGUUUUGGACAGCUUGUCCUUUAAACUUGUUUCAUGUGUAUGUGUUGAACCGUUGCUUCGUUUUGAGUGUGCUCUAUAUGAAACUUGAUUAGAAUUGCAUGUAGUUUCAUAUUAUCAUGUUUCAUCCUUGGUUUGACGUUUGCUUGAUGUUUGUAUGCAUUUUGCAUCAAUGCCAUGUUUAGCUUGUUUUGCUCAUAUCUUCUAGGCUGUAGCUCCGAGUUAAACGAACUUUAUAUGUAACUUGACUAGAAUUUCGUGUAGAUCAUCUUGGUCCAUAUUAACUUGAUUUUUAACAACUUGAACAUAAGGUUUAUUCAGUUCUGGACCAAUUUCUAAAUUUGCAUAUGAGGACUUCCCGGAAUCGUUAUAUGUUGUUUUCGGCCUCAUUUAAACUUGCCUUGAUGUGUUGCUCUUGUUUGCAUCAUCUUUUUCCAUGAGUAGCCUUUCUAGCUUUGUCAUGCAUCAUACUUGGUUGAGCAUCAUGUCUUGUCUAUGUGUGGUGUGUUUACCAUGUUAUGUGCUUCUUCUCGAUAGUUCAUGUUUCGUUGCGAUCGUGAGGAUUCGUUCGCCUACGCUUGGUUCGACUUCAUCUGUUCGUAUUCUUCAUGGACUCGUUCUUCUUCGUUGAGGGAUUUCAGGCAAGAUGACCGUCACCUUGGAUCUCACUACUAUCAUUGCUAUGCUAGUUACUUCGUUCUAUCGCUAUGCUGCGCUUCCUAUCACUUGUUCCUCAAGCCCCCCUAACUACCAUGUCAGCCUCUAACCUUUGUCACCCUUCCUAGCAAACCAUUGCUUGGCUAUGUUACCGCUUUGCUCAGCCCCUCUUAUAGCGUUAUUAGUUGCAGGUGAAGUUGAAGAUUACUCCAUGGUGGACAGGAUUAUGUUGGGAUAUCACAAUAUCUCCUAUAUUAUUGAUGCAUCUAUAUACUUGGUAAAGGGUGGAAGGCUCGGCCUUAUGCCUGGUGUUUUGUUCCACUCUUGCCGUCCUAGUUUCCGUCAUAUCGGUGUUAUGUUCCCGAAUUUUGCAUCCCUAACGCGGCUGGGUGAUUUAUGGGACCCCCUUGACUGUUCGCUUUGAAUAAAACUCCUCCAGCAAGGCCCAACCUUGGUUUUACCAUUUGCCUCACCACCACCUAUACCUUUCCCUUGGGAGUAAUUAACCCAAGGGUCAUCUUUAUUUUAGCCCCCCCGGGCCAGUGCUUCUCUAAGUGUUGGUCCGAACUGAGCAGCCUGCGGGGCCCCCUCGGGGAAACUCGAGGUCUGGUUUUACUCGUAGCUUGACUUAUUCGGUGUUGUCCUGAGAACGAGAUAUGUGCAGCUCCUAUCGGGAUUGUCGGCGCAUCGGGAUUCCGAGAUUGAUCGGGUCUUCCUGGGAGAAGGAAUAUCCUUCGUUGAUCGCGAGAGCUUAUCAUGGGCUAAGUUGGGACACCCCUGUAGGGUAUAAACUUUCGAGAGCCGUGCCCACGGUUAUGUGGUAGAUGGGAAUUUGUUAAUGUCCGGUUGUAGAUAACUUGACACCAGAUCCGAAUUAAAACGCAUCAACCGCGUGUGUAGCCGUGAUGGUCUCUUUUCGGCGAAGUCCGGGAAGUGAACACGGUUUUGUGUUAUGUUUGACGUAGGUAGGAGUUCAGGAUCACCUCUUGAUCAUUGCUAGCUUCACAACCGUUCCGUUUCCUCUCUUCUAGCUCUUAUUUGUGUAUGUUAGCCACCAUAUCAUGCUUAGUCGUUGCUGCAACCUCACCACUUUAUCCCUUCCUUACCCUUUAAGAUUUGCUAGUCUUGAUACCCAUGGUAAUGGGAUUGCUGAGUCCUCGUGGCUCACAGAUUACUAUAACAACAGUUGCAGGUACAGGUUAUGUGAUGAUCAUGACGCGAGAGUGAUGUUUGCUUGUUUUGGAGUUCUUCUUCUGCUUCUUCUUUGAUCAGGGGGUAGGUUCCAGGUCGGCAGCUUGGGCUAGCAAGGUGGAUGUCGUUUGAGUUCCAGUUUGUGUUUCAUCCGUAGUCGGAUGUUGAUCUUGUGUAUGAUGGAUUGAUGUAUUCUUGCAACAUUUGUAUGCCUUGUAUGUACCCCCAUCUAUUAUGUAAUGUUGAUGUAAUGAUAUCCACCUUGCAAAAGCGUCUUCAAGAUGCACUUCUAUCCUUGGUGGGACCUUCGAGUUCCUUUAGGAUAGGGUCGCAUCUUGGGCGUGACAAUACGUCUAUCUCGAUAUCUCUCGGGGCAUCUUCUAUCGUGCACACACCUUGUCACUCGAUCUCCCACCCAUGUAGUCCCAUCAUGAUCUCCAGGGGAUCUCUCUAUGACAAACAUACACUCUCUCCUCCCCAUGUCUGCAUUUUCUCCGUACGUCUCUCUCGACCUCUCUCCCUUGUUUGUCAGACCCCUCUUGGCCACGUGCUAGGGGUCUUGCUCUCUCGGUUCCAAACAACCACACACUAUCUCCUCACCGUGCCUCCGUUUUCAAAUGUGUGAUAUGUUUGCAUAAGACAUGCAUGGUUUUUCUCUACCUUUGUCAUGUGUUGUCCAUGUCUCUUUCACACACGCACACACACUUUUUUCACUCACUCUUUCUAUUUCUCUCUCUCUCUCUCUCUCUCUCUAGUUAGGGACUCUGUCACGUCCAUAAGCAUAUGGAUGUUUUGAAAAGUCAAACCACAGAAAAGUUUGACCAGGUAUAUGUGGAGAAAAACAUUUACAUCUGGAACGAUCAUUAGAUUCAUCACAACAUGUACUUACUCGAUACUAUCAUUUAUCUUUGGUAUUGUAGAUAUAAGUAAUUUCUUUAUAAACUUGGUCAAAGUUUCAAAAGUUUGACUUUAAAAAAAUGUUGGAACUACAUUAUCGAAUGGAGGGAGUAGCUCUUUCUCUCUCUCUCUCUCUGCUAUCUCUCAUGGCCUCCCCUCUCACUCAAACUCUCUAUACCGAUGGAUUAUACGCUCACUGUGUCAGCGUAUAGCUCCGUAUAUUGUUUAGAUGACCGGUCAACCAGUCCACAUGCUGCCUUGUCAGCUCGUGUUCUGUAUCUUCGUGUGCUGGCCCAUGUGGCAGUGGGUGAAAAUAAGUAAACUAGAGGCUCAUCUGACAUGCAGUGAAGUAAACAAAGUUGAAACCACUCGGGGUAGCACCCCGCACGCUAGUAAAUUGAGGGCGCAUUGAGGACACACUUCUUGCACGUGAAGGACGCACUCGCUCACAAUUCACCACUACGCGGCGGCAUGCAUAGAAGGACGCACUCGUGCACACCCAGCACACAACACACACCAGCACACGUGUACACCGGCGUCACCGCCGGUUGAGAUGGACGGCGAGGCAGCCAACAAGCAGAGGCGGCUCGAGCCAAAACCGCAUCCGGCGAGCCUGGACUUCAUUAGCAGCCUCCCCGACGACAUGCUGCUCGUCAUCAUCGGCCUCCUCCCCACCAAAUCUGUCGUGCAGACCGCCCUGCUCUCCCGACGGUGGCGCCCCCUCUGGCGCCACGUCCCCCUUAACCUCGCCGUCGAAAGCUGCCUCUGCGACGGGGAUUGCAAACGCAUGGCCGCAGUCUCCAAGAUCCUUUCAUCGCACCCUGGGCCAGCCAGACGCCUUGACAUCCGCAUGUUCAGUACCAACUGCAAGGUCCAACCCAAGUUCGACGAGUGGUUCUUAUCCCCCGCCCUAGAUCAGCUCGAGGAGCUCAUCUUUAAAGCUGGACGAUGUCGCUCUCUGCCGCCGUCCGCGCUCCGCCUCACGCCAACGCUGCGUGGCACUAGCUUCAGCUCCUGCUAUCUUCUCCAGAUUAAUGCCGCACCCGCCCUUCUUCUCCCUCAACUCAAGCAGCUCGACCUCUUCGACGUUGUCAUCUCGAAGAAGGCUAUGGAGCACCUGCUCCGCAGCUGUACUGCGCUCGAGUACCUUCGUCUUGAGCAGAUCCAUGGGUUCAUUAGCCUCCACAUCGCCUCGACGAAUCUCCGAUGGAUUUAUGUGUCUUGCUGGCCCCGCAACAAGAAAUGAAUUGGGAAGAGAUCAGUCCAACUGUUCUACGUUAUGGUCAUUGAGAAUGCGCCUUUUCUUGAGAGAUUGCUUGUAUCGGAUCUAGAAGGUCCAACAAAAAUCAGGGUCAUUGACGUGCCGAAAUUGACAGCGUUGGUGUACUCGUCUGCCAAAUUCUCCGAACUCUUUAUUGGAUCCUUAAUCGUUCAGGUACAUCACUCAUCUUCUUCUCCGUCUUCUUGAAAUUCACAUAUUUAAAUUUCUUCUUGAUGUAUUUACGACCGUCUUCCAGAAAAUGAUUCCCACAAGCUUGACCCAGUCCAUGCGCACAGUGAAGAUCUUGGCACUAAAAUCUAUCGACCCCAAUCUGGAUCAAGUUUCUCGAUUCCUUACAUGCUUUCCGUGCAUGGAGAAGCUACUCAUCGAGGUGAAACUUCUUUCCUAUUACUAAACGGUAAUCACAACGUAGCUCAAUUUUUUCGUAAUUUUCCCAAAUUACGAUGACAAGUGUAGUGUUCAAAACUGCAUCUACGCACUGCACUGAAAGAAAUGUUUUUAGUAUUUUUUCUCACGUGAUCACCUGCAUCAUUUUUAUGCUAUACUACUAUAGUAGCCUAGGCUAGUCAUUGUGGAAAGUAACUUACACUAAUCCAGUAACUCUAUGGUUACCCUAAGAGCAAGUACUACCUCCGUCCUGGUUUACUCUUCCAAUUUUGUAGUAUCAAAAUUUGACCAUGGAUUUAACUGACAAAAUGUUAAUGCAUGUCACUGAGAACUAUAUCGUUGGAUUCGUAUUUGAACAUAAUUUCAAAUGGUGUAAUUUUUAGUGACAUGCAUUGGCAUUUUCUUAGGUAAAUCUAUGGUCAAAUUUUUAUACUAAAUACGAGGUAGUAUUCCCUCCGUGCCAAAAUUCUUGUCUUACAUUUGUUUAGAUACGGAUGUAUCUAACACUAAAAUGUAACUAGAUACAUCCGUAUUUAGACAAAUUGAAGACAAGAAUUUUGGGACAGAGGGAGUACAAAAGUGGGCUAUGUAGGCCAAAACACGUGCUAAAUUCACUUGUGAUGCAUUUGGCAUCGAUGCCCCUCCAUUGCUCACCUGGUGCCCCAAACUGGAUCACCUACUUUGCUCCGGUGCCAAAUUAACUCACACAAUUAAAAAACACUGCGUGGGUAGAGAGAGGACCGAGGCAAUAAAAAAACACUUGUUUGGGAAAGUGAGAGGAUGGUGUAGUUGGUUUGAUUGAUUUUUUUAUACAUGUGGGCCUGUGUGCACAGCGGUGCCAACUCUCUCACAUCGCGAGAGCGGUGCCAAAAUCUUUUGAUUUGACAUCGAUGCGUAUUAUGUGGCAUACUUCUGUGAAAUAUGGCAUCGGCCACAUAGUGGAAGGCAACAAAUGCCCAAGCUCUUCACGUGCUCCUAGUUAAAUGAGAGGAAACACACACACACACACACACACAUACACACACACAGAGAGAGAGAAAGAAAAAGAGAGAGAGAGAGUGAAACAAUAUCACUAGCCAGCCAACCCUAUCAUAUGAGCGAAUGAUAUUUGUACCUCUUAAUGACACGGCAAUCUUAUGCAGUCAGCUGCUCUAAUAUGUUCUCUUCUUUUGCAUAUAAACAAAGACCCGAAAGUGAAAAAUGUGCUGCACUAUAACAAUCUCAUCGAAUGCCUUGAUCUCCAUUUUACAGAAAUUGAUUUGAUCGACUACCGAGGUAGCACAUCUGAGAUUAAAUUGGCCAGGUUCUUUGUUCUGGAGGCAAGUGUGCUCAAGGUAAUGAGGUUUGGUUUUCUCUGCCGCAACAGUGAAUGGCGUGCUGAUCACUGCAAGCGUCUAAGCCUUAAUUACAAAGUCUUUGCAGAAGCUAAAUUUGUUUUUGAAACAUCAAGUGGCCAGAGACUCAAAAACUUAUUUGCCCAUUAGUGACUUGUCAGGGCGGUGGAUUUUAGUUUCUACGAAAAUGCUGCAUCCACCUAAAGUAACGAGAGUUCUUACGUAAACUUCCUAGUAAUUCCCUCUUCGUAGGUGCAGCAUUACUCCUAACAUUUGUAAUAUCAGUUUGAAACUUGUAAUAUUGCCGUGUCGUAUUCCUGCGUUUUCAAAAUCCUGUGAAUCAAACAGGUCCUGAGUUGGUGAUGAUGUUGUGCCUCCCAUCUUUCACCAAUAGCCGUCGGAUCUAGAUCUGACGCAUACAAACCAAACUUCUCCAUUUUUGCAAAAAGAUGCCCGCACUUGUUCCCUAUUUACAAACAACUCCUUGUCUCUCACAAUCAGCCUUAUCUCCUCCCCACCACAUCUAGAAGGCCGUGGAAAAAUCUGGCGUGAUGGCCGCUGCCGGCGCCGUCCACCCCCAAUCUUGGUGUUCCAUGCAAUGCACGGGCAUCUACGCACGGGAAAUUUUGUCGAACAGGGCUAGUUGUAAGCAGGCUAGCUCUACAGCCAUGAUGAUAGUGACUGUAGACGGUGAGGCUGACUAUGGUAUGCCGAACACGGCGCCGAUACUUAGGUGUCAUCUCCGGCGCAGGGUCUUGUCACUUCACUGUGAGGAGCAGCACGUAAUAAUUUGACCAACAGGUAGUACAGUGCUAGUACUCCUACUACAUUGGUAGUACUACUACUAGUAGUAGUAGCACCACCAUCUGGAUUUAGGAGUACUACCACGUCCAUCUGGAUUUUAGUAUUUGACUAGCAAUAUCUAGUAAUGCAUGUCACAAAAAAUGUACUACUCCCUCUGUAAAUAAAUACAUGGUGUAUUGUUUUAUUACUAUCGGCGAGAGAACUUAAUGUCUUUUUGUUAACCAAUAGGAUUACAUACAAUGAACUAAACACUGCAUGUCAUGUUUGGUAGUCUCAAGUCAUUGAAAGCAUGCACGGCCCACAUCUCUCAUUAUUUUUUAGGGGUACAUCUCUCAUUGGUUGAUAUGUCACGAAAUAAGAAACGAGGAGGGAGUUAAUGCACCGUGCCUAAGUGUUUUGGGAUUAUUUGUUUUUGGUAAGGUGACUUACAUAACAUUUUUGUUUACAUGCAUUAACAUUUUAUUAGUUAAAUCAAAGGUCAAAACUUGGCGCAAAAUGCAAAGGGGACCAAUGAACCAGUAAACAUCAAACUUCUCUCGUUUGGCCCCAACUAGAGGUCCGGUGAGAUGAUUAUACUGCACCGGCAUGGAGGGGGACGCAGCUUCAUUGACUUACUGCAACUGCAUUUGGGUGAAUGACACGUGGGCCCAAGGGGUGGCUGGCCCACCUAUCAUACAGCCAAAGGCAGGUGUAGUAGAGGGCCGAGGAGUAGUACGUAAUCCUACGCACCUACGCACGCUAACCAAGGGCAAGAGUGAUCACUCGAAUUGCAAGAUCAGUUGACUAGAAGCUAAGCUAGACCCAUGGAGGCGAUGAGCGCGAGCAUCAACCGGCUGUGCCAGAUGGUCCAUGACGUCGGCCUACGGCUCGGCAUCGAGGAACGUCUCCAGGUAUUGCUUGAGGCCGCCAGGGCGAGGGGCCGCUUGGACGACAGCUUCGUCUCCUUGUUCGACGAGGUCCUCGUUGGUUUCCUCGACAAGUUCAUCGUUGUCAAGAAGCUCGCAGACGACUUUGACGUACACCUCUAGCCGACGCGCCCAGGCUCUACGAUACCCGCCACCCUCAAUGGCCACUAUGGUGACAACCUCUUCGACGCACUGGUGGCCCUGCGACUGCCCGCCGUCGCGCUAGAGAAUGUCCACCUCGAGGUCGCGCUCGCCGCGCAGCGCCUGGCGCAGCAAGACACCAUGACAUAAUCACCCGAGUCUAUGCGCAAAUCGUCCACAAGGACUACUACAUGUAUACAUGCAAGAGGAGGACAAUAGGACGCUGGCCUUCUUGGUCCGUAGGGCAACCUUGGACGGCAUUGCUCAGAAGCACGUUGAGCUCGCCGCCAACACCGCUGCUCCUCACACGUCGGUUGGUGACCCGGCGCACUAGGGCGUCAGGAUGUCAUUGAUGGAUCCGUAUGUAUUUUUAUCUUUCAGUCAAAUCCAUGUAGUAGUAUAUGGUACUACUAGUAAUUAUCUUACCUUUCGCAUCAACUUCAUAAUUUUCGUACGUACUCCAUGCAUGAUCGGCGCCAGAACCAAAUUUCUCAUUACUCUAGGCAAAAUCGUUAUUUUCUAUCUAUCGGUCGCGCCAUGGAGCAGAACCAAAUUUUACCAGUUACGAGUUCAAAAGGAAAAGCCUGCCGUGUUCGCAUCGCACCCCCGCACAGUUGGUCCGGCACGCCCCUCAAGGGGGAAUGUGUGCGUUGUUGCAUUUUCACUUACAAGUGGGACCGCAGUUGAGCAAACCGACUAUCGACAAACCCCCACCCCGCCCAUCGCGCCAUGGCUGAGAAAAUAGGAGGGAGAAGAGAUGGUUGUAGCAUGGACUCCAAGAAAAUUGGUGUCGGAUGGGACUCGUGUGGUUGGCGUGUCCCAUACUGCUAGACGUGAAUGCUAGUUAUGGCCCAUACGGCCCCACUAUAUCGAGCCUAUAUCGAGGUAUGUACAACAAAUUUCUUGGAGCCCAUGCUCAGCCCUCCUCUAUCUCUCUUCUCAGCCAGCCAGCGGACGCGCGGAGCCUAUCGUCUGUUUUCUCACAUGCGGUCCCACAUGUCAGUGAAAACGCAAGAGGACUCACUGAACCUACACCUCUUUCACCUCGACGUGCUGGUGAUGAAAAACAAAUCCAAUAAAGAUCUUAGGUGGCCGCUUUUUGAGUUACUCAAGAGUAGUAAGAUUCUAUUUACAGUUUAACCCAAGAUACACAUCACGUGCCUUCAACUACCACUCUAUUUUCUUGCAUGACACGACCUGGAUGCUGGAUGUCCCACAUGUGGGCAAAAGGAGGAAGAACCCGAUCAAAUCUUCGGUUGUGCUCUCGGAUUAGACUAGUUGUGCUAACUUAAAAUUUUUAUUGUGUACUGUAGAAUGGAUGCAAGUUUUUGUAUUGGGAAGAAGAGUACAUCGAUAUAUUGAUAGAGCGCAAUUUAGUAGAUGUUCUAGCACUUUUAGCUAGCAUAGAGGCUAGAGAUGAGACUAGUGCACUUGUUGAUACUCCUACUAGAAUAGAGGCUAGACAUGAGACUUGAUGCGAGGAAGCAACGUCUACUUCUUUACACUCGAAGAAGAAAGAAGCACGCAAGAUCGUGCCUCCGCAGAUCAACAAUGAAUGCAUCGAGAAGGCACUAAUCCAACUUACAGGAGCAAUUAUGGAAGUUGGAUAUCUUCUAGAGUAGUAAAAUGUAUUCUUGUGGUUCCUGUUUUCUUUGGUCUUGCUUUUCUAGUCAAAAUUAUCAUUGGAGUUCGUGUGAAAUGGAGGUCCUUUUGCGGUCGUGCGUUGGAGUUGGCCUUACAAGUGGGAUCACGGUUGACAAAACCGACUACUGGCAAACCCCCACCUCGCCCGCCGCGCGAUGGCUGAAGUUAGAGAAACGACGAGGUUGAAGAGAUUGCUCUAGCAUGGACUCCAAGAAAUAUGGUGUCAGAUGGAUGUCGUGGUGGUGGCGUGUGCCGUACUCCUGGACGUGAAUGCUUGUUAUAGCCCAUGCCACCCUACUACUCCUACUACUUAUAUAGUACUAGUAUCGAGGAUUCGAGGUGCUGGUUACGUACAGCUAACAUAUUAACAUAUGGCUACAGUAAACACCCGCCUGACGCGCGAAGCAUGUGAAGCUAGUACAAAUAGUGUACUACUAUUGUUGAUUGGCGUCAUUCGAUAACCUGUUGCAAUGCACGUAUAAUUAUGUAUUCGGAAAAUAUUUUUUUUGCCUCGUCGCACCACUCACUCAAAGAAGUGACUCGAAAGCCAUUCAUAAAUUUAGUAAGUUUAUCACAGGCAUAUCAUUUUAUUACAUACAACAGGUCAUCAACCCACAUCGACAACGAGGAUACACUAUAAAUACUAAAGUUUUCAUCACACAACAAAUAACAAGCAAUGAAAUGAACUUCAACUCAACCAUUCCUCGGUGUUGGAAACGCUUGCUUUGAACCACAAGUGAUUCUCUGGGACGGGCCAUCCAUUGUCGAUCUCGAGACCAAUGCAUGACUGAUCAUCCAGGCUGAAGCGGCCUACUAUAUAUCAGUACCAGGGUAGGGAACCACCCAAUGUCCGAGGUAUAGACACAGUUGCUUCUCAUAAAUGGUAGUAACAUUGUGUCAACAGCAAUUGGAUGGCCUUUCACCAUCAUUGGAUAGUUUUGUCCAAGGAACAGCGAGUUUUCUCCAAGACUAUCAAUUCUGUACCAGGGAGAAGGUGUUGGCUCUAGCACACUAGUAUCCAUCCCGAAUACCAUGCAACAGGUGUUGGAAUAGGUCCGGAAAGUGCGACGAUGGGAGACUACACCUGCUUCCUCAGUAGUAACAUCAUCAGUGGGCUGUAUACACACAAGAAGAGGUGAUCCAUCGGAAUUAGUUGCCAGGCGCCACAGAGUAUAUGGGCGCUGCUCGUCCUCAUGCUCGUGAUCAUCACCAUCGUCAUCUCCCCCUUGGUUAUAAAAUUUUUCAAGUAUAGGUGAUGGAAUGUUCAUAGGACCUUGGAAACACAAGAAGAAGGUUAGUUAGUAAAGGGAAACUUGCUAACCCGCAUGCAUGUGGAUGAAACAAUUAUAAUUACGGUGGAAGACAAACGUACUGAAAGCAUAAGGAUUCCAUGCAAAAACAGUGCCACGAGUGGUGGCAGCAAACACAAGUCCCUCGUAUUGAAUUGCAUCACAAUACUCAUCCGUAUACAGAAACUGAUUUUUGAGCAAUAUCCAUCUAGUCGAACCACGAAGGACGGCAAUAAGCUUGUCGAAGAUAGCAACAACUUCAUAGUUGUUGUAAUUCCAAGAGCGGUUGGGAACUCAACAAAUUGCUAUCUUCCGUAGAAGACAAUCACCAUGAUCGUAUUUGAACUUGCGUACAAUACCGGUGUGCUCAACCUCCGGGCAGUCUGCUGAGAUUUUUGGAAAUGGAACCCGGUCACGAGUGUACACAUUCACAAGUUCCCACUUGCAAUUGGACCCAAUGUAAACAACCCAAUCUCCAUUUGCGCCUGCCCAAGCCUUACCCUCAAGCGAUGGCAUCUUAACAUCAUACGUAUCAUUAUCAAGCGGCAUCAACUUGCACAAGGCGAGGCCUCCGUCAUGAGCACACCAGUCAUCAGGGUCACGAGAAGAAGAUAGGGGAGAUCAAACCGCUCCUUAGCUCUUGGGUUCCUUGUAAUGAUGUUAUUAGUUGAGUCGAGAAUGGUCUUGAACGAACCUGCCAUGCUAGCCGAGGUGAUGACGUCGCACCGAUCAAUGAGUUCCUCCACCACGUCAUCUUUCAGAUUGGGGCAAGAAUAACGGGGUCGUUUCUGGCCUGUUCCCUCCAUGGAGAAGAUGAUCGAACAAUGGUAGAAGAAAGGGUGAAGGGCUGAAGGAAAAUGGAGGAGGGAGAGGAAGAGCGUGCGACAUCAGUUUCAAAUCAAGAGGGAAAGGUGAAGAGUCGGUGGACGGUUGCCAGUUUGCCAUGGUUCAUGAAGAGGCGCCCCGGCCUACACGUCUGUUCGGCAAUACUAGUAGAAAAGAACUCGUCGUCGUUUCACUGAUAUGUUGGAACGGGACCACAUGUCAACGAAACAUGGUGUGUAAUUUCUCAUGCAAAAUGCGAUCUGGCCGCGUUGGCCCGAGGUGCCGCAUUAGUUAUUGACCUUUAUUUUUUAAUGGCAUGCUGUUCAGUUUUGAAGCACGACUAACUGGUACUGUAUGCAGAGAAAAUAUAAACUACUCUACCACUACUCCACCUCCAGUACUAGUAGUAUAAAAAAGAUAUAUAGGCUGGAGCUUCAGCGAUUUCUUGCUAAGGGCUGCCCACUUGCUUCUCACACUACCACCCUCUCUCCAGAUCUAAAAAAGACGGCCUCUCACUCCCUCCUCACCGGUGGUCAUAGAUCCACCGGGGAAGAAAAGGACGUGCAACGUUGACGCACUCGUUGUCGGCGAGCGAGGUCACACACUAACGACAAGGUCGUCCUCUCAGACCUAGCGCCCACGCGGGAUGGCCUCCAUCCCCAAGCUCGCUGCUGUAGUGUGUGCGGAGGACGACGACCACGAGCGAAGCCACUUCCCACCGACCCUCAGGUAUGCUACCUCUUUUCGAACCAUACCCUUGUUCUAUUGCCCCAUCUGCCAUGUCCUUGCAUGUGGAUCUUUUUCCACUCCACCAUCUUCCCAAUUUGCUCUCCUCUUCUCUGCUGGCCACGCAGACGAAAACCAUAAUUUGCACUAUUAAAGGAAAUCCUACUUCAUGCAGACUAAUCCAUGUCUAGGUUGAAUAAGGAAAGGAAGGGAGAUUGUACUGUCCAAGAGAGUAGGCAUCGAACCCGCAUCUUGGUUGAAAAGGGGAAAAUCAGUAGGUAAGGAAUAAGUCUCAUGUCUCUUGGUUGAAGAAGGGUAGAAAGGCAUGACAACGCAAUAGAGAAUGACCAGGUCGAUCGGUUUGUUAUCCUCACAUAGGAAAAAGGUGGAUAAAGAGAACAAAAAUGGGAUGUAAUCCACAUAUGCUGCCUGGAUAUUUGGUGCUCUGGGCAACCAUACCUCCCUCACCACUCUGUGUCCAUGGAGGUACAUCGUACUGGUGCGCCCACUGUCCGAAUGGGUCUCCCAUGCUCUUAUUGCCACUUUUUUGCUGUUAGUAUAACGCCAGCAGUCAAGUCAAGCAAUGAUACUGCUAAAGUGACGCCACAUUUAACUAAUGCCGCUCUCAGUCUAAUGCCACCGAUAAAUUUAAGCAAUGCCAUUUAAUGUCACUGGAUUAUUUCAGGGUUAGCUGUUGAUUGUGGAUGUAUUAAAGAUUUUUCAGCUAAGGCAUUCUAAUGCUGUUGCACAACCAGUAUACCAACGAUGAAACUUGUUACUACCUUCAGAUUUUUGCACUGUUAAUGCUUAUAGAUUACAUACCUCACUUUCAUGAGAUAAGUUAAAUUUUUUGUACAGUGUCACCAAAAUGCCAAGGCGCUGAUGUGAUUUUAUUUCGGUUAAACUACACAAAAAGUUAUGAAGACAAGAGGAAAGUUCAAGAGUGGGCACCUCCUCCUCCGGCUGUUCUCUUGAUUCGUUCGAUCAAGUUUUUAAUUUUUGAUCGAUUAUCAAUAUUGGGAUAGCAAUUUUUAAGGUCCCACCGAGUUCGAAAUGAUAUUUACCUUGGAGGUACAUGGUUUGCAAUUUUUUUAUACUGUCAUUAGUUAAUAAUGCUAGUUACCUUCUGACUUUUGUAUUUGGUUUAAUGCUCAUGCACAGCUAGUAUACCAAUGCUGAAACUUGUUACCUUUACAUUUUGUAUUGUUAAUUCUUAUAGAAAUCUUCCAGUGCUAGAGUUUAUUGAAAUCUGUUCAGUAAAACCAUUGUACUGUACCCUGUAAUAAACUAACUACUCUACUGUUGCACUAGCCACUGGAUUAGUGUAUAUUUGUAGUAUUCGAAUGGUGUUGCAUUAGCAUAUGGACAUAAAUAAAGUGUGGCAAGCUUUCCCAGAUAUGUGCUUAAGAAAACUACUACCUUUUUUCUAAAUACUAGACGUUUGGGUACUUUAACUUGAACCGCGAAAACAUGUUAUAUUAAGGAACAGAGGGUGUAGAGUUCACUCAAAUUAUCCCGGUAAAGCUUGUCACACCUUUGUUAAAAUUAAUGUUCAUUAUGUUAUCGGAGGAGGUCUGUAUGUUUGUCUCUAAUGCCUGUCGACUACAUACCUGACAUCAUGAUGUAAUGUUAAGUCAUUUCCUUUUGUACAGUGUCACUGAAUUGUCAAGGCGGUGAUGGCAUUUUAUUUUAGUUGAACUGCACAAAAUAUGCUUAAAAGAAGAGGAAAGGUCAGGAAUGGCUCAAUUUUUCAGAAAAAACUAUGUAUGCCUUCCUGACAUCAGCCGCUGUUGCUUUAUUUAUUCCUUCAAACAGGUGGUUAGAAACAGUCUUGCUACCUUUUCCCAUUAAGAAAUUGGAAUGCUUAUAUUUGUGAGUCUAUGCUUCAACUAGUGCCACUUUUAUAGUAAUCACACUUUCAAUAUCUAUGCAAACAUGGAUGCUCGAUUUUAGUGGAACUGCAAAAAAAGUCCAACUGGUUCAACAUUAGGAGCAUGUUUUUUCAAACCUUUAUAUCCACUUGGUGUCACUAUGAGCUGUUCAUUAUGAAGGUACAUGGUUUGCUACUAUCUUGCUACCCUUUUUGUACUGUCAUUAGAUAGUAAUACUAGUGGUUUGCAUGUGAAUUUAUUGGUAGGGUGGACCUACAUUGGAGGUGCAGGACAUGAUUCAAUGAUUGGAUGCUCAAUUUCGGUUGUAUCGAUUUCACCUCUUCCAUCACUACGAACAUGGAUAUCCUUGGUCUGAUGAAGAAUAGGCGCUAUAUUUCUGCUCUAAACCAGCAAAUCAAUUCAGUAUGAAAUUGUCCAGGGCAAAACAUAACUGUAUCAGAUUGUCCAGUGCAGAACAUGAUAGAUGCUAAGCGGAAGAGACAUGUUUAAACCGAAAAUACAAGGUGUGGUAUAUGUUUUCUAGCUGCUUGAUAUUUGUGCAGACAGAGAUGUCUGCCCGUUGCUAUUUGGCAAGCAAACAAAGUGUCCGCAAUUUUGGUUGAACUGCACAAGAGAAUAGUACAGUCACCGCAUGCAGUGCCAUUUGAAAAUAGACACAGAAAUAUUGGAUAGUCACUUCAUGGACUGCAGAAAAGUAGUACUGUACUACUUAUUAGCCAACACUAGGUGCUUCAUUGCUUUGGUCUGAUUAUACAAUGGGCAUCAUUUUGCCUAAGUUAAAGUUUGUAUUCCAAAAAUAGUCUCGCGGUGUGAUCGAGAGAAGACCGAAUCAUAUUGCAGUGGAUGUUCCUCCAUCAUGCGUGGUUCAUUCUCAUGGUUCCAGCUGUUAGUGAAACCACUUACGUUUGCAAGAGGAAUUGUAGACUUCACAAGCAAAUUUGUCUUUCAGUCUGUACUGAAUGUUGGCCAAGAGAAGCAUCCAUGUUAGUAGGAAGAACAGAUGUUUCUUCUAGAUCUUUUCUUUUGGAGCUACAUAUUUGUAUAUGAUCUGUGAAUCAUUGAGAUGCAUUAACAUGUUGAUCUUAUGUAUGGGAAUCGUACUUGUUAGUUUUAGUUGCGACGCAAGAUCCGAAGUGGCUGAUCUUUGCUUUUGGAGCUACAUAUUUGUAUAUGAUCUGUGAAUCAUUGAGAUGCAUUAACAGUUACUUAUUUAUGUUCUCUCAGUGUUUACAGUUACUGAUCGAUCACUAGCUAGCCUACUAAUGCGCUCCUGGCAGUUUUAUUUGCAACGCAAGAUCCGAAGUGGCAGUUUUUUGAAUAAAAAUGCCUACCUCUGAAGAAACUGACAAGCUACACUAUCCUACCUACUCAAUCCUACAUGGAUAAAUAGUGGAUCACGCACGUACUACCUCCUUUCCUGUUUGCAGGGCUCAAUUCAAGAAACGACCUACUCGAUCCUACACGAAUAAAUAGCGGAUCACGCACGUACUAGUACCUCCUUUCCGGUUUGCAGGUCUUAAUUCAAACCUCUCACCAACCAAGGUACUCCCUACGUCCAGGUUUACUAGUCCCGUGUGCAAAGUAGCAAGACCAAGGCAUGGCAAUAAUUAACAGCAUGCAGAAGUUUAAGCCCAAUUAAUUCCAACAAUUUAAGUGGCUGCAUGCGUGCCCUCGGCUGUGACUCGUUGCUUGCUGCUCCGCGUACUGGCUGCGAGCAAUUUUGAGUGCCUGCAUGCAGCCGACGGUAAUUAAGGCAGCUAACUGAUGCGAAAAAAGAUGCGCUUUAAUUGUUGCAGGCUUUUUAAAUCCGUGGAAUCAUUAUUGACAAGGAGGGAGAUGAUUCGAGUGCACUCGUUUGACUGCCAUGCCGGCGUGCGACCCAGACGGGACGGGACGACACAAUCAUAAUUUCAGUUUCUCUAGUUUACCACGGCAAGCUGGCGCGCUAAGCCAUUAUGCGUUGAAUUCCGAUGACCGUCGCGCUACCUUCCGCCUAUAAGUACUGUUUCCCGGCCUUCUCCGGUGGCACCGUGACCCAACUCGCCAUAUCCUCAUAAGACCCCACCGGCCCAACAUCGCUCGCCACGUCCGCCAUACCCCCGCUCGCCCGUGGUAGGCGAUGCCGGAGGCGGUCACCGCCGGAACUACUGUUCGGUUUUUCACCGGAAGGCAGACGGAGGGAGGAGGCAUUCUAUCUGUCUUUAGAUGGCAAUGUGGAGAUCGAGGAGUUGUUGGAGCGCGACCGCCUGGUGGAGGAGUAGGAGUUGUUGGAGCGCGACCGCCUGGCGGAGGAGCAGCGUAUCACCGAUUUGCACUGCCAGCGGGACAUGGAGCAACAGCGCACCGACGCUCUGAGUCGCGAGCAGAGGGCCCGCAACUGGGCCGACUACAUGGAGGACGGUGCCCGACAAAUAGCCCUGGAGGCUGUCGGGCGCGCACACGUUCGCGACGCUGAUUUUUACUACCAGCUCGUCAAGUGGGUUUCCCGCUUGGAAGACGAAGCAUCGGUGGACCACGCCGGCAUGGAAAGGGCCAACGCGCACGAGCAACGCGCCCUAUCGCACCUCUUGCAAGUCCAAGGCGAGGCACAGGACUCCAGUACCGGCGUUUAGCGUGUACCACAAAUGGCGGCCGGCAUCGUCUAGUUAGCUAAGAGUAAGUUAGUACUUGUAUGCUACUAGAGUAUUAGUGGGAGUAGAUAGUUAACUUGGCUAUGAUGGUUUUCAACGUGGAAGUUCAGUACUCUAUAUGUGGAUCAGAACUGUUACUUUGCUCUGAAUGUUGAACUUUCCGUUUGAACAUAUGGAAUGGGCUGUUAUUUUUUUAAAUCAGUUGUAUUUGUCCUCCAUGGGUUUAGAGGCUGACUUGUGGGCCUACCAAGUUGAUGCGGACACAAUCAGGAGAUGAUUGUAUGUGGAGAGGAUGACAGCAGGGACCCGUCAAGGUCAUGGCAGUACGCAAGCAAGUGCCUCCUUAUUUCAAGCCAAUAAGAAAAAUGGCUCCUCCUAGUGGAUUUCUGACAUGUGGGUCCCAUGCCAUUGUCAACGUAGUCAAUAAACGAGAGAAUUGCACAACGAGCGGCUGACACCAGGGACCCAGCAGCUCGCCCAAUUAUUUUUGUUUUGGGCUAAUUUGAUAAAUGCCACUCCAAAUCUAGUGUAUCCGAGAAAUGCCACUGCAAUUUCCAAACUUUGAAAAAUGCCAUUUCUAGUGGCAUUUUUUGAAGUCUGGAGUGGCGUUUUUCAAAGUUUGCAAACUGCAGUGGCGUUUUUCAAGGAUUGCAAAAAUUGCAGUGGCAUUUUUCAAAGUUUGGAAAUUGCAGUGGCAUUUUUAUGAAUCGCCAUAAUUGGAGUGGCAUUUAUCUAAUUUGUUUUUGAGACGGAAGCAGGGUCCCAACUGGGCUGUGCAGUUCACUCUGGCCUGUCUAGACAGUCUUUUCUUUUAUGUUUACCACAGACCAGCCCAGUAGAUUUUCCUUUCUGAAAAUGGCUAGCCCGGUUUUUUUGUGAUUUGUCAAGUAAGUCGCUUUAUCAGGCCUAUUGGGCUGCAAAUCUUUCAAGACAAGGAGAGCUUCAUUCGGCUCGCCGAGAAAAUGGCCUAUCAGUAAUGAGAAAUGGGAUGUACAUUUUUAAAACACAGCAACCCGGCAAUUAGUUUCAAAUAUCUUUUUUUUCAUUUCGAGAUUUAAAAUUGCAUUGAUUUUUAUGCGUGGACAAUUUAUUGGAUUUUAUAUUGAUAUAUGUUUAUUUCUAAAAUCAGUCUGAAUGUGACUCGAAAUUUCGGGAUUAAAAACAGUUCAGACCGCACCGACAUAUGCAAAAUUUCGUAUAACUUUUUAACCGUGGCCACAAUAUGGGCUGUAAAGCUAACAAAAAGAAUAUGGGCUCCAAAAAAACCGUAAGAAUUAGCAAAUGGGCUGUAAAUUAUUAGAAAUGAUGGCAGAUGGCCUGUAUGCUAUUUUCCACAGAUUUGAGGCUUUCUAAAAAAAGGUUGACGCACAAGCAGUGACUGUCGGAUUUCCAUCCAACGGCCGUCGUGCUUCUUCAAUCUCUGCUCUUCCUGCUCUAGCCGCUCAAACAAGCGCCAGCGGGACUACCUGCUCCCACCUCCCCGCGGCCGGCUAUGCUGCCGCGCAGGCCUCACCGCCCCAUCGUACUCCCAUCGCUGGCCUAGCCAUCCCUCUACUCACUCACACCUGCUGUUAUUCUCCGGCGACGGCACACGAACCAGUAAACCCCCGUACAGUCGUACUCCCCUCCACGUGGGAAACAACUGCCGAGUCUUCCCUGGCUCCGUGUCGUUCCCUUCCUAGGCCUCGCCGUCAUCCACCGCUGCCCUGGUACUCUCGGUGUGGCGUGGUCAAUGUGGUCAACGACGGACAUGCAUCUGGGUCCACGGCCGCACGCAAGGAAAUGCCUCCUUAUUACGCGCAAAAUAAUGACUCUUCCACCUGACAUCUGGGACCCACCGAAAGGGCCUUCGUAUUUCGCGAAAAAAAUGUUACCGCCGCUGACAGCUCGGACCCACCAGCUAUAUCUUCGCACGCAAGGAAGUGCCUCUUUAUUACGCACAAAAAAUGUAUACUCCCAGGCUAGCUGGGACCUAGUAUAGUGGGCCUACUAAGUUGACGGGGACGGAGGGCUUUGUCAACUUAGUCAAUAUGCAUGGUUCUAGCUCGACUGACCAUACGAUAUCCAUCCAAUGGCCGUAUUCUUCAACCUCUGGUCUCCUUGCUCCAGCCGCCCAAAGCAGCGCUAGUCAGCCGCCUGCUCCUGCCUCUCAUGGCCGGCUGUGCUGCCGCGGAGGCCUCACCGCCCCCAUACUACUCCCACCGCUGGCCAGGCCAUCCCUCCACUCCACUCACCCACACCUCCUGUUAUUCUGCGGCGAUGGCAGCGCAGCCGUACCAGUGAACCCUCGUACUCCUCUAUGCAUGGGCAUCCACUGCCGCGUCUUCCCCGGCUCUGCGUCAUUCCCUUCCUAGGCCUUGCCAUCGUCCACCGCCGUGGUGCUCUCGGCGCGGCGUGGUCAAUGUGGUCAACGACCGAAUUCCAUCGAAAGAGUACUGUACGUGGAGAGGCUGACAGCUGGGUCCACGGCAGCUGCAAGGAAGUGCCUCCUUAUUACGCGGAAAAUAAUUAUUCCUCCACCUGACAGCUGAGACCCACCGGACGGGCCACCAGUAUUUCGCGAAAAAAAUGUUUCCCCCCUGACUGCUGGGACCCACCAGAUGGGCCACCGUAUUUAGCGAAAAAAAUGUUUCCUCCUGACUGCUGGGACCCAUCGGACGGGCCACCGCAUUUCGCAAAAAAAAAUGUUCCCCCCACUGUCAGCUCGGACCCACCGGAAGUGCCUCCUUAUUACGCACAAAAAAUGAAUACCCCCUGCUAGGUGGGACCCACCAUGGUGGGAGGCUGACUUGUGGGCCUACUAAGUUGACUGGGACGGAGGCCUUUGUCAACUUUAGUCAAUAUGAACGAUUCUAGCUCCAGUGAUCGUACGAUGUCCAUCCAACAGCCAUAGUGCUUCUUCAACCUCUGGUCUUCUUGCUCCAGCCGCCCAAAGCAGCGCCGGUCGUGCCGCAUGCUCCUGCCUCCCAUGGCCGACUAUGAUGCGGCGGAGGCCUCACCGCCUCCUACUACUCCCAUGCUGGCCAGGACAUCCCUCUACUCACCCACACCCCCUGUUAUUCUGCGGUGACGGCAGCCAAACCAGUGGACCCUCGUACUCCUCUCCGCAUGGGCAUCCACUGCCGUGUCUUCCCCGGCUCUGCACCGUCCCCUUCCUAGGCCUCGCCGUCGUCCACAGCCGUGGUCAAUGUAGUCAAUGACCGACUUCCAUCGGAGGAGUACUGUACGUGGAGAGGCUGACAGCUGGGUCCACGGCAGCCACAAGGAAGUGCCUCCUUAUUAUGCGCAAAAUAAUUAUUCCUCCACCUGACAGCGGGGACUGACCGGACGAGCCACCGUAUUUCGCGGAAAAAAUGUUUCCCCCCUGACUGCUGGGACCUACCAGCUACAUCUUUGCACGCAAGGAAGUGCGUCCAUAUUACAGGCAAAAUAAAUGAUUCGCCCCCUGAUUGCUGGGACCCACCAGCUACAUCUUCGCACGCAAGGAAAUGCGUUCGGGCAAAAAAAAUGAUUCACCCCUAUCGGUGUCAAAACUGGCGGAUCUCGGGUAGGGGGUCCCGAACUGUGCGUCUAGGCGGAUGGUAAUAGGAGACAAGGGACACGAUGUUUUUACCCAGGUUCGGGCCCUCUCGAUGGAGGCAAAACCCUACUCCUGCUUGAUUAAUAUUGAUGAUAUGGGUAGUACAAGAGUAGAUCUACCACGAGAUCAAGGAGGCUAAACCCUAGAAGCUAGCCUAUGGUAUGAUUGUUGUAAUGGUUGUUCGUCCUACGGACUAAAACCCUCCGGUUUAUAUAGACACCGGAGAGGGCUAGGGUUACACAGAGUCGGUUACAAUGGUAGGAGAUCUACAUAUCCGUAUUGCCAAGCUUGCCUUCCACGCCAAGGAAAGUCCCAUCCGGACACGGGACGAAGUCUUCAAUCUUGUAUCUUCAUAGUCUUGGAGUCCGGCCGAUGAUGAUAGUCCGGCUAUCCGGACACCCCCUAGUCCAGGACUCCCUCAGUAGCCCCUGAACCAGGCUUCAAUGACGACGAGUCCGGUGCGCAUAUUGUCUUCGGCAUUGCAAGGUAGGUUCUUCCUUCGAAUAAUUCAUAGAAGAUUGUGAACACCGGGAUAGUGUCUGGCUCUGUAAAAUAAAUUCCACAUACCACCGUAGAGAGAAUAAUAUGUACACAAGUUCAAUCUGCUGACGUAUUUUGUGGUGUGACGUCACACCACUACCAAGCCUUUACUUGAAUCGUUUUUAUUAUACCACCUCAGCGCGUUUAGCGAAGCGGUUUCCUUGGCACGUCUUGUCGAAGCAGAGAUCAUGUUUCCCUUAUUCCGGAAUUCCCAUCAAUACGGACGUGGGUAACCCAACCGCGCCAUUGAUUGUGGCGCUUGGGAGAUAAGCGAGUUUUACCAGGCCGGUGGGGACGCAUAGUCUUCGUCCGCCCAUAUAUAAGGGGAUAAGGAUCCACCUUUUUUACCUACGCCUUCUUCCUCCUUUGCCUAUCCAUCUCCGCGCACUCGAGCUCCAGCGCCCAAGUCCGCACAUCUUGCCUCAACCUCCUCCAGCCAUGUCCGGAGCGGGAGGCAAGUGGAUGGCAUCCUCCGUUACGGAGGGGCACAUCGAGAAGCUGCGCGGCGCCGGAUACCUGUCCAGCGACAUUGCGCAUCGGCUGCCCGACGAGGGGUAGCUCAUCCCCACCCCCAGGCCCCAUGAGAGGGUCGUAUUUCUUCCCCACUUCCUCCGUGGACUGGGCUUCCCACUUCACCCCUUCGUCCGGGGGCUCAUGUACUACUACGGCCUGGACUUCCAUGAUCUGGCGCCAAACUUCAUCCUCAACAUCUCGGCAUUCAUCAUCGUGUGCGAGGCCUUCCUCUGCAUCCAGCCCCACUUCGGCUUGUGGCUAAAGACCUUCAAUGUCAAGCCGAAGGUGGUGAAGGGCGUCCAAGCGGAGUGCGGAGGCGCCAUGGUGGGCAAAAUGCCCAACAUCAUCUGGCUCGAGGGUGCCUUCGUGGAGUCCAUCAAAGGGUGGCAAUCGGGAUGGUUCUACAUCACCGAGCCGCGUGACCCUAAAUGGGCAGCGGCCCCCGAGUUCAGAUCUGGUACCCCCAUGCAGCUCACCUCCUGGAAAGAGAAGGGCUUUCUAUGGGGUAGUUCGGAGGAGCUGACAGGACUCCAGUCCUGUCUCUAGACCCUGGUGAACAAGAAGCUUAAGCUUGUCAACGUGAUCCAGGUCAUGCUCGUCCGCCGGAUUCUCUCCCGCCAGCAACGGGCCUUUAAUUUGUGGGAGUUUGAUCUGGCACAGCACCGGACCCUGAGCGGGCUCUUCGACACGACGUACGAAGCUGCUUGGAGGGUGAUGUUCAAGGGCGGAGAAGCCCCCGCAUCCGCAACUGAAGAUCGCGGAUUCAGCACGCAGCGCCCGGCCGGUGAGGUAAGCUAUGUUAUCCUUUAUGGGACACUCAUUUCUUUCAUAGUUUGACUCUAUGUGGGAUCUAAAACUCCCAAUGCCUUUAACAGGACUGGCAGAAGACAUUCGGACAGGUUAACUAUUCGGCUCCCCUUCCCGAAGACCCAGCGGACACCCGUUUAAAGGGGUUGCUGGUUCCGGCCCUUUACGUGGUGCCGGAGAAGAAGGCCAAGAAGAAGGCCACGGGAACCCAAAGGAGUUCCCGGCGCCAGGAGGUAUCGGACUCAUCAUCCGAUGACUCCAAGGCGGACUCCUCCCCUGAGGAGGAGGAGAAAGAGGCCUCUUCCCCAGCGGGGGGAGAGAAGAAGAGGAAGGCCUCCCCAACGAGGGCGGCCGAAGGGUCCAAGAAAGGAUGGACCCUUUCUCCGGACUGCUUCGCCAACGCCGACGACAGCGACGAGGAGUGGCCCUCAAGGGCCAAGCCCCUGGCAAGAUCGUAAGUGUCCGAAUUCCUGGAUGAUUUAUAAUUUCUCUUUUUGCCACAUGGUGUCCUUCUAAUGCCGCAUACAACCUGUAGUCCAGCCAAGGACGAUCUUCCCGCUUCAUCGAGCGGGUCCUUGGCUCCAUCGGAUAUGGAUUCCCUCCACCCCUCGUGACGCUGAUGACGCCGAGGUGGGAUCCCAGGAGGGGACCCACCAGGAGGGGGAGGCUCCGGAGGUGCCACAGGGCAACCUCCCGGACUUCGCACCGGACUCCGCACCGGAACCCGCAGUGGUUCCGAAGUCCGGCAGGCGGCCCCUUCGUAAGAAGGGCAAGACUGUGACACCGGCAGCCGCCGUCCAACCGGAGGCGCCGGAUAACUUGUUGGAGGUGCUCAACGGCACUUCCAUCAAAGAAGAACACCGCACUGUCAUGAGUGCGGUGAUUCAGAAGGUUCAGCUCGCCAAGAGCGGGCUGACCGAAGCCUGCAGCAGCCUUCUAACAGGCUUUGAGGUAAGAAUUUUAAGACAUGUAAUAUAAUACCGCAUAGACAGUAGCCCCUGAUGCUCGGUUUGGUGUUCGGAAAGAAAAAUCGGACAGAGGAUCUUACAAAGAUAUACGCAGGAGUUCUAAAAAUAUGUCAAUAUGGGAUUGCAGGCUGCGCUGCUGACCUCUGCCGCACUGCCUGCGGAGGUUGAUGCUUUGAAGCAGAACCUCGAGCGGUCCGAGAGCGAGCUCGGCCAUGCCAAGAAGCAGCUCGAGGACAAGGAAGGUGAGUGACACCGUAUUGAACUUUUACCUGACAGAAAAGGAUUUUGGUUGCAACAGAAAUAACAAGGAUAACGUGGGUACUCCAGGGGCCACGAACAAGGUGGCGACCCUGAAGGAGGCCGUGUCCACGGCCGAACGUAAUGGGGCCGUGGAACGAGCUGAGCGGGAGAAGCAGGAGGCGCGGGUGGCGGAGGUGCAGCAAGAGCUCCAGGCUCUCGUGGAAAAGCAUGGGAGUUUGGAGCGCGACUCGAAGACUCGAGAGUCCGAGCUUGCAUCGGCUCUUGAGAGUGCCAAAGCCGCUAAGGCCGAAGCCCAUAAGGCCCUCCAGGAGAUUGAGGUGGUGAAGAAAAUAGCGGCGGGUAAGGCAUUUUUCAUGCAAAGCAAGCAUGUGAAUGUGAAUUACCUCUUACUUACCCAAAUUCGGAGAUCUCCAGGAGCGUUUGCAGAUUUGCCUCGCAGCGUGUCCGAUGCUGCCGCAUUCUACCGGGCCGAGGAGGAGAGCUCGACGGAGAAGGUCUUCUGGUCUCAGUAUGCUGAGGCCGGACAUCCGGUGCCCCUUAGCGACCAGCUGAAGCAGCUGGUCGAGCUCCACAAGGUAGCCGAACAGGCCAUGAAGGGCCUCAUAGUUCGGCUGUGGCCCAAGGAGGCCAUGCCUGGGAGCUACUUUGGCUUGGUGCGGCGGCUGGUGGAUGCGUGUCCCUGGGUGGAAGUCGUCAAGCAGUCCGCCUGCAUUGAAGGUGCCCGUCGGGCCCUUGCCCGUGCAAAAGUGCACUGGGGCAGGAUGGACGUUGAGAAGCUUCAGAUGGACGCGCCGCCGGCGGGCAAGGAGUAUCACACGCCCGAAAUGUAUUAUAAGAGUGUCCUGAAGGGAGCCCGCAUGAUUGCAGAUGAGUGCUCCAAGGAUGUAAUAUUUGAGUAAAAUCGCAUUAUGUUAUCCUGUGCGCUGAAAACUGUGUUCAUAUGCGCUAAGCAACGCUUAUUAAUUUAAAAUAUUACCUUCUGUGCGGUCAUUUAUCAAAUCUGAGAGAUGGCAAGUCGUCGGCUUCAGCCCCCAUGCCACUAGUGCUGGGGUGUUUGGGAUAAACUUGAUCGCUCUUGUUCCCAUGUUUGGGUCCAUCUAGGGAGGCGCUCAACACAAUGAACGAGGCAACCAGACUUAUAAUGCUUGAACACUCUCACUUAGCCAUAGAAUUCUAUAAUUUUAAAUUUCGGUGAAGCCCCUAGUGUCCGGAAGACCGAGUUCGGGGCGCUAUCCACGCCUGGGCCGGACAAAGCCGGUUCCUCGCUCUAAGCGGCAUAAGUCUUUAGGGACUCGAAAAAACCUCUCGAACAGCGACCAGCUCUCGCCUUAUCAUGACAGUCAGUUUUAGUUUUCUCCACUGAGGCACUCGCCCAGCUCAACCGGGGCGCAAUUGCAGUGGUUCUCCCAGUGCUACCUUAGCCGAUAAAACGGAACGUAAGGUACCAAAACAUGGGAGCCGGGCAAACCCAACUAUUGACCCAAGACAUGAUUCGGAGCCGAUGCAUAUAAUGCUAUAAGUUCGGGGUGCUGCACUUGUGAAAGUGUUCGGACAUAUCACACCAUAAUGCGGGGAACUUAAGCCCCUAGUGUAUUCGGCCGUACCAAAGUGUACGGAUGCAACAUGUCAUAAACAAACAUAUAUAAGAAAGAAAUGCGAUUAUAAGCAAAAAGCGAUGCAUUGUUUAUUCAGAAAUACUGCCAUGAAUGCAGAGCGAUACAAAUAGUGUGGUAAGCAAGGGAUUGGACUAUUUAAACAUGUCCCCCUCCAGGGGUAGGCUGCGGAAUGGUGUAUUAAACAGAUUUCAUGCUCGUAAUGGAGACCACCUGAGUGUUCGUCGUAGCCUUUCUCCUUCCCUGGCUGUUGCAUCGUGAGUUCGGCAGGUCUACUGCCGGACAAGGCCUCUGGUGAACGGAGUCCUAUGGGUAAGAAAAAAGAAAAAGGAAAAGACCGACAUACUUGGGAUCCCCUGGUGUGGUUAAGCCGCACUCUGGGCCUGUCGUGGUCGUGCCCCUCCCCCUAUGCCCAUGGUAUCUCCAAAGCAUAAUGAUGUACGCGAAGGACUGGUCUUGCAAUUAUGCAAGGGCUGGGAUUGGGGCCGCAUUGCUAAGCGUGCUCGGAACGUGCCAGGUGGUCUUGUUGUAUGUUACUCCAGGCGCGGUUGGCCGUGUCCGGUCGCUUAACGGCCGGACUCGAAAAUUGCCUUAAGAGGCUGCUCUGUACUUCUGCCGUGAUAGCUGCUGUGUGUUCCUCCGUUCAGAGGGAGCGUUCAGUGUUUCCGUUGACCGUGAUGACUCCUCGAGGGCCUGGCAUCUUGAGCUUGAGGUAUGCGUAAUGCGGUACCGCAUUGAACUUUGCAAACGCGGUCCGUCCGAGCAGAGCGUGAUAGCCACUGCGGAACGGGACGAUGUCGAAGAUUAACUAUUCGCUUCGGAAGUUAUCCGGGGAUCCGAAGACCACUUCCAGUAUGACUGAGCCUAUACAAUUGGCCUCUACACCUGGUAUGACGCCUUUAAAGGUCGUCUUUGUAGGUUUAAUCCUUGAGGGGUCUAUGCCCAUCUUGCGCACUGUAUCAUGAUAAAGCAGGUUCAGGCUGCUGCCGCCGUCCAUUAGGACUCUGGUAAGGUGAAAUCCAUCCACGAUUGGGUCUAAAACCAAUGCGGCAAAUCUGCCAUGGCGGAUACUGGUGGGGUGAUCCCUUCGAUCAAAAGUGAUCGGGCAAGAGGACCAUGGAUUGAACUUCGGGGCGACUGGCUCCAUCGCAUAUACAUCCCUAAGUGCACGCUUCCGCUCCCUCUUGGGUAUGUGGGUUGUGUAUAUCAUGUUUACCGUCCGUACUUGUUGGGGGAAACCCUUCUGUCCUCUACUAUUCGGCGGCCGGGUCUCUUCCUCGUCAUCGCUAUGCAGCCCCUUGUCAUUGUUUUCGGCAAUGAACUUGCUUGCCUGCUUAAAUACCGAACAAUCCCUGUUGGUGUGAUUAGCUGGCUUUUCGGGGGUGCCAUGUAUCUGGCAAGAGCGGUCGAGUAUUCGGUCCAAAUUGAACGGACCCAGAGUAGUUCUUUUGAAUGGCUUUUUCCGCUGACCGGGUUUUGAGCCUCUGAAUCCGGCGUUGACUGCCGUAUCCUCAGUGUUAUCGCCGUUAACGCGGCGUUUGUUUUUGUUGCGAUGCGACCUGCCAUUGCGGUCCUUGUUAUCCGGACUGCCAGAAUUUUUGCUGAGGUUGUUACUGCGGGCAAGCCAGCUGUCCUCUCCCGCGCAGAAGCGGGUCAUGAGUGAUGUGAGGGCUGCCAUGGAUUUCGGCUUUUCCUGUCCUAGGUGCCGGGCCAGCCACUCGUCGCGGAUGUUGUGUUUGAAGGCUGCAAGGGCCUCUGCAUUCGGACAGUCGAUGAUUUGAUUUUUCUUUGUUAAGAACCGUGUCCAGAAUUGUCUGGCCGAUUCGUCUGGUUGCUGAAUUAUGUGGCUUAGGUCAUCGGCGUCUGGUGGUCGCACAUAUGUGCCCUGGAAGUUGUCAAGGAAUGCGGCUUCCAGGUCCUCCCAACACCCAAUUGACUCUGCUGGCAAGCUGUUAAGCCAAUGCCGAGCUGGUCCUUUAAGCUUGAGUGGGAGAUAUUUGAUGGCGUGGAGAUCGUCACCCCGGGCCAUAUGGAUAUGAAGGAGAUAGUCUUCGAUCCAAACCGCGGGGUCUGUUGUGCCAUCGUAGGGUUCAAUGUUCACGGGUUUAAACCCUUCAGGGAUUUGAUGAUCCAUUAUUUCAUCUGUGAAGCAUAGUGGGUGUGUGGCGCCUCUAUAUUGGGCAAUAUCACGACGUAGCUCAAGCGAGCUUUGUCUACUGUGUUCGGCCCGGCCGGAGUUGCUGUAUCCGGCGCGACGGUAAUCGUCGUGCAUCGUGGGGCGCCCACGUGAUCCGUAGAUCGAUCUUGAUUGUCUUGCCUUGUCCUCCAAUAUGUCUCACAAGUCCGGCGCAUUCCCCCGUGGCUUCAUACUUUUCGAGAGGUGCCGGGGUACGGUCCUGAUGGAGGGCCUAGAAGCCUCUCUGUCGCGACCACGAGGUGGUCGGUCUGCCGUAUUGUGCGCUGGUGAUGAGGGUUUAUACUCCUCCUCCUCUAAUCGGGGGACCAACUUGCGUUUUGGGUAGCUUUUGGAGGGGCGUUUGAGUUCAUACUCUUCGGCCGCAAGGACUUCAGUCCAUCUGUCGGCUAGCAGGUCUUGAUCAGCUCGGAGCUGUUGCUACUUUUUCUUUACGCUGUUUGCUGUGGCCAUAAGCCUGUGUUUAAAACGCUCUUGUUCGACGGGAUCCUCGGGUACAACGAAUUCGUCGUCGUUGAGGCAUGCCUCGUCUCCGGAGGGAGGCAUGUAAUUAUCAUCCUCUACCUCUUCGUCUGCUGCUCUCUCGUGAGGGUUGGCUUCUCUGUCCUCCUGUGCUGAAUCUUGCUACAGGGGGUUAUCUUCGGCACUCUCUGGGGUGUUAUUAUCUCCAGUGCCGGAAUCUCCAUUCUUGCUGUGGCGGGAUUUAGAGCGGCGCCGCUGACGCCGGCGCUUGGGCUGUUUCUUGGAGGAGUCUGCCUCCGCUGCUUCUUCGCCAUUCCCAUCCUUUGGGAUGUCCACCAUGUAUAUGUCGUAUGACGAGGUGGUCUUCCAGUACCCUGUAGGUGCUGGUUCCUGGUCGUCUCCGGCAUCAUCGUCCAUACCAUCAAUGUCUUCGGAGUCGUAGUCUAGCAUGUCGGUUAGAUCGUCGACAGUGGCUACAAAGUGGGUGGUGGGUGGGCUUUGAAUUUCUUCGUCGUCCGCAUCCCAACCGUCUUGACCGCAGUCCGGCCAGGGCUCUCCUGAAAAUGAGAGAUACUUUAGCGAAUUCAGGAUGUCGCCAAAGGGUGAGUACUGAAAUAUGUCCGCGGCGGUGAACUCCAUGAUCGGCGCCCAAUCGGGUUCGAUUGGUAGGGGCGCAGGAGGUUCGGAGUCCGGCAAGGAGUCCGGCACCUCGGAGUUACGGGCUUUACAAGGGACAAGGUCAGUAUUCGGCUCCAUCACCGUAAAGGUUGCAGCCCCCGAGGCGGUGUCUGGCCAUCUGUCCUCGAUCUGCGCGGUCGGCUCCGAAUUAAGGGUCAGAGCGGACUCAUGUGCGGCCUCCAAGGCACUGUCCGGCAGCAGAGCUAAAUCAUGCCCAUUGUGACAGUGCGGCGCGCUUGGCUGUGGCUCGAAUCCAUCGAAGAUCAAGUCUCCGCAGAUGUCAGCCGUGAAGUUUAGGCUUCCAAAUCUGACCUGAUGGCCAGGGGCGUAGCUUUCGAUCUGCUCCAGAUGGCCAAGCGAAUUGGCCCGCAGUGCAAAGCCGCCGAACACAAAGAUCUGUCCAGGGAGAAAAGUCUCACCCUGGACUGCGUUGUUGUUGAUGAUUGAAGGAGCCAUCAAGCCUAUCGGUGACGACACAGAGGAACUCUCAAUGAAAGCACCAAUGUUGGUGUCAAAACCAGCGGAUCUUGGGUAGGGGGUCCCGAACUGUGCGUCUAGGCGGAUGGUAACAGGAGACAAGGGACACGAUGUUUUUUACCCAGGUUCGGGCCCUCUCGAUGGAGGUAAAACCCUACUCCUGCUUGAUUAAUAUUGAUGAUAUGGGUAGUACAAGAGUAGAUCUACCACGAGAUCAAGGAGGCUAAACCCUAGAAGCUAGCCUAUGGUAUGAUUGUUGUAAUGGUUGUUCGUCCUACGGACUAAAACCCUCCGGUUUAUAUAGACACCGGAGAGGGCUAGGGUUACACAUAGUCGGUUACAAUGGUAGGAGAUCUACAUAUCCGUAUUGCCAAGCUUGCCUUCCACGCCAAGGAAAGUCCCAUCCGGACACGGGACGAAGUCUUCAAUCUUGUAUCUUCAUAGUCUUGGAGUCCGGCCGAUGAUGAUAGUCCGGCUAUCCGGACACCCCCUAGUCCAGGACUCCCUCAGCCCCUCUGACUGCUGGGACCCACCAGCUACAUCUUCGCACGCAAGGAAUUGCCUAACAGUCGGGACCCACCUGGUCGAAGCGUACGCAGCAUUGUCAUUCUGGUCGCGAACGUGUACGUACAUACUGGUCAAUGUAGAGGCGCGCACGUAGCAUGUACACGUACGUACAACGGCCAGGGUGCAAGAAAGAAAAUACGACCAUGUACGUACAUACGGGCGGGGUCUCAAACGCCUACUCGCGCAUACGUAUAGCCAGGGCUGGUGUACAUGGCUGGGUCGGAACGGAGAAACCGCAUCGUUGUCGCGUUCAUGGAGAGGUAACGGAAUGCGUCAUGUUCAUGGGGAGGCAACGGAAUGCGCCGUGUUCAUCGGGAGGCAACGGAACGCGUGGGAGCCAACCGGCUUGGACGAAACAGGCGAUGGAAACGAGGCCUGGCGUAUCACAGAACGGAGGAAACGUCCUUGUGUUCGACUGGCCACGUUCGAAACGGGAUCCUGUUCAUCGGGAGGGGUCUGGCGUACCACAAAACAGAGGAAACGAACCUCCUACGGUCUAAACGGGGGUCCUGUUGAUCGGGAGGGGUGUGGCGUACCGUAAAACGGACGAAAUGGACUUGUGUUGGAGCGCUACGAUCGAAACGGGGGUCCUGUUCAUCGGCGGGGGUGUGGCGUACCGCAAAACAGGACUCCAUGGGAUGCUGUCUUCUCCACCGUCGACCUCUUCCAGCCUCCACGGGCUACCGUCGACCUCCUCCAGCCUCCACGGGCUCCUGUUCAUCUAGCAUCCACCGCACGCUACUCCACUGGCUACUGUUCAACCACCCCUCCACGGGCACCCCUCCACCGUUUACUAUUCAUCCAGCCCUCCACGGGGUCCUGUUCAUCCAGCCCCAACCGGCUGGAUCGAGGCAACGCCACGCGGUCCUGUUCAUCCACCCCCACCACUCACUGUUCAUCCAACCACCACCACCCCCCGCAACUUCACUGUUCAUCUAGAGAGUCAGCAUCGAUCGGCUUCAGUUAGCAGCAGUAGCGAAGGAAUCACUCGAUCGGGUUCAGUUAACAGCCAUCGAUCGAUCGCUCGGGUUCAGUGACGCAUAGCCUACAGUGCAAUUGCUCGGGCUCAGUUAGAGCCCAACGCCUCGCUCGGGUUUAGUUAGAACCAAUGCUUCGCACACACGCACGUACGUGUACGAGAGAAACGCGCAUCGCUCGGCCCCCGACCACCCACCGUAACCGGGAACUCCCCAAAAUUUUCCUCGCCCUCGCUUCUACCAUGGUUUUUCCGUCAUGGACGACCCAAAGAAUGUCAUGCAGCUGCGUCUCUAGCCCGCCCAGGACGAAAAGCCCAUUUUUUGUCAUAGAAGUAGGAGCCCACCACAUCUAUGAUGAUACCGGGUUUUGUCACAAUUAUCAUCUUAGAAGUGUCAUAAGUAUGACAGGAAAAAAAUUCGUUCGGCCCAAACUAUCACGGAUGUGUCUUUUUUGGUAGUGAAUGCUUCCAACUAGCAAAAUUAGUACCUGUCACGCCCAAUAUGCGACCCUAUCCUAAAGGAACUCGAAGGUCCCACUAAGGAUAGAAGCGCAUAUUGGAGACGCUUUUGUAAGGUGGAUAUCAUUACAUCGUACCAUUACAUAAUAGUUGGGGAUACAUACAAGAGGCAUAGAAUGCCACACGAAUACAACAUCAUCAUACAUAAGAGCAACAUCCGACUACGAAUGAAACACAAACAGAAACUCAAACGACAUCCACCCUGCUAGCCCAGGCUGCCGACUUGGAACCUAUCCCCUGAUCGAAGAAGAAGUAGAAGAAGAACUCCAAAACAAGCAAUCAUCGCUCUCGCGUCAUGAUCAUCGCAUAACCUGUACCUGCAACUGUUGUUGUAGUAAUCUGUGAGCUACGAGGACUCAGCAAUCCCAUUACUAUGAGUAUCAAGACUAGCAAAGCUCAAUGGGUAAGGAAGGGGUAAAGUGGUGAGGUUGCAGCAGUGACUAAGCAUGAUAUAGUGGCUAACAUACGCAAAUAAGAGCGAGAAGAGAGCAAACGGAACGGUCGUGAAGCUAGCAAUGAUCAAGAAGUGAUCCUGAACUCCUACUUACGUCAAACAUAACCCAAAACCGUGUUCACUUCCCGGACUCCGCCGAAAAGAGACCAUCACGGCUAUACACACGGUUGAUGCAUUUUAAUUCGAAUCUGGUGUCAAGUUCUCUACAACUGGAUAUUAACAAAUUCCCAUCUGCCACACAACCGUGGGCACAGCUCUCGAAUGUUUAUACCCUGCAGGGGUGUCCCAACUUAUCCCAUCACAAGCUCUCACGGUCAACGAAGGAUAUUCCUUCUCCCAGGAAGACCCGAUCAGUCUCGGAAUCCCGGUUACAAGACAUUCCGACAGUGGUAAAACAAGACCAGCAACACCGCCCAGAUGUGCCGACAAAUUCCGAUAGGAGUUGCACAUAUCUCGUUCUCAGGGUACACUGGAUAAGCUAAGCGUACGAGUACCAACAUAACCCAAGUUGCUAAGGGACGGUACCGCAUGGUGCUCUAGUUUGGACCAACACUCAGAGGAGCACUGGCCCGGGGGGGGGGGGGUUAAAUAAAGAUGACCCUCGAGCUCCGGAAAUCCAAGGGAAAAAGGCUUAGGUGGCAAAUGUUAAAACCAAGGUUGGUCCUUGCUGGAGGAGUUUUAUUCAAAGCGAACUGUCAAGGGGGUCUCAUAAAUCACCCAAGCACAUAACGAACGCAAAAUCAAGGAACAUAACACCGGUAUGACGGAAACUAGGGCGGCAAGAGUGGAACAAAAGCCCAGGCAUAAGGCCGAGCCUUCCACCCUUUACCAAGUAUAUAGGUGCAUUAAUUAAAUAAGAGAUAUGUGAUAUCCCAACAUAAUCCUGUCCAUCAUGGAGAAAUCUUCAACUUCACCUGCAACUAACAACGCUAUAAGAGGGGCUGAGCAAAGAGGUAACAUAGCCAAGCAACGGUUUGCUAGGAAGGGUGAAAAAGGUAAGAGGCUGACAUGGCAAUUUGGGAGGCUUGAUAAGCAAGUGAUAGGUAGCGCACCAUAGCGAUAGAACGAAGCAACUAGCAUAGCAAUGAUAGUAGUGAGAUCCAGGGUGACGGUCAUCUUGCCUGAAAUCCCGCUAGGAAGAAGAACGAGUCCAUGAAGAAGACGAACGGAUGAAGACGAACCAAGCAUAGUCGAACGAAUCCUCACGGUCGCAACGAAACAGGAACUAACGAGAAGAAGCACAACCGAAAAGAAGCAAACAACAAGGUAGACACACAACACAUAAACAUGACAUGAUGCACAACCAAACAUGAUGCAUGGCAAGGCUACAUGAAGCUACUCAUGGCAAGAGAUGAUGCAUACAAGAACAACACAUCAAAGUAAGUUUAAAUGAGGCCGGAAACAGCAUAUAACAAAUCCGGUAAGACCUCAUAUGCAAAUUUCGAAAUUGGUCCAGAUCUGAAUAAACCUUAUGUUCAAGUUAUUAAACAGCAAAUUAAGAUGCACCAAGAUGAUCUACACGAAAUUCUAGUCAAGUUCCAUAUAAAGUUCAAUUAAUUCGGAGCUACGGCCUAGAAGAUAUGAGUAAAACAAGUUAAACAUGGCAUUGAUGCAAAAUGCAUUCAAACAUCAAGCAAAAACAUUCAAAACAAGGAUGCAACAAGAUAAGAUGAAACUACAUGCAAUUCUAUGCAAGUUUCAUAUAGAGCAUGCUCAAAACGGAGCUACGGUUCAGCACAUACACAUGAAACAAGAUUUAACAACAAUCUGUCCAAAACAGCAACUAGGCAUUUAGCAAGCAUUAUGAGAAUAUGCUACAGCACCCCAACAUGAAAACAAAAGGCAUGGACAAGAUGUACAGGUAAAGCAUUACAAAACAUGAACACUGAGCUAUCUCCAGAAAUCACUAGAACAUGCUCAAAAGGACAUGGCAAGAUUGCAAAUAAUAAUAGUUUCACAGACGGCAGAAAUUCACUGGACAUGGCAGAAAUAACAUCAGGUUGCAAUGUUUAGAGCUAUCAAACAGCAUGCUACAAGAAUUUAUCAUGGCAAACAAAGGCAUUCCAUGCUAAUACUAAUUAUAUAUAACAAAACUCCCUUACUGAACAUAUUCCAAAGAUCAACAUAAAAGAUGGUAGGAUCCAUGGAAACAUGGCAAGUGAUAUGACAGAUUCAGACAUGGCAGGAACAAUGAUAAGUAGGCAUGUUGGUGAGCUUGUUCCUCGCUCCAUAGAGCAUUUGAUGGCAUUUGAAGUCAACCAACAGUAAUAAUACAGAUUUAUGGAGCUAAACAUGGCAAUAUCAUAGUCAUAGGGUGCAUGGCUCACUAGCACAGCACAUGGCAAAACUGAACUUAAUGUUCAUAGGCUGACAACAACAUUACUUAGCAAAUUUAGAGCAGGAUUACAACAAGCUACAACAGGCUAUAAAUGCAACCAAGGCCACGGUUGGAUAUAGAGUGACAGGUAUAACAAAACAUCCUUAGUGAACAUCUCCAGAUUAUGCACAGAAUGACUUGUAGCAGCAGGUUUACAUAGCAUCAAGAUAUACACAUACAACCUAGCAAAACAGUAACAGCAAGUACCCUACUUCACGAGCUUGACGCACUCACUACAAGGCACACAAAAAUACAUGGAUUGCUCUUCUGUAAAUAUGGAAUGAAAUUUAUCCUAAAACAUGUAGACAUCAUGCUCAAAGGAUGCACACACAAAAUGCAAUGAAAAAGACAAAACAGCAAGUUAUAAUAGACUCAGCAAGAUAACAUCAUAUAGCACUCUUGCAACGAUGAUUAGGGCAUCAAGAUGGAUUCAAACAAGAAUGGCCCAGUGGAAUUAAAUGAGGAGCAUAUCUCAAUGAACAUGCCGAUAUAUCAUAUGCAUGAAACAGAGAAGCACACAUGAAGUUAUGGCAUGUCAAAGUGGGCACCAGAAUGCUGAAAAUCAGGGACGGUGAAAAUCUCACCCCGGGGAAAAGUCAACGGGACGACGAGAUCCGGGACGACGAGAUCCGGGGCGCGGAGAGGCCGUUUGGUUCGGGACCAGGUGGAUCUCAUCCCACCCGGUCGGAGCUGGGACGGGGCGGACGCCACCGGCGGCGGGUCGCCGGAGGUCGGCGGCGCGGCGCGCAGGAGGCAGAGCGGCGGAGCUCGGCCUGGGCGGCGAAGAUUGCCGGAGACGACGGGCGAAGCCGGCAGAGGCGGCGACCGGGACAGGCGGCGCGACGGCGGAGAGCACUCGGCGGCAGAGUCGGGAGCGCUGCGGGCGCAGGAGGGCGCGGGGCGGCGCAUGCUGGCCGGGAGGGCCUGCCCUGGGCCUCGCGGGCCCACGGCGGCGCGCAGUUGAGACGGUGUUGGCAGGGUGACGUGGCGAGAGCCGAUUGGCCAAAUGCGGCGGCGUGGACACGUCCGGCGCGGGAUGGACAUGUCUGGCGGCGGGAGGAGGAAGAAGACUAGGGUUUCGUCCGCGAAUUUGGAGGGGGUGGACCUAUUUAUAGGUAGAGGGAGCUAGGAGAGUCCAAAUGAGGUGCGGUUUUCGCCCACACGAUCGUGAUCGAAUGGCAGAGAGCAUGGAGGGGAGUUAGAUGGGCUAGGUGGGCUGUGUGAAAGGGUGCUGGGCUGCAAGAGAAAAGGGGGGUUUCGGUUAACUCGGUUAACCGUUGGGGCAUCAAACGACCUCCAAAUGGAACGAAAUUUGACGGGCGGUCUACCGGUGAUAUACCAAGGCCACUCGGCAAAUCUCAGCCCAUUCCGAGAACAUUUUUCUCCCGCUCACGAAACAAGGUCUAAGAGGAGCGACGGACGCACGCGAGUGUGUCUGUGCUCAGAACGGACAACAGAGAGAACCGGGAGGACCCGAACGGAUGCAAGUUUUGAAAAACAUGCAGAUGAAAUGCAGAUGAUGGCAUGGCAAAAUGCAACAGGCAAGCAAAUGACAUGGCAACAACGGCGAAUAACUGGAAGACACCUGGCGCAUCAAAUUCGGGGCGUUACAACUGUCCUCCACUAACAAGAGAUCUCGUCCCGAUAUCUUAGGAAUGAGACGGAAGAGAAAGAGGAAGAGGUGAAACAAGAGUGCACGAGAUAAGAUGAACAAAGUCGAGAGCACUCGGGUUGAAAAGAUUAACGGCAAAUAUGAAGAGAAUGAAAAGCUCAAGAAAAAGAUAGAUUCUGAAACCACUCCAGUUAGAAUAAGAUAGGAAAGGAAUAGAACAAAAGAAUCCCGGCAGCACUCCGGCUGAAAAUGGAAGGAAUGUAGACUUGAACUUCACCCAAAGGGAUGACACUUGCCGAGAUGAACAACGCAAUGCCUCCGGAAGAAUUGAAAGAAUUGAAUGAAAAGAACUUAGAAGGAAGGAUUGAAUAGAGUUGUUGAGAAAAUCAACAACGAAAGAAUAAGCUUGUUGUGGACUUAUCAAAAACAUCUCAAAACUUGAGUUGAAAUUAUACCACAACCAAAUGUCUAAAAAGCUGAGAAGAAUGAAGAAAUGCAAAACUCCACUUCUAAAGAAAAUAAAGAAUUAUUUGCACUUCGAGGCGUGAGAAGAAAAGAUGCUUGAACUCCACCAACAAAAUCUUGAUGAACUCUUGAUGAAUGAAUUAAAUCAUGAAGAACCACCAUGAAGAACUCUGGUAACAAAAGGAUGAUGAGAUAGAAUCAAGGAUGAAAGAAUAAGAUUAAAGCUUCCGAUGAUUUAGAUGGAGGUUCCGACGAAAUUGCCGAGUAAUUUUGAACUCCGGGAAAGAAAAGAUGAAAACACUUGGAACUAGAAUUUAUUCAUCAAGAACAAACUCUGAAGGAAGGGAUUACUUGAUGACGAUUAAGUAAGAAUAAGAAUUAUGUUAUGCUUAUACUCAUCAAAUUUAAUUGCUGACAACCGGAUUUGGCAUGCAACUUAUUCCCCUUGAAAAGGAUUGAGGAGUAUAUGGCGCAAAACUUGAGAAAGUCUUCAUCAACCACCAGUAGGAUUGAAAAGAACGAAUGAAUUGAUAUGAUAACAAAGGAAAAAGUAUCUGAAGGAACCACCGUAAGAAUUAGAAAAUGACGGAUGAAAGAGAAUGAAUCACCGGGAAGAAUUAGAAGAACAAAUAUGCUAGAGGGGAUUUAGAUGCAAAAGAACAAAGAGAUCAUGAGCUGAUUAAAGAACACUUGAACGAAGCACCGGGAUAAUUGGAUAACGGUAGCUGAAAUGUGAGGACGAAGAAUUCUUCUGGAACGAUGGUCUCCGGUAAAAAGAAACAGGAAAACGACUUCUAAUAUACUCCGGAUGGGUAAGAAAGGAAUAUCUGACAAAUGGAAUAAUUGGAGAGGAUAAUAUGAAGCUAGAACCACGAAACUUCGAGAGAACGGGCAAGAUUUAGAGGAAAAACACUUCUUCGGUCUUCAAAUGACGACGGGAAACACCACCAAAUUACUGAGAUACUCCGGGAGAAUGAAAAGAGGAAGGGUUGAACCAAAGAUGAAAAGAAUUUGAAAGCGAUCUUGGAGAUGGCAUCUGACUGAUGAAAUUCAUUCUUACGUCACACUUGAAAAGAAUUUGAGAAUAACUCCGGGAGAAUUAGAAGAGUCAGGUAAGAUCCUGGGAAAAGACCUGUGGGUUAGGGCCCACUAAAAUAAAACACUGUUGGAAAGGAUUGUUGAACAGAUAGAUGAUGCACCGGAAAAAUUGAAAUAUUUGAAAGAGGUGAUAACCUUGAAUUAUUUCGAACACAGAUGAAUCUCCGGAGAUGUCUUGAACACUCCGGAAGGAUAAACUGGCGAGAGGAAAACGAGCAGGGAGAACACUUGAUCCAAGGAAAAUAAUAUGAUCAACCCAAAAAAAAAACUUGAAUUGAGUCCACCGGAAAAGAGAUGAAGAAUGUCAAACAAAAGAAAAUUCGCCGGUUGANNNNNNNNNNNNNNNNNNNNNNNNNNNNNNNNNNNNNNNNNNNNNNNNNNNNNNNNNNNNNNNNNNNNNNNNNNNNNNNNNNNNNNNNNNNNNNNNNNNNNNNNNNNNNNNNNNNNNNNNNNNNNNNNNNNNNNNNNNNNNNNNNNNNNNNNNNNNNNNNNNNNNNNNNNNNNNNNNNNNNNNNNNNNNNNNNNNNNNNNNNNNNNNNNNNNNNNNNNNNNNNNNNNNNNNNNNNNNNNNNNNNNNNNNUGAAGAGGCUCCGCACGAAUGAAAUUGUUGGUCGAAAGAGACUCAGGCUCCGGGAAGAAGAGGGUGGGAGGGCGGGAAAAACAAGGCAACUUGGAAGGGAGAACCGACGAAGAGCUUGAAGAGAAAACACUGGUUGAAAGAAAGCAAAGGCUUCGCACGAGUAGGAUGGAUACUCGAUUAGGGACCCUGGCUCCGAGAAUAAAAAUGGGUGGGCGGGUGGGAAAAAGAAAACAACUAAGGAUUGAACUUGGCAACAAUGAAGAGGCUCGAGUCGACUUGACGAGAAAUGCAUCGGAUGAAAAGAGCUGAGAACCAACGAUCGGAAAACCAACUGCAUGAACCUAAAGAAAAAAAGUUGAAGGGGAAGAGGAGUAAUUCAAAACACGUACGUCAAGAUUCCUUACCAGAGCGACGAAGGGGCUGAGGGGUAAAAAGAAUUCCUACACUCCGAAAUAACUAGAAUCCAAAAACAGUUUUCUUCUAGAAUCGACAACGACCAAACUAUACGAUCAAUCAAGGGGGAUCCUAUGGUUGGUCGAGGCUCUGAUACCAACUUGUCACGCCCAAUAUGCGACCCUAUCCUAAAGGAACUCGAAGGUCCCACUAAGGAUAGAAGCGCAUAUUGGAGACGCUUUUGCAAGGUGGAUAUCAUUAGAUCGUACCAUUACAUAAUAGUUGGGGAUACAUACAAGAGGCAUAGAAUGCCACACGAAUACAACAUCAUCAUACAUAAGAGCAACAUCCGACUACAGAUGAAACACAAACAGAAACUCAAAGGACAUCCACCCAGCUAGCCCAGGCUGCCGACCUGGAACCUAUCCCCUGAUUGAAGAAGAAGCAGAAGAAGAACUCCAAACCAAGCAAUCAUCGCUCUCGCGUCAUGAUCAUCGCAUAACCUGUACCUGUUGUAGUAUUCUGUGAGCCACGAGGACUCAGCAAUCCCAUUACCAUGGGUAUAAAGACUAGCAAAGCUUAAUGGGUAAGGAAGGUGUAAAGUGGUGAGGUUGCAGCAGCGACUAAGCAAGAUAUGGUGGCUAACAUACGCAAAUAAGAGCGAGAAGAGAGCAAACAGAACGGUCGUGAAGCUAGCUAUCAUCAAGAAGUGAUCCUGAACUCCUACUUACGUCAAACAUAACCCAAAACCAUGUUCACUUCCGGACUCCGCCGAAAAGAGACCAUCACGGCUACACACACGGUUUAUGCGUUUUAAUUCGAAUCUGGUGUCAAGUUCUCUACAACUGGAUAUUAACAAAUUCCCAUCUGCCAAAUAACCGCGGGCACACUCUCGAAAGUUUAUACCCUGCAGGGGUGUCCCAACUUAGCCCAUCACAAGCUCUCACGGUCAACGAAGGAUAUUCCUUCUCCCAGGAAGACCCGAUCAGUCUUGGAAUCCCGGUUACAAGACAUUUCGAUAGUGGUAAAACAAGACUAGCAAGACCGCCCGGAUGUGCCGACAAAUCCCGAUAGGAGCUGCACAUAUAUAUCUCUUUCUCAGGGCAUACCGGAUAAGCUAAGCGUACGAGUACCAACAUAACCCAAGUUGCCAAGGGACGGCCCCGCACGGUGCUCUAGUUUGGACUAACACUCAGAGGAGCACUGGCCCGGGGGGGUAAAUAAAGAUGACCCUCGGGCUCCGUAAACCCAAGGGAAAAAGGCUUAGGUGGCAAAUGUUAAGACCAAGGUUGGGCCUUGCUGGAGGAGUUUUAUUCAAAGCGAACUGUCAAGGGGGUCCCAUAAAUCACCCAACCACGUAAGGAACGCAAAAUCAAGGAACAUAACACCGGUAUGACGGAAACUAGGGCGGCAAGAGUGGAACAAAACACCAGGCAUAAGGCCGAGCCUUCCACCCUUUAACAAGUAUAUAGGUGCAUUAAUUAAAUAAGAGAUAUGUGAUAUCCCAACAUAAUCAUGUCCAUCAUGGAGAAAUCUUCAACUUCACCUGCAACUAACAACGCUAUAAGAGGGGCUGAGCAAAGCGGUAACAUAGCCAAGCAACGGUUUGCUAGGAAGGGUGAAAAAGGUUAGAGGCUGACAUGGCAAUUUGGGAGGCUUGAUAAGCAAGUGAUAGGUAGCGCAGCAUAGCGAUAGAACGAAGCAACUAGCAUAACAAUGAUAGUAGUGAGAUCCAGGGUGACGGUCAUCUUGCCUGAAAUCCCGCUAGGAAGAAGAACUAGUCCAUGAAGAAGACGAACGGAUGAAGAUGAACCAAGCAUAGUCGAACGAAUCAUCACGGUCGCAACGAAACAGGAACUAACGAGAAGAAGCACAACCGGAAAGAAGCAAACAACAAGGUAGACACACAACACAUAAACAUGGAAUGAUGCACAACCAGGCAUGAUGCAUGGCAAGGCUACGUGAAGCUACUCAUGGCAAGAGAUGAUGUAUAGAAGAACAACACAUCAAAGUAAGUUUAAAUGAGGUCAGAAACAGCAUAUAACAAAUCCGGUAAGUCCUCAUAUGCAAAUUUCGAAAUUGGUCCAGAUCUGAAUAAACCUUAUGUUCAAGUUAUUAAACAUCAAAUUAAGAUGCACCAAGAUGAUCUACACGAAAUUCUAGUCAAGUUCCAUAUAAAGUUCAAUUAGUUCGGAGCUACGGCCUAGAAGAUAUGAGCAAAACAAGUUAAACAUGGCAUUGAUGCAAAAUGCAUUUAAACAUCAAGCAAACACAUUCAAAACAAGUAUGCAACAAAAUAAGAUGAAAUUACAUGCAAUUCUACGCAAGUUUCAUAUAGAGCAUGCUCAAAACGGAGCUACGGUUCAGCACAUACACAUGAAACAAGAUAUAACAACAAUCUGUCCAAAACAGCAACUAGGCAUCUAGCAAGCAUCAUCAAAAUAUGCUACAACACCCCAACAUGAAAACAAAAGGCAUGGACAAGAUGUACAUGUAAAGCAUUACAAAACAUGAACACUGAGCUAUCUCCAGAAAUCACUAGAACAUGCUCAAAAGGACAUGGCAAGAUUGCAAAUAAUAACAGUUUCAUAGACGGCAGAAAUUCACUGGACAUAUAACAUCAGGUUGCAAUGUUUAGAGCUAUCAAACAACAUUCAACAAGAACUUAUCAUGGCAAACAAAGGCAUGACAUGCUAAUAAUAAGGACAAAGAACAAAACUCCCUUACUGAACUUACUCCAAAGAUCAACAGAAAAGAUGGUAGGAUCCAUGCAAAUAUGGCAAGUGAUAUGACAGAUUCAGACAUGGCAGGAACAAUGAUAAGUAGGCAUGUUGGUGAGCUUGUACCACUAUCCACACCGCAUUUCACGGCAUGUGAAGUCAACCAAGAGUAAGAAGACACAUUUAUGGAUCUAAAAAUGGCAAUAGCAUAGUCAUAGGGUGCAUGAAUCACUAUCAAAGCACAUGUUAAUAGGCUGACAGCAACAUUAUUUAGCAAAAUUAGAGCAAUAUUACAACAAGCCAUAGCAAGCUAUAAAUGCAACCAAGGGCAUGGAUUGAUAGAUCAUGACAUGUGUAACAAAACAUCCUUAGUGAACAUCUCCAGAUUAGGCAUAGAAUGACUGGUAGCAGCAGGUUUAUAUAGCAUCAAGAUAUACAGAUUUAGCCUAGCAAAACAGUAACAACAAGUAUCCUACUUCACGAGCUUGAUGCACUCACUACACGGCACACAAAAAUACAUGGGUUGCAUUACUGUAAAGAUGGCAUGAAAAUGCUCCUAAAACAUGUAGACAUCAUGCUCAAAGGAUGCACACACAAAAUGCAAUGAAAAAGACAAAACAGCAAGUUAUAACAGUCUCAGCAGGUUAACAUCAUAUAGCACUUCUGCAACGAUGAUUAGGGCAUCAAGAUGGAUUCAAACAAGCAUGUCACAGUGGAAUGAAAUGAAUAGGAUCUCUCAAUGAACAUUUUGAUAUAUAAAAUGCAUGAAACGGAGCAGCAUACAUGAAGUUAUGGCAUGUCAAAGUGGGCACCAGAAUGCUGAAAAUCAGGGACUUGGCGAAAAUCUCACCCCGGGGAAAAGUUAACGGGACGGCGAGUUCUGGGACGAGGAGAUCCGGGGCGCGGAGAGGCCGUUUGGUUCGGGACCGGGUGGAUAUGAUCCCACCCGGCUGUAUCUGGGACAUGGCGGCCGCCGGCGACGGCGAGGUCGCCGGCACGGCGCGCGGGAGGCGGGGAGACGGAGCUCGGUCGGGGUGGCGGAGAUUGCCGAAGACGGCGGGCGAAGCCGGCGGAGNNNNNNNNNNNNNNNNNNNNNNNNNNNNNNNNNNNNNNNNNNNNNNNNNNNNNNNNNNNNNNNNNNNNNNNNNNNNNNNNNNNNNNNNNNNNNNNNNNNNNNNNNNNNNNNNNNNNNNNNNNNNNNNNNNNNNNNNNNNNNNNNNNNNNNNNNNNNNNNNNNNNNNNNNNNNNNNNNNNNNNNNNNNNNNNNNNNNNNNNNNNNNNNNNNNNNNNNNNNNNNNNNNNNNNNNNNNNNNNNNNNNNNNNNNNNNNNNNNNNNNNNNNNNNNNNNNNNNNNNNNNNNNNNNNNNNNNNNNNNNNNNNNNNNNNNNNNNNNNNNNNNNNNNNNNNNNNNNNNNNNNNNNNNNNNNNNNNNNNNNNNNNNNNNNNNNNNNNNNNNNNNNNNNNNNNNNNNNNNNNNNNNNNNNNNNNNNNNNNNNNNNNGGAGAGCGCUCGGCGGCGGGGUCGGGCGCGCUGCGGGCGCGGGAGGGCGCGGGCGGCGCAUGGGGGCCGGGAGGGCCUGCCCUGGGCCUCGCGAGCCCGCGGCGGCACGCGGUGGAGAUGGCGCUGGCGGGGUGACGUGGCGAGAGCCGAUUGGGCGGAGGCAGCGGCGUGGACACGUCCGGUGCGGGAUGGACAUGUCCGGCGGCGGGAGGAGGAAGAAGACUAGGGUUUCGUCCGCGAAUUUGGAGGGGGUGGACCUAUUUAUAGGUAGAGGGAGCUAGGAGAGUCCAAAUGAGGUGCGGUUUUCACCCACACGAUCGUGAUCGAACGGCAAAGAGCAUGGAGGGGAGUUAGAUGGGCUAGGUGGGCUGUGUGAAAGGGUGCUGGGCUACAAGAGAAAAGGUGGGUUUCGGUUAACUCGGUUAACCGUUGGGGCAUCAGACGACCUCCAAAUGGAACGUAAUUUGACGGGCGGUCUACCGGUGAUAUACCAAUGCCACUCGGCAAAUCUUGGCCCAUUCCGAGAACAUUUUUCUCCCGCUCACGAAACAAGGUCUGAGAGGGGCGACGGACGCGCGCGAGUGUGUCUGUGCUCAGAACGGACAACGGAGAGAACCGGGAGGACCCGAACGGAUGCAAGUUUUGAAAAACAUGCAGAUGAAAUGCAGAUGAUGACAUGGCAAAAUGCAACACACAAUCAAAUGACAUGGCAAUGACGGCGAAUAACUGGAAGACACCUGGCGCAUCGGAUUCGGGGCGUUACAGUACCAUCAAAGGAAGGACCUCUACGGUGGUAAUUUCCCUCGCUAGACGCCAUACUCUCCUAGGUUGUGAAACCAAGGGUAUGACCACCAAAAGCUAUGGAAAUCAAAGCAAACGGAGACCAAAGCUCUGAUACCACUUGUAGGAUCGAAAGUAUAUCUAGAGGGGGGUGAUUAGACUACUUGACCAAAUAAAAAUCUAGCCUUUUCCCAAUUUUAGUUCUUGGUAGAUUUUAGCAACUUAGCACAAGUCAAGCAAUCAACCUACACAUGCAAUUCUAAGAGUAUAGCAGCGGAAUGUAAAACAAUUGCAUAUGAAGGUAAAGGGAGGAGUUUGAGGGAGCAAACGCAAUGUUGACACGGAGAUUUUUUAGCCGUGGUUCCGAUAGGUGGUGCUAUCGUACAUCCACGUUGAUGGAGACUUCAACCCAUGAAGGGUAACGGUCGUCGCCCACGAAGGACUUGCCUCACUAGGGUAGAUCUUCAUGAAGUAGGCGAUCUCCUUGCCCUUACAAACUCCUUGGUUCAACUCCAUAAUCUUGACGGAGGAUCCCAAGUGAUACCUAGCCAAUCUAGGAGACACCACUCUCCAAGAAGUAACAAAUGGUGUGUUGAUGAUGAACUCCUUGCUCUUGUGCUUCAAAUGAUAGUCUCCCCAACACUCAACUCUCUCUCAUAGGAUUUGGAUUUGGUGGAAAGAAGAUUUUAGUGGAAAGCAACUUGGGGAAGGCUAGAGAUCAAGAUUUAUGUGGUAGGAAUAGAAUAUCUUGACCUCAACACAAGUGUAGGUAGUUCUCUCUCAGAAAAUGUAUGUUGGAAGUGUAGGCAUGCAUAUUCUGAUGGCUCUCUCCACGAAUAAAGAGUGGGUGGAGGGGUAUAUAUAGCCUCCACACAAAAUCUAAUCGUUACACACAACUUACCAAACUCGGUGGGACCGAAUCUUGAAACUCCAUCGGUCCGAUUUAGUAAAUAAUGUGACCGUUAGGAUUUUCGGUGGGACCGACAUGUCAUCUUGGUGGGACCGAUAUGGUUAGGGUUAGGGCAUAACGUAAUCUCGGUGAGACCGAUUACACAAACUCGGUGAGACCGAUUUUGGUAAUAGACACACAGAGGGUUGGUCAGGCAAACUCGGUGGGACUGAUUCGCUCAUCUCGGUUGGACCGAAACAUUUCGAAAGGGAAAUAGUGAGUUUGCAUUGCAAUCUCGGUGGGACCGAUGGCUCAUCUCGGUUUGAUCGAAAUGUUACAAAGGGUAACAGAGAGAUUACAAUCCCAUCUCGGUGAGACCGAGAUCCCUAUCGGUGAGACAGAAAAGACUAAGGUUUGUGGCAGUGGCUAUGUCAACAGAACUCGGUGGCGCCAGGUAGAUGGUUUCGGUGGGGCCGAGUUUGACUUUUGGUUUUGGACAUAUGUGGAUGUGAGAAAGUAGUUGAGGGCUUUGGAGCAUAUCACUAAGCACUUUGAGUAAGAAACUCAUUAAGCAACACCUCAUCCCUCCUUGAUAGUAUUGGCUUUUCCUAUAGACUCAAUGUGAUCUUGGAUCACUAAAAUAGGAAAUGUAGAGUCUUGUGCUUUGAGCUUGAGCCAAUCCUUUUGUCCUUAGAUUUUGAGGGAUCCACUUUUCUCAUCCAUGCCAUGCCAAUCAUUGAGCUUUCCUGAAAUAUUUAUCCUGAAAUAGCAUUAGCUCAAUGAGCUAUAUGUUGUUAGAAAUUACCAAAACUACCCAGGGAUAGUUGCACUUUCAACCGCAGAACCAACGCCAAACAGCUAUUGCAGACAACACUGACAAGAACCAAAACAGUAGAUGCAUUAGCUUCAAGCUACGCUGGGAAGGGGACUGGGGAGGAAGCCGGCAAAGUCUCACAUGAGAUCUAAUACCACACUUGCCCAAAUUACUAGUAAACCCAAGCAAUCUAAUAUUCACUAUCCAGAUUUCAGAUUGGAUCACUACAGAAUUAACCAAAUCAAUAUUCUAAAUGUGGCUGGAACUGAAUGUGGAGGCACAAAUUUGCGAAGCAAGGAAGAAGGGGAGGUACCUCCGAGGCCGCCACCGUGGGGGUAGUAGUAGUAGGUAAUGUAGCACUUGUCGAGGUAGACCUGGCCGGAGGGGGCACCGCCGCACUUGACCGCGACGCGCUGCACGACCUGGGUGACGCAGUUGCUGUAGUACACAUCGCACUGCACCAGCGCGUAGACCUGCUCGAAGCUGGUUGUGAAGCCCAGGAAGAGGUCAGCAGCUGCAAGCAUAAUACAUAAGCACAACACAUCAAAAGCCAUUCUGUCUCUGCCGAUACCAUGUGUCAAAUACGCAUCUUACUUAGUUUUCAUGCUCAAGUUAACAAAGAAAUCUAAAACCAUGUAGCACUAAAUUAAAUCACAAUACAACUCUAACAAGGAAAAAUCUGCCACUACCAGGUUGGAUUGUUGGGAUUAAAAUUGCAUAUGUUUUAGAGAGAUAGUACUAGCAAGCAUAGUUUUGUCUGAACCCUUUUCUUGCACAUAUGGAUGUGCUAACGCUACAACUAACAUUAAGCUGAAUAUAUAUAUAUCCAUGUUAUAGUAGUAAAUAAAUAUACAUAGAGCGCAGUGAUGAAGUCAAGCUCAGGGCUUCACCUUGCUUAGUAAUUUUGUUUCCAAACCACAAAAUGUACACAUCAUCUACUCAUCAUCUACAGCUGUACAACUAAUUCAUCUACUCCAUCAACGAAAAUAUAGAACCAACGAUGGCCGUGAUCACACACAGACAAGUAGACGAUGCAAUUCUUGCUGAAAUUGAUUAGCCCUUUAAAUCUUCAGGCGUAAAAUUAGAAGAGCUACUAGGAGCAUUAGGUACAAGCUAAGGCGACGUACCCAUCUUUCGUCGGCCACAGCUUAACUAAAUUGUUAUACUACUCCUAACCACGACAACACCGUCAUUGCACUGCCCGCCUUCCUUUCUCUAGCUACGUGGAAAAACGCUAGAUAGCUAGGCACCCCACGGACACAUAAACACUGAAAUUGUAUGGCCGUGGCUUCCUGGGAGCGUGUAUGUUUGCUGAUUGCAGACUGACUGCUAAAGUGUAUGUUUGCCGUUUAAUUAAUUCUUCUUGAUUCUACGGAUAGCAAUAGAAAAGUAGGUGCACCUUUUGCAUAUACAUUACUAGACGAAAACUGCUAAAGUGAGCGACCUCAACUCAUUGUUAUCAGCUAAUUAUGCAGAGGAACCAACGUUUCUUACACAAGAGAGCAUGCUAAACACAUGUCGCAUGAGCAGUAGCUAUAUCCACACCAAAUAUGUAGUUCCUUGAACAGUUGGGACGACCCUGAAAUUAGGAGAUUUACAUUAAUCAAUUCUCAGCAAAAAAAUUGGCGAACAAGGUUCUAUAAAUCAUGUCUCUAUGUUUAUUCUAGUAAGUAAUGCUUGCAUGAUAAACAAUUCUCUUCUAUAAUUGAUAAGCAGGUUCCCAUGAUAAAUUUUCAUAUGGCAGCAUCACAAGCCUCUUUCGAUCCAGGUUCAUAGUCCCUAUGAUUAAUCAAGAAACCUACCAAAACCAGGACAAAAAAAAAA